AGAGCGAGCUCUGAAAGCAUAACAACUAAGCCAUAGAAGAUAUUAUGAAGCUUUUGGUCCAAGAUUCUUCUGAAUUCUUGGAACGGAUGGAAUCAAGGGCAGGAAUGAUAUUUGCUCUGUAUCGCCACAAAGAUAACCUGAAUUGGUAAAUACCGUCUAAGUGCAGCGUGUGGCUUAGGCUCCAUAUGUAAGACUCACAUUGCAUUGUAUUUUGUAAUUUGUACAUGAUUGUGAUGGUUCCAAACUUAGUUUAUCUAUUUUCGUGGGUUUUCUCUCCAUUUGUUAAUGAAAUCAGGAUCAUGUAGUCCUGGUCAUCAUCAUCAAUUCAGUUUUGGUUUCUGAUCAUGUUGCAUAGUAAUGCCUGGCCCAAGAUUAAUCUAUCCGAAAAGGUCACCCUUCCUCAUACUUGUUUUGGUGAUAUACCAGUGGCUCAUUCAAGUUAUCAAAAAAAAAAUUGGCCUGUAGAGAAGGUUCAUAGUGUUCGUCAGUUCAGAUUCUGAUCAUAAUAUUUUUCUUAAAGAAACUACGCAACCCAUGAACUUACGGAUCUGUGUUUGGAUCAAUGGACUAAUUUUUUGUUCGGGUCACAUCGGAUAUUUGGAUACCAACUAGAAGGACCAUCUAAGUGACCGUAUCUUUGGUGCAUGCAAUGAACCGAAGAAAUAAAAGAAAACAACACCAUCGGAUGUUCCAAUGGCCCCCAGAAGGCGUUGGAUUAAGCGUCGGAAGUUUUGGUACGCUGCGGAAGAAAUAAGGCAAAGUCAACCAUCGGAUGCUCCCACCAGGUUGCCACGAAGCGUGACAAUUUUAUUUGAUUCUGAAUCUUAUACUGCCUUAUAUCCUUAUCAGGUUGAAAUUUGUUGUUCUGGCAGUGUUCUUAUUAUCCUAACAACCUCAUCCAUUGAUGCGUAACUAAUGCUUGAAUCUGUAAACUAAUGCAUAGGGACACGUUUCUAUCGGAUUUAUCACAUUUGGAUGCAUCAUAAUCUUAAUGUCAGUAGCCUAAUGGAAAGAAACGAACUGAAAGUUCGUGAUGCGGUCACAAAAUGAUAAUCUGCAAUUGUAUAAAGUUACACUCCAGAAAGUGAUCCAGGAGAUACUCGACCAGGCACACAGUGCAUCUUUCUAGCAUAAUAACCUUCUUCUCAUGUCUGCCCAAUGCCCAAGGAUCCAUGUUCAGAAUCUUUAAAUCUGUAAAGCUGUGGCCUGUUGCAUGAUGAAAAUUAACAAUCCUCUAAUGAACUGUUGUGCAUUUGGUUAAGAAAUACUUUUGAAGAAAGCAUUCAGUUAAUAAUUAACUUUCUUCACCGAAGGGUUAACUAACAUGUCUGCAGUCACAAACAUCUCAGAGCUUUUGGAGAUGAUCACUAUAGGGCAUAGGCAUAGCUAGAACAGAAACUUAGCUUCACGUUUUCUUGAACAAGCCUUUUUUUUGCUUCACUUUGAGGCAAAGUUCAAGAGUAAAUAAAGAAUUGUUCCGUAUUUGUGAAAAAGUGAAUGCUUUUGAUUUUUUUAUUUCUUAAGAUGUGGAAUUUAGGAAUGUCCAUUUAAUAGACCAACUUCUAAUUUGAUUUCGAUUUGAAAUGCCAUGUUUAGUGCCAGAGCCUCAGCUUGAUACCUUUGUCUUCUGCAAGACUAAGAGUGACGUAGCAGCCUUCCAGCUAGAUGACAUGUUUAGCACACUUCAAAUCUUGAUUUGCACCGUUACAUGCUUUGCUUACCUGUGAUGCUUCGAUGCAGUAUAGAGGAGGUUGUGGACUUGGUUGCCGACGACUUGUAUGUUCUCGGUACAAGUCCAUCAAGGGCCUUGUCGAGGCUGGCCGAAUCGACCUUAUCUGAUGUCAAAUCACAAAUUCGUACUUGUAAAAGUGCGAGCUCUGAAAGCAUAACAGCUAGGCCAUAGAAGAUAUUAUGAAGCGUUUGGUCCAAGAUUCUUCUGAAUUCUUGGAACGGAUGGAAUCAAGGGCAGGAAUGAUAUUUACUCUGUAUCACCACAAGGAUAACCUGAAUUGGUAAAUACCGUCUAAGUGCAGCAUGUGGCUUAGGCUCCAUAUGUAAGACUCACAUUGGAUUGUAUUUUGUAAUUCGUACAUGAUUGUGAUGGUACCUAUCGGUCUUUAAACCCGACAACCUACCCAGGGGAGUACCUGGGAUAGAGUUUUGGUUGGUGGGUGUCGUCGAAAUCAGGAACUUGAUGGUGUACGUAGGCACGCAAUUUAGAUAGGUUCAGACCGCUAGAUCGCGUAAUACCCUACGUCCUAUGUGUCGUUUUCUUGUAUUGGAUUGAAUUUUUUUUUGAGGGGCCCUGCUCGCCCUUAUAUAUCGGGAGCGCAGGGUUACAGGUUAGUUAUCUUACAGGAGUACUAGUCAGAUUCGACUAGAGAGUCCUACUCUAACUGUUACGAGUAGUUUUUUGAGUCCUCGACUAGUUCCUGUCCUCCACGUAGACUACGCCGCCCUGCACCGUAGUCUUCAUGUCUGACACGUCUCAGUGCACAGUCCUGUAUACGGAUCUGCCCAAACCUUCCUGUGGGCUUAUAGAUGUAUGUAUGACAAGCCCCUAAGUACGUUUUAGUCAAAUGCAGCAGUCUUAAGUACCUUCAUAGGCUUCAUCCGACUAGUUUUUAGUGCUCUCCUAAGCACUCUAUCAAGGUUGAGUCUUUAAGUGACUCGAGUACUGUCAUGCGGCUAGAAUGUGCUCAAGCCUCAUUUGAUGUUGCCUUAAAUGUCUGUCCUUGAAUUUAUAUAUGGAAGUGUGAUGAAAAUCGCACUCCAUAUGGAGUAGCCCCUGAGCAUUAGGUUGAAUCGAAAAAUCAGGCUGAGGGUCAGUCUGCAUCUUCAUUGUCUUUGCCUUGAACUUCAAAACAAAAAACUUUCCUACUGAUGAGCACGUGGCACACAACCCCCGAGCCGUUACUCGACUAGUUUCAGGAGGUAUAAGGGUUAAUCAAUAGUCACCGUGACCAUUUGCCAACAGUAAUAUUAUCUCUUGUGAAAAUUUCAGUAGCUGACGACCAUAUGCGAAUUUUGCGGCUGGGGGCGAUAACCCAUUCAUUUUGCGGUAGCUUGCGCGUCAGAAAAAGGCAAGGUCAUUACCUCCGUUUACUCCACCUCUAUUAUAAACAGACAGGAGAAGUUACCUCUCCCAUUUACUUUGCCAUUUGCAUCUGCUAUUUGCCUUUGCUAAAAACCCUAGCCCCAAGCGCCGCUGCAGUCCAAUCUUAGAUCGCCAACACCGUCUCCCCCCUAUCGAGUGCCCAAGUAUAUGCGCGUGAAGAGGCUUGCAACAAUCAGGAUGGGGAAGAAAGCUGCUGGUGCCAAAGGUGAUGAGGGUUCCAAGAAGGGAUCCAAAAAGGGGAAGGAGCCACGGCUGCCUCCGCCCAAGUACAGGAAAAUGAACCAGACCGUGCUACCAAAUCAGGCCUUGGCUUUGAAGACGUCCACCCUAAAGGAAGAGGAGAUCCAAACCCUGGUGUCGGCGAAGCUACUGAAGGACCAAGUAGUCGUGGGCUGGCGGUGUGCCUACGGUAAUGCAUGGCCAUUUGAGAUGCACCCCAACGAGACGGUAACUUUUGCGCACUUUGUUUAGCGGGGUUUUGCUGUCCCCUCAUCUGAUUUUCUUCGGGGUCUUCUGGAUUACUACAAACUUUAAUUAGUCCACCUCAACCCAAAUGGCAUCCUCCACAUCUCUAUCUUUGUGCAUUUGUGUGAGGCUUUCUUGGGGAUUCAACCCACUUCCAGUUGUUUCGUAAUAUAUUCUGGGUGAAGCCGCAUCCAAGAAUGGAGAACACUGAAGUAGUCGGAGGCACCAGAACUCAGAUAUGGGAGAAGAGUAGUAGUCUGUAUUUGGACUACCAAAUGAUCGAGUCACAUUGAAGACCAUGAACUGAAGCUGCCAAAGAUGAUUGGCCACCGCCCGGAGUGGAACAAUGGGUCGAUUGAUGAGCCAACGUUCGGGAGCAGUCUCCAGGUACUUGAGCUUUUAGCCAAGAUCGCCCAUCUGAAGCAGCAAGGACUGACAAGCAUUGGAGUGACCUUUAGUUUCCUGAGGAGGUGAGUACAACCCCUGCAACUCCACCACACAUGGGGUUAUGAGUACUCAGGCCUUGAUGAUCCGUUAAGGAUGUCACCUGAGGAGUUCUCCACCAAUGAGGUGAUGGCGAGGCUGAAACACAUCUUCAAGAAUGUCUCUGAGAUCCCUUGAAUAGUCUCGGCAUUCAACUCCUUCAACCCGCCAAGAGAAGUAAGUACCUGUGGCCGUAGCCCCCGAGUACCUAUUCGUUGUUGAUCUUCUGUUCCGACUGGUCUCCCUUUAUGCAGGAGGAUGUACUCAUGUUCUUUUCACCCCCUCCUCCACUUGGCACCAAUGAUGUUGAAAGUGCACCGCAGGUUUUUGGGUGGAAUAUAGCUAGAUUAGAGGCCACCCAAGAGGAGGAGGAGGAAGAAGGAACCGAGUCCCUCAGUAGCUCAGACACUAAUGCCGUCGAGGAUUUUGUUGUGCAGCACCAUGCCUCGGGCGAGGCCAGGGCAUCCUCUGGCUCAUCAAAGCGUCCUGCGGAAGAUGAGCUUGAGGCCAAUUUGACCCCACCGCCGAGGAAGAGAUGAACAGUUGCCAAGACGCGUGCUUUGAGGAGUCUUCGCAUCAUCGAGGACACACCUCCGUCGAUAAUAACCUUUGACGAAGGGCAAAAGCCUAAGGUGCGAGUAUGAUUGUAUAUGUAUGUUGAUCUCAUGGCUACUAAUCAAGAUUUUGUUGUAUUUGUAGGUAGUUGAUGAUGUAGUCGAGGCAAUGGAGGCAGCUACUGGUGCCAUCCUGUCGGAAGUUCCAGCCCCCAGGGAGGUCGUUGAAGUCGGCGAUAAUCAAGAACUCCCCGUUGUUGAAGUUAACCCUACGGGUAUUGAAGUACCCAUGCAGGAAAAAGACAAGACUACCCUAGCUGGUGGUAGUUAGGAAGCACCUCCACAUGUCUCGCAAGGAGAGUUCGCCCCCACUGUCCAGCCGCUACGCUUGGUGGGUAACCCGUCGCUAAAGCUAUGGUGAUCCACAAGGUAAGCAUUUUGUUGUUGUAUGAGUACUAAUUCUAGGUUGAGUACUUGGUUGUCUUCCGUCACUGACACUUUGUGCUGUGCAGGACCUCUUCGGCCCUUAGCCUUCCUGCAUCGGGUUUGAAGUCUACAACCAAUGGCGCUAGCCACUCAGGUGAAGAUCCAGCCUCCAUGCCUAUUGUGGUCCCAGUGGAAGAAAAUCCGGCUUCAGUGUCAGAAACAGGGGCCGCAUCAUUUGUUGCUGCUUUGGUGCAUGACAUACUCGACUCGAUGAGUGAUGCUGCUGAGCAAGCCCCCGAGCUUGAUGUACCCGGAGCUUUUCCUGAGGCAACUCCGGUGGAGAAUCCGCCCCCGUAUGAAAUCUUGGACACUAUCCCUCUCAGCGCUGCUGCUCCCUAUGCCUCUGAGCUUGAAGCCACCCAAGCCCUUGAAGUUGUGGCUUCGGCAAUCAGGAUGUCUUAUGGAGCCGGUACGUCUUCUACAGGCGAGAUGGCCUUAGUGCCCAGCAUGAGGAUUGAGCCAAGCGUGGAGGAUCGGAUGCCAUCUGAGGAGGUCCAGUAGCUCAACGAUCCUCUGUUCAACUGUGGUGGAACUGCCUAAAUUAACCUGGCUAAAGUGCACUUAAGUUGCCUAACACAUGAUCAUGCACCUUAAACAAGUCAACUUAGUCGUCCAUCGGAUUUCAUCCGAUAAACCACUUACUCAGGAUGCAGAAAGCAUUGCUCACAUGAAGGUGAGUGGUUACACAGAGACUACAACAUUCCAUUCACAUUAAACAUAGAUCAACAAUUUAUUACAUCAGAGUUUAGAAAUUCAGAUAGAGUUUGCACGAUUUCAAACAACGAAGAAGUAAAACAUGCAGAAGCUAAACAUCGAUACAUGAUAUCAUGAUGAAGCCGUUCAUGACAUCAAUGACCCCUAUCCUCACCAUCCGAGGAGGGAUCCCACUCAACCGUCCAACCCAGAGGAAGCUAGGUAGGCCAAGUGAUGCUAGUAGCCAAUUCAUUGACAUCUAAGUUACCUGAAAGUAAAGUCACAAGCAAGGCUGAGUAUACUAAUACUCAACAAGACUUACCCGUCGGGUGGCAACUACUCCACCGACUUCUAGACAUGCAAGGCUUUUUGGCGGAGGAGUUUGUUUUUGCCAAAGCAUCUAAGUAGAUCCUUACUUUUAAGUUUUAGCAUCAGGUUCUAGUAGAUUAUUUGUUCUAGGUAAGCAACCUAUUCUAAGCAAGCAAGUUGAGCAAACAUUUUAUUCCAAGCAUCAUCAUCAUUAAAUAAGCAUUCCAUGUUUCACUUGUUACUUAAUGCAGCACAGUAGUCAAGCAGUCUCAAACUGUGAGAGGCAGACAAUUCAAAUCGAGUUUCUUAAUCUUGCAAUGUGAACCUAAUCCCAUGACAUUGCGUACCACAAUGGGUCCACACAUGUUAGCCAUCCCCAUCAGUUCCUAGGCAUGUGGCUAGGGCCCACUUCCCUUGGAUACAAGGCCCCACGGUCCCGGAACAACGUCGUACUAUGACUGCACUUGUACCCACAUGCUGCAGCAGGGGAACCCAAUUCCAGAGAGAGUGGGGAGUAUGCCCACGUCCUGGACCAAUCAGGUUCUAGGCUUCCCUAUCCCAUACUAGGUAUGAGCUUAGUACUUUCAAACACUUGACCACGAACGCCAACACAUUACGACCUUAGCAGCUUUCUUCUAGACAAACGGGGCAAUCCACCAAUUCAGAACCAAUUGCUCGGCCCCGUCCAUCAUCCUUAUGGUUUUAACAUAAGUAAACAGGCAACUCCUAUAACUCGCGAGUGACAGGAAAUCACUCGACUUCUACCGAGUUCCUAUUUAGCAUAGCAACUACACGACCUAUCAUGCUAGUAUUCAGUAUAUAGGUACCUAGGAUCAUGCAACUAGGUUUUCAAACAACUCCUGUAAACAUAAUGUACAAACAUAACUAGCAUAAGUAGUGCAUAAAUUUAGAAAAUUGGGUUAUGCUCCGGGGCUUGCCUUCUUGCCCUAACUCAGCCUUGGGCUCUUCUGAACUUGGUUUGGGCCUUGAUUUGCCUUGAUCACAUUCAGCUCAGCAGACACCCUCCUACUUCGUGUUUCGGGCCGAGCUCAUACAUUCCGUCAGCGCAGUUAGCUUCUACACGAGAUGCAAAUGCAUGAUUUCAAAAACAAGCUUUUAUGUGUAGGUUGAAUUUCAUAAGUUAUUACACAAGCAUAGGCUGUAUUUUGGACCACAUUCACUUAGACAAGUUUAUAAACAUUUAUUUUCUUGUAAAGUAAGGUGUGUUGGGAUUCAAAACUCAGAGAUGACUUUGAUGGUGAUUGUGUACACAUAUAUUAGGUUUGUUAUUACUAACUGCCAAAGAGAAAAGGUGCCAUCCUAGGGUUGAUCAAGCUUAAAUCGGAAAGUUAUCCUAUUUCUGAAUGUUUUUCUAUACCUCUUCCGAUAUUUUCCAUAUUACCCUUACUAUUACUUAAUUUGUUUUCAUUCAUUUCUUUUGGGUUUAACUUUCAUAAUUUGUUUCCACAAAAAUAAUUAAAAUUAACUAAAGAUCCUAUGGUUGAUUGCACUUAACUAUUUUUGUCUCCAGUUUCACAGAGAGUUUGGCUCUGAAAUUUUAACAGUGAGUUAACCUAAUGCAACAGAGGUUCCUGAAAUUUUUCCAUGAUUUAUAGUGAAGGACAUCUAUUUUCCAUAUUUUCCUUCAUUUAAACUUUUACAAAAAGUUAAGCAUGUUUCAUCAAGUUUCAUACAAGACCCUUAUUUUUCAUAGGGAGUGUAUUGCAUCCAUGAUCUAACAAAAGUGGUUUUGUAUUUUUCUCACUUUUCUACUAUCCAUACUGAAAAAGAUAAAACCUAGCCUAGUAUUUCAAUGUUGGCUUCAAAUCAGUGGGUUAAACAUUUGAACCAGUGUUACAAAAAUCAUAUAUAGAACAAUUUCAACACAACUAAGCCAAAAGAGGUGGAUUUGUCAUUUUACCAUUUUUAGGUGAUUUAUGGUGCAUUUAUUGGCUUGAACACAAAAUAAAAUCUAGUGCUAAAUACAGAUCAUCAACAUGCAUAUGAGUAUUUUUAAAUGAAACUAGACGUCACCAGGAACCUAGCAAAACAAGGAUCAUAUUUUCCCAUUUUUCUAUAUCUACUUAUGCAUUUUCAAAGUUUCAGCCUUUUUAAAUCUAGGAAAUCAAGAAAACCGAGGUCAACUUGCAAACUAGCCCCUAGAUCUAAGGUUUAAUUGUGCAAAGAUCCCUGGAAUCCUUCCCAUACCCCCUACAUUUCCUUCUUCUUCCCCACACAGAUCCCCCCCACACAGACACAGAUUCACAAUAGAGGCACGCACGGUUGGGUACCAUGGUGGCCUUGGGCCGGUGGUAGGGGAAGAAGGGGCACUACAUGGGGAGGGAGAAGGGUGGUUCACGGGGGCUAGGAAGCUCACCAGAAGGGGCCGGUGACGAGGGAUAGGCAGUGCGCAGGGAGGCCCAUGAGCAGCAGAAUGGGCGACGGGGGUGCUUGCCGUGGAGGGCGCCGUCUGGCGAGGGAGAGAACUCGGGAAGGGGCAAAAUGGAUGCGCAUUGUCGUGAGAAAGGCGUGGCUGCGAGGAAUCGAUUCGAGGCUUGCUCACAGCAGUGAAUUUCGGCAGCGAAAUUUGGGGAUUUGGAGGUGGCAAUACUGGCAAUGGAGGUUGGGAGGAACGGGCGAGUGGUUCUGGAGGGGCUGGAGCUGCUGAUAUAGCCGGGGCGAGGUGAGGAUAAGAACGGCGAGGCAAUAUGGACACCACAGCGACACAAGACGGCCAUUGGUGGUGUGGCGAGCACCGGUGAUCAACAAACUCAUGGCUGGCAUGCCGUUCGCAUGGAGCUCUGGCCAAUGGAGCGCUAGGGGUGGCGUGGGAUGGAAGGAGCUUCAUGUGGGCGAGGCUUGGGUGGCCUAUGGGCGGAGAGGGUCCUGCUGCCGUUGGGAAGGCCGGCCAACGGCCAUCCUCAGGCCCUGGGUCACCCAACCAGUGCUGAAUAGGUGGGGAGACAGGUAGGAGAUGAAGCUGAUAGGUGGGCCCACGAUAAAAUAAAAUGUUCAACUUUGCUCCCUAAAACGACCUAGCUACAGGUGCCAAAAAUUCCCAAAAAAUACUCGUUGGAAAGAUAAAAUCAUGAAGACUCCAAUGCAACAAGAAUCAACUCAAAAGUUGUUAUGGUUUGCACACAAUGGUCCAAACAAAAUAGCUAAAUUUGAACUUUAACUAAAUUUUUUUUGGCACAAGAAAACAUCUCUGAAAAAAUUGGUAAAAAUAUUGUAAAAUCACUAAAUGGUAUAUAGUAUUUGAAUAAAAUAUUAGGAGUCAAAGUUGUAUAAAAUAAAUUGGGGUUGCUUCACAAAUUUGGGUUUUUCAAAAAAAACGAACUUCUAGGCACUUAACAAUGUGUGGCCAAAACAUUCAUUUAUGCACAAAUGAUGCUCAUGAUGGUUAACUAUGCACAAAAGGAUGUUCAUGAUGCUCAAAUAUGCACAAUGAUGCUUAUGAUGCAUGUCGUGCAAAGGUGUCGUGUUUAACAUGUAUUUUUUCACCAAGUUUGGACUUUGUUCUUGCAUUUCCAAAAAUAAAAGUUGGAGUUUAAGGUGUGGGCUAGGACUUUUAUAAAGGCCAACAAGGAAAAGCUCGACUGAUUUGGAGAUAGGAUUGUGGGAUUUUUUUAGCGGACGUUGCUCAAAGCUGUUUUUUGGAAUUUGAUUGAAAUUUGACCAAACUUCAACUCAGUUUUGAACUCCCUCUGCUCAAAAUCAGAAGAAGUGUUGAUUAUGAAGGUUGUUCCAUGUGAAAAGUUCUACCACUUUUGUAUUGGCCAAUAGUUAAGUUCUCAUAUGAAAGUUAUUUUUAUUGGCCUCUCCAGGUGAUCAUCAACAGGAAGGAGUUUUAAGACUUGGCAAAAUCUAAGGUGUUUUUCGAUCUUAACUCUCAGCAAUUUGGAGUUAGCUUUGAUUUGCUUCUUAAUCACCCUGUUGAUUAUUUGAUUUAGGUUCUCAAUUACUCAGGCUGUCACAUGAAUGCACAAACGGUGGCCACAAUCCUUGAGAUGAACUAGCACGUUGCGUCUUAUACCAAGGUGAGUUUUGAUUUUAGCUGUGUACUAUACUUCUAGAUGCUUGCAACUUGUACUCUGCGCAGCUCCCGAGUACUAAUUUCUUUGAAAACAGAACUUGAUCAGCCACUCUCACCAGAAUGCCCAGCUGCUGUGGGACCAUGGCGAUGCCGUGCGUCGGGUUGAGGCGAUGGAGAAAGAAUUGGUUGAGGAGUUGCGGCAGUCUUCUCACCUCAUCAUGAAUCUUGAUAGCGUGGCGGCACCAUUCGGGCACAAAGGGAGGACUUGGAGAAAGAGAAAGAAUGCCUUGUUGCCCGAAACAAGUCACUGAACCAGAAGCUUGAAGGUGAGUACUCAUCCUCUUAUUGUAUUCAUCUGCUUGUAGCCUGUAGUCUUUCUAACUGAUACUUGGUCUUUGUUGAGCAGAGUGUAAGAGUUAGGAGCCCCAGUUGAAGGCUACCACAACUAAUUGGCAGAACGCCUACUACCGGGCCACUGAUCAACAUGAGAGACUGAGGCAACAGGUGUCUGAGCUGGAGCGCGACUUGGAGAAAGAGAGGAAAAUGCACCGAGAUGGCAAAGUUGAACUGAUCAAUGUCAUGACAACCAUCCAAGCGCAACAAGUUGAGCUUAGAGCCUGUAAGCUGAAGCUCCAAGAGCUGUCUGCAGUAGAGCAGCCCUUGGUUGAUAUGGGGGAGCCUCCGGUUAAUGGCGCGGAUCCUCGCUCGUUGGUGGAGAGACUCCGAGAUGGGCCGGGGAAGAUCACAGGCUACAUCCAAGGGAUGGAGAAGUCCAUCUCGAAAUAGUUGCUGGCCUUCAUAAAGUCCUUCUACCCUGACGCCGACUUGUCUCCUAUCGCAGAGGGAAUAGCAGGAGAUUGCACGAACGAAAUCUUCCAGCAAUAUCUUCAAGAGAUGGAUCCCAUUGCCGUGGAAGUAGCCAAGCACUUGGACCUGCAAUUAAUUUCUUACCUUUUGGGACACGAAGAAAAUUUAGUUUUGUAAUGGGAUAAAUGUGUAGAUAACUUUCAGUCUUAAUGUAAUUUGUUGCUCUUGACUUGUCAUUUGUUGUGUUUAGUGCUUCUCACACUUAGUCUUUAUUUUGCUCGUACGACCAAGGUGAGUGUCUGCGCACAAGGCUACUAUUGUGAGCCUCUUCGGAAGCAAAUUGUUGGGUACUCGGGUACUCAAGCUAUCCGGUAGUGGACACUGUGUUGUUUCUCCAAGAUUCUUCUGACUAGGGCUUGUUUCCUCGACUCCCCUGAGUAGAGUACUUGCAUGAUUGCUGCUUUGUCAGGAGGGCCACAUGGGAGUGCUAUUCACUCGUGUCCAGUCGAUAAAGACAAGCAACAUGUGAACACUGGUCAUCAGAGUCCUAACGGUAAGGACAAGCGUCACGCGAACACUGUAUGGGUGUGAUGUGCACAGAGAGAUCUAUCGUGUGUUCAUGGGAGCAUAUUGUAGCACUUUGGAUUGUCGCUGACUGCCUUGGCUAUAAAUAGAGCUGCAUCUGCAUCCGGAGUGUUCAUGGCUUACGUUAUAGCUCUUGUUGGGUUGAGGCUUUUGUUGUUUGCUAGGGGUAGCUUCCACCAUAUUUCCUGAUGCUAGAAGAAUUCUCAUGAAGAAUACACAAGUGCUCCUUCCCUCUACAAGCUCUUCAACCUAGCCUGGAGGCCAUAAUGCUAGAAGAAUCCUUGUGAGGAAGGUGCAUCAUGUGCCCCUAGCUUUGUCCAGGACACCGCUGAGGAAGACCUUGAACACAGCUUUCUUGCAUUCACUCUAUUUUCUUCUUCCGCAUUGAAAGCUACUUGCCCUGAGGUUAGGGUAGUCCUGGGACUGUUCACAUAUGCUUUGUGAUAUUGUAAAAGCCUAGGACUUCUAUUGUAACCUUAAUGAAAACACGUACGCCUUGUUGAUGAGAUAUUGCUAUCUUGUUUCUUUGGCUGUUUUGUUGCUGUGCCCUAGGAACCUAGAGCUGCGAAGCUCAUUAGUAUGAGAUACAUUAAGAUAGAUUUCUAGUAAAUAAGUAGUCGAUCAGCUAGUUUGUGAACUCCAAAAUGACUAGAUAGCUCUUGCGCCGCUAGUUCGCUUAGCGAAUCACCUGGGUGAGUUGGAUAACUCAUGUAGACUUGUAAGUACAAGUCAUACUGGGGUGUCGUGGCCCAAAGAACUCAAUGCAUCGUUAGGAUGCUGCUGACCUGCUUUUGCGAGCCACAAUGGGGGCGGAAAUGAGUAGUCGAAUUUCGCCGAAGAUAAUUGCAUUAUUAUGCAAAAAACUGACAACGGUGGCCAGUGGACUAUUUAGAAUGCUGCAUAAUGUUCUGACUAUGGAUAGAAUCAACAGAUGCUCGAUGUUCCAUGAGUUGUCGACAUCUUCGCUAGAGAGAUGUUGUAGCUUGUACGAUCCUGUGCCUGUGACCUUGGAUACGAUGUACGGCCCUUCCCAUGGGGAAUUAAGCUUGUGCAGCCCCUUAGUGUCUUGGAUAUGCUUGAGGACCAUGUCGCCUAUGCUGAAAGAAUGUUCUUUGACAUUGCGAUCAUGAUAGCGGCAAAGACCCUCGAGUACCUUGCAGACUGGACGAGUGCUGCACAUCGGGCUUGUUCUAGGCGGUCAAGAUCUAGGCGCCUUGUCUCCUCUGCUCCCCUCGUCACAUUGCUUAACUGUUGGGGAUUUCCACAUAACGUCAGUAGGAAGGAUAGCUUCCAAUCCAUAGACCAGGAAGUAGGGUGACUGCCCUGUAGGUUUGCACAACUAUAAGUAGGGCGAUCCAUAGACCAUAGAAGAUGUUGGGUAGUUUUUUGAGCCACUUGCCUCCUUUGGUGUUGCUAAUGUCAUGUAAUAUUUUCUUCAAGGCUUCUAGUAGCAUCCUGUUGGCGCGCUCAACCUGGCCAUUGGCCCACGGGUGAGCAAUAGAGACAUAUCGAACGUUGAUGCCAUUGUUUUCACAUUACUCCCAGAACUCAUGGUUGUUGAAAUUGGAACCAAAAUCUGUGAUUAUCUGAUUGGGGAAUCCAUAGCGGUGGAUGAUUUCAUCAAGGAAGUUGAGUACUCUAUCUACCUUGGGGCAGGUUACUGGCUUGACCUCGAUCCACUUGGUGAACUUGUCGUUGGCUACCAAUACUCAGUUGAAUCCUCCAGGCGCUGUAGAAAGCGGACCGAUCAUAUCAAGCCCCUAGCAUGUGAAAGGCCAUGUUGGUGGUAUGGUGAUAAGCUUGUAGGCAUGGACAUGCUACUACUUGGUAAAGAAUUGACAACCCUGGCACUAGCAGACUAGUUCUUCAGCGUCCGCUAGGGCGGUGGGCUAGUAAAACGCUGCUCUGAAAGUCUUUCCUAUGAUUGUGCGUGAGGAUGCGUGGUUACCGCAAAUGCCCUCGUGUAUCUCCUCUAAUAUGUCCUUGCUGUCUUGACGUGUGACACACUUCAUGAGUACUCCUGAAGACGCGCCUCUUCUAUAGAGCUUCUUCCCGACUAGAAUGUAAUUUUUGCUUCAUCGUAGAAUCUGCUUUGCGUUUGUCUUGUCCGAGGGUAGUUUUUGCUCCCGUAUGUAGUCGAUGAACGUGGUUCUCCAAUCGAUGUCAAUCAACAUCACCUCCCGAUCUGGUGCCUCAGGACCACGAUCGGUGCUUGUAGAAGGUGCCAGAUCCACUAUGGAUGGCUUGCGUAAUUCAUGGACAAAGACUCCUGCUCGUACUUGGGCACGAGUUGAGCCAAGUUUGGACAAGACAUCCGCGGCGACAUUGUUGUCGCGGACUACAUGGUGAAAUUCCAAACCUGAAAAUUUAUUCUCGAGCUUGCGUACUUCUGUACAGUACGCAUCCAUGUUCCUCUUGUUGCAAUCCCACUCGUCAUUGACUUAGUUGAUCACUACUAGUGAGUCAACAUAGACCAACAAUCUUUUGAUUCCCAAUGAUACUGCUAGGCGAAGCCUGUGCAGUAGCGCUUCAUAUUUAGCUUUGUUGUUGGAUACCUCCCAGAAGAUCUGCAGGAUGUAUUUGAGUUGCUCUCCUUUGGGAGAUAUCAAGAGUACCCCUACCUGGCACCCUCGAGCUUGAGGGACCCAUCGAAGUACAUGACCCAAUGCUCUGGCGCUCUGUGGGCGUCGGUAGUUGAUUUUCCUACCACUCUGCCAUAAAAUCGACUAGAGCCUAGGACUUGAUAGUGGUUCUUGACUUGAAAUCCAGGGACAAUGCUCCAAGUUCUACUAUCCACUUUGAAAUCCUGCCUGUGGCAUCCUGAUUGUGGAGAAUCUCGCUCAGGGAAAGUCAAUGAUGACGGAGAUCUUGUGUUCCUGGAAGUAGUGCUGCAACUUCCGCGAAGUGAGUAGUAUGGCGUAUAGAAAUUUUUGGACCGAUGGGUACCUAGCCUUGGAAUCUGAGAGUACUUCGCUGAUGAAAUGGACGAGCCUCUGCACUUUGUAUACAUGGCCGGGUUCUGAUCUUUCAACUACUAUCGUCGUGCUUACGACGUUAGUAGUUCUAGCGAUGUAGAGCAGCAAGUCUUCGUUGGGGCUAGGUGACAUGAGGACCGGUGGCCUUGAUAGGAAGUCCUUCAACUGUUACAGGGCUUGGUCUGCCUCCUCGGUCCAUUGGAACUUGUCUUGCCACUUGAGUAAUUUGAAGAAGGGAAAGCCUCAUUCUCCAAGUCUUGAUAUGAAUCUGUUAAGGGCCGCCAUACACCCAGUUAGCUUCUGAACAUCUUUAAUGCCAGACGGUGCUUGUAUAUCAAUGAUGGAGGAUAUCUUCUCGAGAUUUGCUUCAAUGCCUCUAUGGCUAAUGAUGAACCUGAGUAGUUUUCUAGAUGGUACGCCAAAGACGCAUUUUGUUGGAUUGAGCUUCCACCAAAAUUUCUGCAGACUAGCGAAAGUCUCUUCUAAGUUAGUGAUGAGGUCAUUUAGAUUUCUGGUUUUGACUACCACGUCGUCCACAUACGCCUCAACAUUGUGGUGCAACUAUUUCUGAAAGCACAUCUGGAUUGCAUGUUGAUAGGUGGCGCCUGCGUUCUUCAACCCAAAGGACAUCGUUGUAUAACAGAAAGCUCCGUAAGGGGUGAUAAAUGCGGUCUUGGUCUAGUCUUCUUAGUUGAGAGCUAUCUGGUGGUACACCGAGUAGCAAUCUAGGAAACAGAGUAGUGUGCAUCCACCAGUGGAGUCGAUGACUUGAUCGAUCAUCAGGAGCCCAAAGGGGUCCUUUGGAUAGUGCUUAUUGAGAUCCGUAUAAUUGACGCACAUCCUCUACUUGUUGUUGUUCUUCUUUUGAACCAGGACGGGAUUAGCGAGCCCCUCAGGAUGGUAGAAUUCUUUUAUGAAACCCACCGCGAGUAGUUUUGCCAACUCUUUCUUGAUAGCUUUCCUUCUAUCCUAGACAAAACAUCGUAGUCGUUGUCUCUUAGGAGUAGCUUUUGGAUCCACAUUUAGCGAAUGCUCGAUCAGCUCCUUGGGCACCCCUAGCAUGUUUGCUGGUUUCCACGCAAAGAUGUCUCGGUUGGCCCAAAGGAAACUGACGAGCGUGAGUUCUCAUUUAGGAUCCAACCCUGAACCGAUCAGGGCUAUAUUGGAGGUGUCACCAGUCUCGAGGUCAAUGGCCUUGAUGUUCAUGUCACUUGUUGGCUUGACCUUUGUAGCCCCGACUUGUUCUCUGGAAUUUCGAGUUCAGCCGAGGAGAGCUUUUUUGAGGUGGCGAAGAUUUGUUGCAUUGAACUGGGUACUUGAGAAGUUGCAGCUAACUCGACAGCUUCUGUAUCGCAUUCAUAUGAUUUCUUAAAGUCUCCAUGGAGGGAGAGGACUCCCUUGGGACCUGACAUCUUGAGUACUAAGUACACAUAAUGCAGGAUGGCCAUGAAUUUGGCCAAUGCUGGUCUUCCAAGGAUAGCGUGAUAAGAAGUCUAUAAAUCUGCCACCUCGAACCGGAUGUACUCUGUCCAGUAGUGCUCCUUGGUCUCGAAGGUAACUAGCAAGACUACCUAUCCAAGAGGUAUAGUCGCGUUGCCUGGGACGAUCUCAUAGAAGGGAGAGUUUGUCGGGGUGAGCAUCUCCAUGAUGUUGAGGCCCAUCUUCUUCAAAGUCUUGGCGAACAGGAUGUUGAGGCCGUUGCCGCCAUCGAUGAGUACCUUGGUGAGCCUCGAGCCAGGAACAACUUGGUCCAAGAUGAUAGGAAAUCAUCCUGGUUCUGAGAAAUUAAUCCACUCAUCUUUUUGAGAGAAGUUAAUUGGUACCUCUGACCACUUGAGGGGUGUGGGUACAGCUGGUUCAAUGGACAUAAUCUCUCGUAGUACUAGCUUCUGGGACUGCUUCGAGGCGGUACCGGGGAUCCCGCCAAAAAUGAUGUUGACAGUCUUGGACGUUGCCAUCCUCGUCUUCGUCUUCCUUGGCUUUCCCUUUGUCAUUGGUACCCAAUGGCUCUAGCAAGUUCUUCAUUACUCUGCGUAGGCUGUAGCAGUCUAUCGCAACGUGUUUGUGGUGAGGAUGCCACGGGCACUGUUUUUUCAAGAGCUCGCUGAAAGCGGGCCUAUCUUGGCUUUUGCCACCUCCUUUCUUGGACGAUUGAGAUAUCAUCGUGACAGUAUUGUCUGGCUUGCGUUUGCGGCUUUGACCUCCUGAGUAAUUGUUUCGGUGAUCGCCACUGUGGUUCUUGUCAUUGUCUUGGCCGUUGCUUUGAUUAUUGUUGUACUAGCCUUGAUUGCAAUUUGAUUCAAACCUUUCAAGCUCUUUGUCUUCUUCGUCUGCCCAUGCUUGCGCCAUAAUCUUGAGGGACUUGACAUCAUGGGGGCGCCGUCUGCCAAAAUCUUGGAACAUACGGCGAUCGUUGAAUCUGUUCUGGAAACAGUCGAUCACGUCUUGCUUUGAGAUAUCUACAAUGGUGGCCUUCUUAUCGAAGAAAUGACACAGGUAGCUUCGUAGGGUCUCGUCUCGCCGUUGCUUGACUUGUGCCAAGUCAAGUUUAUUGCCUGGAUGCUGCAUUGCUCCCACGUAAUUGUUGGUAAAUGCCUUCUUGAGAUCUUGCCAUGAGUCAAUUGAGUUUGACUUCAAUGAUUUGAGCCAAGUGAGCGGCGCUGAUUCCAAGCAUAUGGGAAAAUAGAUGACUUUUGUGUCAUUGUUCCCUCCUACGGCUUGAACUGAUAAUGAGUAGCAUCGGAGCUAUUGAACUGGGUCCUACUUGCCAUCAUAUUUGGAGAUGCCUAUAGGCUUGAAUUUCUCGGGCAAAAUAGUCUUCGUGACCCGACUUGUGAAAGCUGGGAAGCUAUCGUUGUCGUCACCCCUGAGAUCAACUUCGAGUUCGCGUUCACGGCGUAGUCCUUCGAUGAUGUUAUGAGCGUUGUGAUUGUUUUUGAUCACUUCUCAAAGAUCCACCAUGGAACAUGCAAGCUCAGGAUCGGCUCUGUGGUGGCGGCGGCCUCCCUCAGAAGGUGUCCAAUUACCCUCGGGUAAAUCCCUAUUUUGUCUGGCACCUCUAGAUUGUCAAGUUGAAGGGCCUCUGUACCUAUUGUCGUGUUGAAUUCGCUGGGAUGGAGUACGUGAUACCGAGGCUAUCGGAUUCUGCCUGUCGAGUUGUUCAUAGGCAUGUUCUGCCAAUGCUGUCAACUGCCUGGUAUAUCUAUCAUGUGCCAUGGCUCGGGUAAUGAGGUCGAUGGAAGCAAUAGUGGUGAGAUGCGUACGAUGUUGUCGCGUUUGGACUACUUCAAAGGCUUUGUCCAGAUUCAUGAUUGGGAGCCUCUCUGCCAGCCGGCGGUGAUGAUCUUCUCUCGUUGUGUUCCUUGCUCGUCGAUGUGUUCUUUGAGCUUCGGUUUCCUCCCUGACGACUUUGGCAGUUAGUUCAUCCUGCGAGAUGUCAUCUAGGUGACGCUCGUGUAGAGGAUUCCUCUUCGGUGGAUCGCCGUCCUCCAUAUCUUGCCCUGUGAUGAGGGUGAAGAGUUCUUUGUCUGGAGAGUAGCUUCCAGAACUUGAGGUGAUGACUUCUGUAGAGCCAUCGCCUUCGGAGAUAGGGGAUAGAGGCAUCCCUUCCUGAUAUGGGAGAACGUCGAGGUAGGCGAUGAAGCGUGACUCGUUGUCCUAGGUGAGGGUGGACGGCCUCAUGCCAGGCCAAUAGACGAAUGUGCCUUGGGGUGUCGAAGUGAUCACCAACCCCUGCUACGGACCUGAUAAUGGCGUCUCCUCAUCGGAAUCCAAGUAGUGAUUGUAGUCAGGGUCCUCGAUCGCACCCGGGUCGGAUUGCAAUAUGGAUAGGCCUACCUGAUAAGUGGCAGUUUGUAAGUGCAUUUGGCCCCAUAUGUGGGUUUUGGUGUUGAUGACGCGCAUGAUUAGGGGACUAGUAUGAUUAUCAAGUGAUUGAUAGGAUUUAAUUGCAAAAGAGUGCAAAGGUGUACUUAAAUAUUCUCAAGAAGUCCCCAAAUGCGAAAAUAGAAUGGUGUUGAGCUCAAAAGGAUUUUCAUUUAUGUUUUCUAAUUUUGAAUUUGAGUUUUGGAACACCGUACUAUUAAGGGGGAUGCGGAUGGAUAGCUUGAAGAUGCUAAAGUGCUCACUUGGGAUGCUAACCACCCAUUGACACAAAACACCCACUUGCACAACCUUUUUCUCAGAUUUUCUGAGCAUAUCGGAAGUUCCGAUACUGUAUUGGAAGUUCCAAUACCUAUCAGAAGUUUCCAAAUAGUCCUAGCAAGGGUCCUCUGCACGUCUGACUUGAGAGUGUCAGAAGUUUCGAUACACCAUCGGAACUUCUGAUAAAUGUGUGUCGGGUGUUUCUUGAAACUCCCGACAGGGGUCCUCUGCACACCAGUUCUAAAUCCAUAAGAAGUUCCAACACUGUGUCAGAAGUUCCGAUAAGCACAUAACGGGACUGUAAUGGUUAGUUUUGGGGGCUUGAGUAUAAAUACCCCCUCAGCCCCCCCAUUCAAGGCUGCUGAACUAACUCGAGACAAAAGCCCCCUAGAGCAUUCAAUACACCUCUCCCUCACCCAUUUGAGCCAAAUCCUUGAGUUCUUGAGCUAGGGUUUAAGUGAGGGCAAGAUUGAGGGUGAGUGCCUUGAGGUUUGAGUGAAGAGCUCAACAAGUUCAUCUCAAGAGCACUUCAAGCAUCCUCGGCUUCGAUUCACAUUUGUUACUCUUGAAGCUUGCUUCUAGAUGGCUAGGCGUCACCCAUUUUAGUGCCCUCUUCGUGUGGUGCGCCCAGGAAUGUUUGUAUCACGCAACAUUCGUGGAUUCAUAGUAAGUGACUCAAUCUUCCUUUGUGGUUGAUUGAGAGAGGUAAAGGGUUAGUGAGUGCUCGGCUCUUUGUGAGCUCCUCAACGGAGACGUAGCUCUCUUAGUGAGAGUGAACUCCGGUAACAAAUCCUUGUCUUGUGUUCUUAUUGUGUUCUUUGAUUCUAGCUUGACCUAGAGGCUUGUUUUUAUCCGAUCUAUAUAUUUGAGUGGUUUCGUGCAUAUAUAUCACCUAGAGUAGUCUUUAUACUUCAUUUAGUAUCUUUUGAUUCAAAUAGAAUUGGCAGAUUCAGGUUGCAUUUUGAAAUUUCGUUCAGCUCACUCUAUCCUGUCGGAAGUUUCGAUCUUGUACCAGAAGCUCCGAUCCAUCGGAAGUUCUAGCAUAGCAUCGGAAGUUCUGACACAUCUAAUACCGCUGCGAAGUUUUUCAGGAAAAUUUGAAGUGAGCCUAUUCACCCCCCCUCUAGGCAUCACAAGAUCCUUUCACAGUUGCGUUACGGAGUCCAAACGAGAAUCGACUCAGAGUUUGAAUUGAUUCGGACGACGGCUGGAAUGCCCGCUCAUGAGAACCAAUCUGAGUAGAUGUAGGGCCUGAGUGGUACUUAGACUUGCUUCUCGAUCCUUGGAAUAGGUCGAAAAUUUUGUUGAAUCUCUUAAUGAAUUCCUCCAAAGCUUGGCGAUUAAGAUUGAUGUCAUAGAACUUCUCCUCUGGGGCCUUCGCGAUGUGGCAGUGGAAGCCUCCAGUGUAGUUUGCGAUGCAGACCCAAGAGCCAAACAUGAACGUCACGCUUGCUUCGAACGCGACUGCAGGUUUGAUGGUGACUUGUGCCAUCAAACUCACAAGGGAAAUCUCGGUAACUUCCCCUACUUGGCCCGUCAGCUGUCGGUGUUUCAACACGGCAACCUACCCAGGGGAGUACUUGGGGCAGAGUUUUGGUAGGUGGGUGUCGCUGAAAUCAGGAAUUCGAUGGUGUACGUAGGCACGUGAUUUGGACAGGUUCGGGCCGCUAGAUCGCGUAAUACCCUACGUCCUAUGUGUCAUUUUCUUGUAUUGGAUUGAACUUCUUUUGAGGGGGUCUUGCCCACCCUUAUAUAUUGGGGGAACAGGGUUAUAGGUUAGUUAUCUUAUAGGAAUACUAGUAGGAUUCGACUAGAGAGUCCUACUCUAACUAUUACGAGUAGCUUUCCGAGUCCUCCUCUAGUUCCUGUCCUCCAUGUAGACUACGCCACCCUGCACCGUAGUCUUCAUGUCUUACACGUAUCGGUGCGCAGCCUUGUAUACAGAUCUGCCCAAACCUUCCUAUGGGUCCAUAGAUGUAUGUACGACAGUACCAAACUUAGUUUAUCUAUUUUUGUGGGUUUUCUCUCCAUUGGUUAAUGAAAUAAGGAUCAUGUAGUCCUGGUCAUCGUCCUCAGUUCAGCUUUGGUUUCUGAUCAUGUUGCAUAGCAAUGCCUGGCCCAAGAUUAAUCCAUCCGAAAAGGUCACCCUUCCUCAUACUUGUUCAUAGUGUUCGUCAGUUCAGAUUCUGAUCAUAAUAUUUUUUUAAAGAAUCUAUGACAACCCAUGAACUUAGGGAUUUGUGUUUGGAUCAAUGGACUAAUUUUUAGUUCCGGUCACAUUGGAUGUUUGGAUACCAAUUAGAAGGACCAUCCAAGUCACAGUAUCUUAGGUGCAUGCAAUGGACAGAAGAAAUCAAAGAAAACAGCACCAUCGGAUGUUCCGAUGGCCCCUAGAAAGGCGUCGGAGUAAUCGACGGAGGUUUUGGUACGCUGCGGAAGAAAAUAGGCAAAGUCAACCAUCGGAUGUUCCUGUAAAAACUCUGCCUUAAUUAGGUGUAAUUAAACAUAAACAAGUCUUUGGUCACUAAGCAAAAGAGGUGAAAUGUCCUUUUUUACCCUAAGAAGCUCUUUUCGGAGUUAAAUAUAAAACUUGAGUUUUUAUAUACAAACUUGAAAUUUUGCCCAAAUAAGAGUUGUAAAACUUUUAAUUUCAAACAACUUUUGUUAAAGACGCUUUGGCUAAUUCGGAGUGGGAGAAGGUCAAAAACAAGAAUCAAAACAGGAGUAUUAUAGAACCCUACAAACAACCUAAGUCCUGGAAUUCAAGUUUUUCUUCGACUUUGGAACCUGUUAUCUCACAAGUUCACAUCUAACCUCGAGUCAGACCUUUAAUAAAAAUUGUAGUCCCUUGAGUGUGUUCCCAACUUUGUUACACUGACCUAGGUCUAAAUCGUAACCGAACCUACUCAAAGUCUUGGUCAAAGUCGGGUAAAACAGUCAACUCAGCCCUCUGGGCAUUCCAGCUCUAAGUCUGGAAACCAUCCAGAACACUCCUCUUGGCGAGUAUGUUCCUCCAAAUUUUUGAACUAAACUCAAGAAAAGCCCUUAAUAGAAGUUGAAUUCCUAAGACCGAAGAGCAACUCCUUCAAUAACACCUUGGUCUUUUUCAAACCAGAAACUGCCCUAAAGUCGAGUCAAGGACAGCCAAACUCCUGAAAUUUUCACCAACUCGGCGGAAAUGCCUAAGUCCGAAAACUCUAGUUUUUGGCAAACCUUGGCUCAAGUUUUCUCCAAAUCCUUUCAAAAUCUGAGCAAAUGCUUUUAAUAAAGUUGAACUACGACCGCAGUACUACAAGUUUGUUUAAGGGUCCUCUGAACGUUUAGUUUGAAAAAUCUCGAGUAGAGGGCCCCCAAAGCCGGUCUUGUUUCCUGUCUGAAGUUGCCUCGACGCUAGCACGUCCGGGCAUGUUCGCCCGUGCGCCGCCUGCCGCAUGGCCGCCAUCCACCGGCGAGCUCACCGUCACCCUACCCGCGCCCACGACAAGACGGGGCAAGCACUGUGCUGGCCAAUCGCCGCCGAGGCUGUUCCCCUUCUCCUGCGCGCGAGCCGCUCUGCCCAACCAGCGCCCGCGUCUUCCUUCCCCUUGCAUGCCAUGCUACCGCCAGUUUCUGCGACGCCGACCCGAGCUGCUAACCCCUUUCCAACUCUUCCCAACCCUGAUUCGUCCGCAAAAGCGACCGAACCUUGUCUGCCUCGCCCGAGUAUUGUCCGCCUCGCCCGACGGCUCGGUUGAGUCUUUUCUUUUGACCGAGGGUAUUUGUGUUAAAUUCUGAGGACUUCUCUAUGUUAAAUCUGAGGAUCCCGGUACAGUUUUUCCUUAAGUCUAAGGGUCAGAUCGUAAGUUUUCCCCAAUCCAACUCUUUUAACUCGUUUUAAAUCGAUAGGAACUUGGAAGUUACAUCUUAAAUCGAGGAAAAAUCAGAAAAAUACUAAAUCACUUUUGUUGGAAUCCUUGUUCUGUCUAGUUUCUUACAAAAAUAAGUUUGCUCAUGUUACUGUUGUAAAUAAUAUCUUAUGAUUUUAUUCCUUGUUUAGGCCUUUUAAAUCAUAGUAAAUAGAAGAAAAAUGCUAAAUAGGUAAUCCAACUCUGUGGUGAAUGUUUCUGUGAGUUGAAGCUCAGAGAAAUGUUUAGGACCCUAGAGAAGAACUUAAAGUUACUAUUUUAGCUUUACAUUUGAAAUCUAGAGUUAAAAAUCUUACUUUUUGCAUAAGUAUUAAUCCCGAGCUAAGAAAAAUAAGAAAUUUUGGGGAAGAGGUACGUAAAAACUUUCAGAAGUAAAUAACUCUCCUAAUGCACUUGAACCACCCCAAACACAUCCUCUCUCUCUCUCUUUGUGCAAACUCUAAGUUGCAAGAAUCUAAAUGUGUACACAGUCACCAUCAAAGUCAACUGCAAGUUUAAACCCGACCUCACCUUCCUUUGUGAAGUUAAGAGAAGUUAAAACCUUGUUUAGGUGAAUGUGGCCUUUAGGCAACUUCCUUUCUACCAUAAUCCAUGUUGUGCGUCGUUCGUGUUCGCGCCUGGUUGAAAUUAAACUCCUGCAUGUGCAUGUCGUGUAGAAGCAAAUCUCGCUGAUGGAACCUAUGAACUCCACCCCACACCGGAGGAAGAACCCGUCGUGGAGCUUCAUCACUUGGAAGGAGAGCCCGAGCUAGAUCAAGAUCUCGAAGAACCGCUGACCCUUCCUGAAGGCAAGCCCCGGUGCAUGUUUCCCUGUUUUAAAUUAUGCAAUAUGUUGAUGCUUAUGAUUGUGCAAUUACGUUUAUAGGAGUUGAAGGACACCUUAGAUGCAUGAACUUAGUACCCUUCUGAUCUGAACACUAGCAUAAUAAGUUGCGUAGAUGCAAUACUAAAUAGGACUCGGUAAAAGUCGAGUGAUUGCCUGUCACUCGCGAGUUAUAGGAGUUGUUUGUUUACUCUUGCUACAACUAUAAGGACGAUGGACGGGCCAGGCUUAUGUUCAGUUCUUGGUGGUUGGCCCCGUCUAUCUACACGAAAAUGGACUAAGGUCAAAAUGUGUUGGCGUUUGUGAUCAAGUUUUUGAAAGUACUAAUCUCAUACCUAGUAUGGGAUAGGGAAGCCUAGUACCUAAUUGAACUGGGGCGUGGCAUACCCUCCAGCUGUCCUUGGAACGUCGUUCCCAUGGUGCAUCAUGUGGGUGCAAGUGCGGUCCUAGUACAACUGCCUUGGAAUGUUGUAACCUCUGUGCUACUCACCUUCGUGUGAGCAAUGCUUCUCGAUCCUGUGAGUGGUUUAUCGGAGGAAAUCCGAUGGUCAACCAAGUUGACUUGCUUAAAGUGCAUGAUCGUGUGUCAGGCGACUUAAGUGCAUUUUAAUCAAGUUAAUUUGGGCGGUUCCGCCACAGCUGGCAUUAGAGCUUGAAGCAUGGUAUAGAGAGCAACAAACCUUAAAAACACCUUUUCUGAAUAAAAAAUGCAAGAAACUAGUUGAAAAAUCCGUAAGCUCGUUAAGGAUGAGUUUAGUACGAGAAGCCCUAGGGGAAUUUUGGGGUCAUUUAAGGUGGCUAGUAACUAUUGGUUAUUUGUACUGACUUCCAGCACUUGUCGCCACGUUUAUCAGACGUGUGCAGAGUUCCACAUCGCGAGUAUGCGAAGGGUGAUAGGAAUUCGAUUCCAACGAGCCUAUCAUCACGGUUGUCUUUCGCCCACAUCUAUUAUAUGUGUGCAGGUUCUGUAUGUUAAUGCAUGCGAAGGAUGGUAUGGUUUGAUUCCAAUGAGCCUAUCGUCAUGGUUGUUCGCCCACGUCUAUUAUAUGUGUGCAAGAUUCCGCAUCACGAGAAUGUGAAGGGUUAUGUGGUUCUAUUCAAAGGAACCUAUUUCCACGGUUGUUGCGUUGUCCAUGCAGCGUUAAAUGCAUGGGUGCCAUUUCUAUAGUGAACGGUAAUGUUUGUGGAUGCUUUCGUGGGUGCUGGCAUGAAAGGUUCAAGGUGUGAUGUGUUUUUCUACAGAUACACUAACCACGUUUACCUACGAAACGAAGCUUAGCAACUCGACUAGUUAUUAUAGUGAGAGUCAUAUUGUUGCCUUGCCACCGGCACUAACUGCGUAAGUCCAAGAUUUUUGGCGAUUGUUUUGGUUGUGAGUCGAGACUUCGUUAACCGGGGUGAGAUCAAGAUAUGCAAAAUACACACGGAUCUGAACAUUUCUGAUCCGUUGACAAAACCACUCCCGCAGGCUAAGCAUGAUGCGCAUGUAAGAGCUAUGGGUAUUAGGUACCUUCUAGAUUGACUCUAGUGCAAGUGGGACUCUGUUGGAGGUAUGCCCUAGAGGCAAUCAUAGAGAUGAUGAUAUUCCAUUUGUAUCCAUGAUUUGUAUACUGUGUUCAUUGAAUAUCCAUUAAAGGCUACUUGAAUUGAUUUGCAAUUAUGUGAAUUGUAUGUGAAACUCUUUACUUGUAUGGUUAUUCUAAAGUUGUCCCUAGUCGGAGUUCAUGUGAGGACACACAUGAAUAUUAGACUAGCACAUGUAUUAGUUGAUGACUAUGUUUCACAAGUCAUGGACAUGGAGAUGUUGAACUAAUAAUGUGGACACAUGUGGAGACAUGUGUUAGGACUGACCCAACACGAGAAGUAGUUCUCUCUUUAAACAACAUAUACGCUUUGUCCUUAGACCUGAGAUUGUCGCAUGUAUUCUAGAUGUGGAUUGACCUACUUAGGGGCUAUCAAACGCUACGCCGUAACAGGGUAGUUAUAAAGGUAGCUUUCGGGUUUGUCAAGAAGCAUGCUAUGAGACAUGGUCAAUCAAGAUGGGAUUUGCCCCUCUCUGAUUGAGAGUGAUAUCUCUGGGCCCCUCGAGUGAUCGGAUCAGAAAAUGCAUGGCCAUGCUACGUACGGUUAAGAGUUAACCUACAAAGGGAUUCCGAAUCAUAGGAUCGAGAAAGAGCGGUCGGCUUGAAGCUAGACCAAAUAUCGUGAGGCAAAGGGAAUAGCAUGUAUAUUAUGUUGUGAUGGUUCGUCUGAUAUGAUCUUCGUAUGCGUAUAGGAGUUGGCACGUCUUGCUAGAGGCCGCUACCGACUAUUGGGCCGAGUAGGAGUACUCGGGCCAUGUCUAUACGUAUCCGAACCCAUAGGGUCACACACUUAAGGGGCUGGAAGCCCAAUUCGGAUCUGAUCCGAGUUGGAUUAGGUUUAGGAGUACUAAUGGGCCUCGGAUCCAGAGGCCCAUCAGGAACCCCUAUAAAUAGAGGGGUGGGGGCGCCCUAGGGUGACACACCUUUUGGCUGAACACACUUGCCGCGCCUCCCACGCCCUCGCCUGUUGCAACUCGCGGAUCUAGCAAUCCGGCUUGCGACGCUUCCUCCCUGCACGUGUGGAUACCUUGGAGGUGUUGCGCCUGCAGCACUUGGACGAGCCGCCGACGAGCCGCCGACGAGCCGCGACGAGCCGACGACGAGCCACGGUACCAGAGGCGGUCUUGCUGUGCACGUAGACGAGCUGCUGAGGAGCUGCUGGACGUGAUCGACUACGUACGACUACGUUGAUCGACUACGUACGACUACGUGAUCGUCUUCACUGCAUCGACGCAAAUCUACAUCUUCCGCACCAGUAGUGCGUCGAGUGGUAAUCCCGUGAUCCUUAUACGGCAGUUCUUCCUGGUUAUACGCGGUAGAAAAUUUUGAUUUGCGCUAGUGUAGCCUACCUUGUAUCCCAACAAACUCUAGAAACUUUAUAUAAGAAAGUUGUGUUAAAAAUCCUAAAUAACUUUCUGUAAAAUUUUCAUGAAAAGCUACCACCUAGGUUGAAAGUUAGGAUCAGCUUUGAAACCCCCUGUUUGGCUGAUAAUACUGAGUGUACACCAGUUGGAGUGUUACUGUUUCGACCACUUUAACAACUUUUUAUUCUAGGAGUCCUUUAAUCAAAGUUUCUCAGAACUUAGUAAAGAACUUGGUGGUAAAGUUUCAGCUUCAUUAGGUCUCUAGUUUUGAAGUUAUGCUCAGCUUACUUCAGCUCGGUUUGAAAAAUUCCAGCAUAUACCCCCUAAUAAAAAUCUGAGCUUAUCACUCUGUUAGGUUCUGUUUUAGCUCUACCUUUGAAUACCAAACUUGUUGCACACUAUCUAAAGAACAUGUUAAUAAAAUUUGAGGAAUUUUGGAUAAAUGCUUGCUGACUUAUGAGUUUUUCUCUAACUAUCAAAAAUUUGUUUUGAUUUCCAAGUGUUGAUUCCGUUCCUCACUUGUCCUUUUGUUACAGAUGGCUCACCCUGUGUACGUUGCGGUUGGUGUGGAUGGCACCACCCACUCAACGUGCCUCCACUAUGAGGGUUUUCCGGCCAUACUGUGGGACACCUUGCGCUCGUUUGGGUACCCGUCACCGCCUGUUUACGCGGGAUGCGCGUACCAGGACCACAGGAUUUCUCGAAGCUGCGUGCAUGUGAAGGUGCCCCCACCCCCGGACCAGCCCUAGUGGCCACUUUUGGAGGUUGUGGAUGAGGGACACACGUUGCAGAACACGUGGGAGUUCGCGGCUUUACAGGCACUGACAAAGUUUUGCAGGGCGCACCCCCGGGAGAUUGUGUUAGAACCGAUUGGGUUGUUUCCUACCAGGGAUAGGAGAGAUCCGGAUUGGUUGGACCGCAUGGAGCACAUGGACUUGCUGGGAGUUAUGGACCCACAGCGUACGAUCUUUGUCUUAGCCUGUUGCAUGAAUGUGUUCUAUCGGAUGAUUGUGAUGCAGAGCAGGGCGAUGACCACUAUGAUUGGGAUGGCCGUGGCCAACUAGGUUUCCCUCACCACCGUGCAAAAUGGCAUGGUGAACUUGUCACUUGAGUUGGUACAGAAGGAUGUUCAGAUAGCAAAUAUGCAGGACUGGAUUUCUGGUUUAGAGGAGUAGAUAGUAGAAAUGGAGCAUGACAUGGAGAUGCUGGCUGACCAGUUCUAUGAUGUGAACAUGGAGCUCGUGAACACCAAUGAGCACCUACAGGAGCACCACGCUGAGCUUAAUGCUAUCCACGCCUUAGAGGUGCAGUUGGAUGAGCCUAUAGCUCAGGAGGAGGAGGAGCCCGAGGAGAUUGAGGGCUUUUCGAGUAUGGAUUUUGAGGAGGCCUCUCCGCAGCCCCGAGUUGGCGACGCACACUCUCCUGCUCUUAGCCUUGCCUCCGUAGGCAACCUGGACGACUUUUAGAUGUAUCAACUUGUUGGGAGUAGUUUCUUUUGUUGAACUCCUCGGCAACCUAUAUUUUGGUCAGUGAUGUAAUAGGUUAGCUUGAGUUGAGUAUUAGGGUGUUGAAAAACUGAUUUCAUGUAUGGUUUUGCCAUGGCUACCGACCAGUUGCAAUGUUUGAAAAUAUGUGGCAGAAUUUUAGUAGCUGUUUCUCCUCAGUUUUACCCCUGUCUCCACUCGUUUUUGAUCCAAGGUUUGAAUACCAAAGUUGUGUGGAAACAUGUGUUCUAACUGCUUAUAAAAUUUCAGCUCCUUUGGAUCUGUCAAACUUAUGUUAGAACCAAAACACCGCAGCUCAGCUUGCUGAAAAUCAGCCCAAAACAGCAGCGUGUUAAAUUGGCUAAACCACCCCCUUCCCUUCCUUUUCGGUCAACAAGCAUAACAUGAAGUGGAUAUGUACGAUGACUUCUAACUCUCAAAUAAGGAUGAGAACCUUGUAUACUUCAAAGGAGAGAUAUGCACCUACUCAAUAAAAGAUAUGAUUGUUGUGUUUGCACUAUCGGCAAGAUUAGCAUUUAAAGAUUCAGCACAUAAUUUUCCUUAUGAUUGGAAAGCUUUUGAGGAUUAUGUGACUAAUGGAAAGAUGAAUCUUGCAGAUGGCGCACCGCACCCAUUCCGGCUCUAUUCCUAGUGGCAGCGAGCAGAGGCAGGUGCCUCCACUGCCUCCGCCUCCGCCCACUCUAGAGGCGAUCUUGGCUGCUCAAACUGAGCUGCUGAGGCACAUCACCCAGGGGCAGCAGCAGCAACCCCAGGGAGUAAGAGCUCAUUAGCAACCUCAUGUUGCUCAUUAUGAGGACUUUCUGGGAACACAGCCUCCUCUGUUCCACAAGACGGAGGACCCGCUCAACGCCGACGUCUGGAUUCAUGCCAUCGAAUCCAAAUUCUCCCUCCUCACGGCCCAUUUCCCGGAUGAGAACAAGGCUCGGUUCACCGCGCAGCAACUGCGUGGUUCCGCCCUCCUAUGGUGGGAUCACUACCACGCCAUGCAUCCGGCCGACCACGUAGUCAGCUGUAAGGAGUUCAAGACAGCAUUCAGGGGCCAUCAUAUCCCUGAGGGUCUCCUGGAGCGUAAGCUCAAUGAAUUCCUGGCUCUCACCCAGGGAGGCCACGACGUCCUGCAGUAUGCGCAAGCUUUCAAUGACCUCUGUCGCUACGCAGGCUAUCAUGCGGACUCUAAUGAGAAGAAGAGGGACCGCUUCCACAGAGGUUUGAGUCUGGAGCUCAAGGAAAGGCUGAAUCCCAUCAAGGUGGAUUCCUUUAAUGAACUAGUGAACCUAGCAAUUUCCCAGGAAGAUUGCAUGAAGGCCCUCAAGGCCGAUAUGAAGCAGAAGGCUCCAAUGCUGGCACCCAGCCCACCUGCACAGAGAUACAGGAUGGUUCCCCCACAGGCGCCUCGUAGGCCCGCACAGCCUGGGAGAUGGGUUGCUCGACCCCCAUCGCAGGCAGCACCUCGUUUCCCUGGAUUCCAGCCACAAGGGCCCUCCCUGCUCUUCCAAUGCCACCACACCUUGCUACUGGAAACCACUGUUUCACCUGCGGGAAUACGGGGCACUUUGCCAAGAAUCAGCGGCCUGGCCAGAGCAAUGCACUGGGUAACAAGGGAAAGAAGCCUAGAGUGCAGGUCCGACAAGGCAGGUUGAACUUCACCACCCUUGCCGAGCUCCCGGAAGGUGCACCAGUGAUGGCGGGUACCUUCUCUGUCCAUAAUCAACCCGUCCUUAUUCUGUUUGAUUCGGGAGCAUCCUAUAGUUUCAUUGGGUCCCGAACCUAUGCGAAGUGUGGGUUAGGUUUCUGUCACACCAAAGGGGCAUAUAUAAUCUCUACCCCAGGUGGGAAAGUAGCCUCACACCAGUUGACACGCCAGGUACCUAUCAGUUUAGAAAGAACCCUUCUCAAGGAAGACCUACUUAUUCUUGGGUUAGAGGGGAUAGAUAUCAUCUUGGGCAUGGAUUGGAUGACUCGACACCGAGUAGCACUAGACAUCUCUGCCAGAGCAAUCCAUAUAAAAUCACCCAAAUAUGGUAGCUCAAUCGUACACUUACCCCUCCGCGAGUGCAAAACUUCUUGCGCCUAUCCUGUGACUGAAGCCCUUUUGGAAGACAUUCCAGUGGUGUGUGAGUAUCCCGAUGUGUUUCCAGAUGAUUUGCCGGGUAUGCCGCCUAAUAGAGAUAUCGAGUUUGCUAUUGAGUUGCAACCUAGCACUGCCCCAAUUUCGAAGAGACCGUACCGGAUGCCACCCGCCGAGCUGGCAGAAAUGAAAACUCAGUUGCAUGAGCUGUUGGAAAAAGGUUUUAUUCAUCCAAGUACAUCACCUUCGGGUUGUCUAGCCUUGUUUGUGAAAAAGAAGGAUGAGAGUCUCCGUAUGUGUGUGGACUACCGACCUCUCAAUGCGGUGAUGAUAAAGAACAAGUACCCAUUACCCCGCAUUGAUGUUCUGUUCGAUUAGUUAGCUGGAGCUAAAGUAUUUUCCAAGAUUGAUCUUCGUUCCGACUACCAUAAAAUCAAGAUCCGACCAUGCGAUAUUCCUAAGACUGCCUUCUCUACACGGUAUGGACUCUAUGAGUACUUAGUCAUGUCAUUUGGGCUUACUAAUGCGCCAGCUUAUUUCAUUUAUCUCAUUAAUUCGGUGUUCAUGCCCGAACUUGACAAAUUCGUCGUGGUAUUCAUCGACAAUAUCUUGGUGUACUCGAAGAAUGAGGAAGAACAUGCAGAGCACCUUCAUACUGUGCUUCAACGCUUAAGAGAUCACCAACUCUAUGCCAAGUUCUCCAAGUGUGACUUGUAGCUGGAUAGUGUUAAAUUCUUGGGGCACACUAUAUCCAGUGACGGCAUAGCAGUAGACCCAAGCAAAGUUCAAGAAGUAAUGGGCUGGAAGCCGCCCACUUCAGUUCAUCAAAUUCGAAGUUUUCUCAGUUUAGCAGGCUACUACUAUCGAUUCAUUCCUGACUUCUCAAAGAUAGCUAAGCCAAUGACGGAAUUGUUAAAGAAAGGAGUUAAGUUUGUGUGGAGCGAUAAAUGUGAAGAAGCUUUCCACACAUUGAAACAAGUACUGACCUCCGCACCGGUUUUAGCUCAGCCAGACACCACUAGGCCGUUCGAUGUUUAUUGUGAUGCCUCUGGCACUGGACUUGGGUGUGUUCUUAUGCAAGACAGCCGAGUCAUUGCCUAUGUCUCGCGAGCGCUACGGCCACAUGAGCUGAAUUAUCCUACCCAUGAUCUUGAGUUAGCAGCGGUUGUUCACGCUCUAAAAAUGUGGAGGCAUUAUCUCAUGGGGACUCGUUGCAAUAUCUAUACGGAUCACAAGAGUCUCAAAUAUAUCUUCACUCAAGCAGACCUCAACAUGCGUCAGAGAAGAUGAUUAGAAUUAAUCAAGGACUAUGACUUAGAAGUGCAUUAUCACCCAGGCAAAGCCAAUGUAGUCGCAGAUGCUCUCAGCCGCAAAAUCCAUUGUAACUGCUCGUCGGCAACCAACUAUGCUGAAACCUUAUGUCAUGAGAUGACCAAGCUUAAUUUGGAAAUUAUUCCCCAUGGCACCUUAAGUCAUAUUUCUCUUGAGCCUAUCUUGGAGGACCAGAUUAUUUUAGCGCAAUUGGAGGAUAAAGAGAUAAAACUUACCAAGAAAAAGCUUGCACACAAAGAUGAGGGAUAUAAACACUUCCAACAAGAUUGGAAGGGAGUUGUACACUAUGAAGAUCAACUAGUUGUUCCAAAUGAUCCUAAUCUUAAGAAAUGAAUUAUGGAUGAAGCACACCUUUCCAAGUUUUCGAUUCACCCUGGUAGUACCAAGAUGUACCAUGAUCUCUGACAAAAUUUCUGGUGGAGUGGGAUGAAACUAGAUAUUGCAUGAUAUGUUUCAGAAUGUGAUAUGUGUCAACGAGUUAAAGCAAGCCACUUGAAGGUAGCGGGCACCUUGCAACCAUUACCUAUUCCCUCAUGGAAGUGGGAGGACAUAAGCAUGGACUUUAUCGUCGGAUUGCCCAAUACCUCUCGCAAGCAUGAUUCCAUAUGGGUUAUAGUAGACCGACUUACCAAAAAGCGCAUUUCCUUCCAGUACACACUACCCACACUAUACAAAAAUAUGCAGAGCUGUAUCUUGACCGAAUUGUUUCCUUGCAUGGUGUGCCUAAAACGGUCAUCUCUGAUCGAGGUAGUCAGCUUGUAGCGCGCUUUUGGGAGCAGCUGUAGUCUUCACUUGGCACUAAGCUAAUUCGUAGCUCCACAUACCACCCUUAAACCGACGGACAAACUAAAAGAGUCAACCAGAUACUAGAAGAUAUGCUAUGCGCUUGUGCCAUUCAUUAUAACAAGAAUUGGGAUAAAUGUUUGCCAUUAGCAGAAUUCUCAUACAACAAUAGCUACCAAGCCAGUUUAAAAAUGGCACCUUUUGAAGCUUUGUAUGGAUGUAGAUGCCAAACCCCGCUAAAUUGGUCACAACCAGGAGAGCGGACGAUAUAUGGACCCAACUUGGUAAUGGAGGUCGAAGAAAAAGUGAGAGUUAUUUGAGAAAAUCUUAAGGCUGCCCAGUCCCGACAAAAGAGCUAUUUCGAUUAGAGGAGAAGAUCUAUCCAAUUUGAGGUUGGAGAUUUUGUAUACCUUCGAGUAUCGCCGACUAAGGGCGUACAACGAUUUGGAGUGAAAGGAAAGUUGGCUCCACGCUAUAUUCGUCCAUAUGAGAUUGUGGAAAUUUGUGGACCUGUAGUGUACCGAGUUAAACUCCCGGAGAAUAUUGCCGUGAUACACGAUGUUUUCCAUGUCUCGCAACUCAAUAAGUGUGUUCAAGUUCCGACCGAAAUUCUUGCAACAGAAGAAUUGGAGAUCUAACCCGAUUUAUCAUACAAGGAAUAUCCUGUCAAGAUCCUCGACCGGAAAGAAAGACAUACUCGUAGACAAAUGGUGAAAAUGUACAAAAUUCAGUGGAGUAACCAUACGGAAGAUGGAGCAACGUGGGAAACAGAAGAGUAUCUCAAUGCUAACUUCCACAGUUUUCUUUUCGACUAGGGAGGUACCUUGCACCAGCCACACUAGUUCCUUUCUGCACUUGAAUCUCGGGAUGAGAUUCUCUUAAGGGGGGUAGGCUGUAACAAAUCUGGCUUAAUUAGGUGUAAUUAAACAUAAACAAGUCUUUGGUCACUAAGCAAAAGAGGUGAAAUGUCCUUUUUGACCCUAAGAAGCUCGUUUUGGAGUUAAAUAUAAAACUUGAGUUUUUAUAUACAAACUUGAAAUUUUUCCCAAAUAAGAGUUGUAAAACUUUUAAUUUCAAACAACUUUUGUUAAAGACACUUUGUCUAAUUCAGAGUGGGAGAAGGUCAAAAACAAGAAUCAAAAUAGGAGUGUUAUAGAACCCUAGAAACAACCUAUGUUCUGGAAUUCAAGUUUUUCUUCGACUUUGCAACCUGUUAUCUCACAAGUUUACAUCUAACCUCGAGUCAGACCUUUAAUAAAAAUUGUAGUCCCUUGAGUGUGUUUCCAGCUUUGUUACACUGACCCAGAUCUAAAUCGUAACCAAACCUGCUCAAAGUCUUGGUCAAAGUCGGGUAAAACAGUAAACUCAGCCCUCGAGGCAUUCCAGCUCUCAGUCUGGAAACCAUCCAGAGCGCGCCUCUUGGUGAGUGUGUUCCUCCAAUUUUUUGAACUAAACUCGAGAAAAGUCCUAAGAUCGAAGAGCAACUCCUUCAAUAGCACCUUGGUCUUUUUCAAACCAGAAACUGCCCUUAAGUCGAGUCAAGGACAGCCAAACUCCUGAAAUUUUCACCAACUCGGCUGAAAAGCCUAAGUCCGAAAAUUAUGGUUUUUGGCAAACCUUGGCUCAAGUUUUCUCCAAAUCCUUUCAAAAUCUGAGCAAACGCUUUUAAUAAAGUUGAACUACGACCGCAGUACUACAAGUUUGUUUAAGGGUCCUUUGAACGUUUAGUUUGAAAAAUCUCGAGUAGAGGGCCCCCAAAGCCGGUCUUGUUUUUUGUCUAAAGUUGCCUCGACGCUAGCACGUCCAGGCAUGUUCGCCCGCGCGCCGCCCGCCGCGUGGCCGCCAUCCACCGGCGAGCUCACCGUCACCCUACCCGCGCCCACGACAAGAUGGGGCAAGCGCUGUGCUGGCCAAUUGCCGCCGAGGCUGUUCCCCUCCUCCUGCGUGUGAGCCGCUCUGCCCAUCCAGUGCCCGCGUCUUCCUUCCCCUCGCAUGCCACGCCACCGCCAGGUACCGGCCGCGCCGCCGCCCCCAAUCCGGCGCUUGACGCGACCAGACGCACGCCCGGCCUCACUAAUCCUUCCGCCCGCCAAAACCAUGCUUGCCAGAUGUUAUCUCCUUUGCCCAAUGCCCGGAGGAUCCUAUCCCCAGAACUCCGCUUCUCCGGCCAAUGGAGGCGCCAACUAAUCGCCACCACAACAGAGCACUUCCUUCUCUCUCGAUCUUAUCCUCUCACCCACUCAAGCUCGUUUCCUUCCUCCGAACACUUCCGCGCAUCUAUAAAAAGGUACCAAAGCCUCUUACCGGAGUUCCCUUCGCCAAAACUGCCUUUGCCGCUCUACCUGCUCUAUUUUUCUCCACCGCACUCACCGCUGCACUUGGAGCUGCCACUCCGGACAGCCCCGUGCAGCGACUCCUUCACCGUCAGCUUCGCCUUAGUCGCCUAGAGCUUAUCGACCUGCUCAAGGAGCCCCUGCUCAAGGAUCGUCGCCGCCAGUUUCCACAACAUCAACCCGAGCUGCCGCUGUUCCUCAUUUUGCCCCUUUUUGUUUCUUCCCGACCCCAAGACCUCAUCCGUAGGACCGGAGGUGAGCUGCCGACCCCUUUCCAACUCUUCCUGACCCUGAUUCAUCCGUGAAAGCGACCAGACCUUGUCCGUCUCGCCCGAGUGUUGUCCGCCUCGCUCGAGUGUUGUCCGCCUCGCCCAAGGGCUUGGUUGAGUCUUUUCUUUUGACCAAGGGUGUGGCGCAACCGCUCAGAUUAGCCUAGCUAAAGCACAAUAAGUCGCCUCACACGUGGUCUUAUGCUUUAACCAAGUUAACUCGGCAGUCCGUAAUUUCGCUUCAAUCAGUCUCGUAAUUUCGGCCUUUAUAUCAGGUAGAAUUUUAGGAUUGCAUCGUCGUGCGGGCUGUUGAUACGGUCGAUAUUCUGGUUUUAUGGGCAACCGGUGUUCAACAAUGGACUGGUCUAGGCCAGGCAUAUCUAGGUAUUCCCAAGCAAAACAAUCUUUAAAUUCCUUUAAUAAGUCUAUCAAUUUACACUUGUAUUCGGGAUCCAAGUUAGCACUAAUGUACGUCGGCCUUGGUUUGGUGCCAUCACCUAAAUCUAUCAUCUCUAAUGAAUCGGCCGACGUAAACUCGUGCCCCAGCUUUCCAUCUUCUUGGACAAACUGAUCCAUCUAAUCUGAAUCUUCAGAGCCGACUGCUCGGAUCGGUUGUAGGCCAAAAUCGGACACUUUCAAGAAAUCGGUGUCCCAAGUCCUCCCGGAUAUGCACUUGACGUGUUCGCAGCUCCACUGCUGCGUAUGGGCCGCAGCAACACCGUAGGCGGAAUCGGCGGUGACUAUCUUGAUGUUGUUGCCGACCCAUUGUACGAGGCAUUGGUGCAUUGUAGACGGGACGCAGCAAUUCGCAUGUAUCCAGUCGCGUCCGAGCAACAUGUUGUAGGACCCUUUGCCAUUAAUAAUAAAGAAAGUAGUGGGAAGGGUCUUACGGAUGGUGAGGUCGACACAGAAAGCCCCGCGCCCGGGAGACACGUUGCCCUCGAAGUCCUUGAGCAUCAUGUCCGUCUUGGUUAGAUCCUCGUCACUUUUACUCAGCUUUUAGAACAUGACGUACGGCAUGAUGUUGACUGCAGCACCUCCGUCUACUAGUAGCCUGGUGACAGGUUGACCAUUGACGUGUCCUUUGAGGAACAGUGCCUUGAGGUGUUGCCAUUUUUCAUCUUCGGAUUUCUCAAAAGUGGCUGUCAUUGGCUCCAAAGCCAAUUGUGCCAUCUGUUCCUCCAUAUCCGUUGUGUCGUACCGAUCGGCGGGAGCCAUGAACUCCAUCGGCAAGAUGAACACCAUGCUGAUGUCAGCUGCCGAUUCCAGGUUGCCAUCUUCUUCAUUGUUGUUUCUUUUGGGGUGCCAAACUCGAGACCUGUCAUCUUUCUUAUCCACCACCUGCCUCUGCUCUUCUUCCUAUUGUUCCCAUUGGCGCAGGCAUUGGAUCCUUCAUUUUUUCGAUUUGGUCAAUCCAUCAGGGCAAACCUAGGGUUCACCGGUUUGGCCAGUAGCCUGGCGCGCUCCCAGUCCGGUUCCCGUCCUAGGGGGUUUUCAUCUGACACCCUAGCAUCAGCCAUCUCCUCUAGCCGAUCGUGUGCACUGACUCUGCCCCCCGGUCGAUCGUGCUGUUCGCGUCCGUCCCUUGGCCGAUCAUAUCGGUCAACUCUGCCCCCCAGCCGAUCACUCACUAAAAGGCGCCGAUCCUCUUGCUCGCGCCAGUUUCUGCUGAUUGGCUCUGAUCCUCUGUCCCUAGAGCGAGGCAUCUUGAAUGGGCGAUUAUUGCGAUAUGGACCGCUGCACUCCGGGCAAUUAUCAGCCGAUGGCAACCUAAGGUUAUUUUCCCAGCAAUGGAUGAAGAAAGGACAUCGCCAAUGAUCUUCGUGUUGUCGCAUUAUUUCUUCGCGAUAUCUCGAACUUUCCUGUUGCCGCUGAUACUUGUUGAGCAAGAACUGGGAGGUAAUAGGUCUACGCGGUCUUUCCGAUCCUUCACCCUCAUCGUCAACCCGUCUCUUCCCCUUGACAUCUUCGAACGUAGCUUCAUUCCUGGGGUCCACAGCGCCACACUUUUUAGCCGAUUCCGACGUCAGCAUUUUGGUUUGAAGCGCAUUUCUUCCCGUAUCAACCAUGUUAGUGGGGAAAGGAUGCUGAUCAAUCUUCAUUGGCUUUGCUAGCCUUGUCGGGACCUCGAACUUGAGUCUGCCUUGCUCGAUGGCCGAUUGUAUCUGCUAGCGGAAGAUUUUGCACUCGUUCGUGUCAUAGGACAUGGCACUGUGCCAUUUGCAAUACUUCAUCUUUCUUAGCUGCUCGGCCAAUGGGAUCGUAUGAUAGGGUUAGAGUUUGAUCUGCCCCUCUUGGAGAAGUAGGUCGAAAAUUUUGUCGGCCUUUGACGUGUCAAAACUAAAUGCCUCUGGUUCCUUUUUCCCGAAAGGACACGAUAUCGGCUUUUUUCCUUUAACCCACUCUGCUAGGCUGAUUUCCACUUCCUCCUCAGAUUUAGAUCCCUCUAAGUAUGCCACCUUUUUCUAAAAAUUUCUUCGCUGAUCAAAGGAGCGUACUUCUUGACCGAACAAUCGGUGGACGAUCUGACUUAGGCUCUUGAACUCCUGGGAAGCGUAUUUCUCCUUGAUAUGUGGCAGGAGGCCUUGGAAGGCAAUGUCGGCCAGCUGCGCAUUGGUCAGGACAAGGGUGUAGCAUUUGUUUCUGACUUCCCUAAACCUUUGCACAUAAUUGGUCACGAGCUCGUCGCUCCUCUACCUGAGCCUGGUCAAAUCUGAUAGCUUCAUCUCAUGGACUCCUGCGUAGAACUAUUUGUGGAACUGCUUUGCGAGGUCAGCCUAGGUGAUGAUGGAAUUGGGUGGUAGCGUAGUGAACCACUGGAAAGCCGACCCGGACAGGGAUGAUGAGAACAGACGCACCCGCAGGGCAUCCUGUGUAGCUGCCUCCCCGCAUUGGAUGAUGAAUCUGUUUACGUGUUCCACAGUUGAGGUGUCAUCCAGCCCUGAAAACUUAGUGAAGUCGUGGACUUUGUACCGAUGGGAAAACAGCAGUAGAUCGUAGCCAGGCGGGUAAGGCGUUUUGUACGUGUAAGUUUGUACCUUUGGCUUCAAUCCAAAUUGAUCUUGGAUCACCUCCGCUAUCCUUGCCGUCCAGUCUACUUGCUGCUGAUGAAUUACUGGAUGGGGAAUCGGCACAUGUUGGUGGAUCGGCGGCGGGAUGACCGGGUGCUGAACCAAAGCGUACGGCGGAUUCUGCGGUAACGUGGCCGGCUGAGCAGUUGACAUUUGAUGGUGCAGUGAACCAGCCAUCUCAUCAUACAGUAUCAUCAGCGCCGCACCUCGGAGUGCUUCAGCAGCGUCUGCCCCCCUGCCGAUUUCUGACGUGGCUGGUUGAUACUGUGGAACCGUCGGCCGGGUGGCCGACUGGAAUGGUUCCUGAAUCGUAGAGCCUCCAUAGCCGGCCGAUUGAUCCAGAAUGGCCGCUGUUGACGGUGCCCCCCAAGGCACUGAGUUUGAUGGCGAUGAUUGCACGGAUGAAACUUGAGCAGGCUGCGCCGGUGCUUGUGAUUGAAAGCAUGGCGCACCGUUGUAUCCUGGAUGCAUUGAAGGCAGUGAAGUGUUGUAUCCUCCAUGCUAUGUCGGCAUCGGCUGAGGAGCCGAUUGAGAUGUGCCCGGUAAGCUCUUGACUGGGGCUGCGAUGGGUGCGUAUGCCGGCCCGUGAUAUCCUUGAGAUAUGCCAUUGGCCAGGGAGCUAAUGAUGGCAUUGUACACCGUGUUGGCCAUCACCGGGGAUUGAUCAAUGAAGGCCUGGUAGACGGACUGUUGGAUCAUGUCGGACAUCUUGGUCAAAUCCUCAGUGAUGGUGAUCUGAUGGGGAGUUGGAAAAGGAGCUUUUUCUUGACGGUCUCCCCGCUCCUGGUAUGACUGAAAGAUUGCAAGCACGUUUUCCUGUAUUGUUCCAUUUGCUUUGCCAACUCUUCUUUCUGGUUGUCCUUGAGAUCUGCUUCCGUCACUUCGAUGACGUUGUCUUUGGAGAUUUUGGCAGCUUUCGACAUGUUGGAGGUUGAAGUGGUCCCACUGGGCGUGCCAAAAGUGUGUUGGCGCUAAAAGUCAGUCGAUUGACCCUCAGCAUCGGACACACGACCCGGGAGAAUCUGCCUACCUCCUGUUUGGGUGAUUGCCCUAGUGCGGUUCGCGCGGUGUGCCAACCAAUCUAACCUGUUGAUUGGCAAGGAAGAAAACAUGUCAAUUUCUAGGGGUUCCGAUUGGCUAAAGGUUUUGAUCUCGAAAAGCGUAUCAGCGAAUCGGUCGAUUUGCUAUGUGAAGAUAAUCGGCUAUAAUACAGCCGACAAUCACGUAGCGAUUGCGAAGGAAACUACUAGAGUAAAUUGAACAAGGCUACGAAAGCAACACUUGAAACGGAUCUAAUCGACUAUAUGAUAAUGAUGAAUGAAAAUAACAAUAACAAAGCCGACAGUUCAAAUCCCAAGCUGGAUAGCUGGUGAUAAAACUAGAACACCAGAUAGAACCUAUAAUUCUAGUAAAUAUCGAUAACUUGUGAAUAAAUCUAAACGAAACAACAGCGAUGCGCCCGAAGUUAAAGCUUAGAUAUUACUCGAUAAACGGAGCUUACAAAAUUGGCUGGAGAUCGUGUCAAUGCAGCCCUGCCAACCCGUACGAACUCGUGAAAGAAGAAAAGUAUUGGCGAAGUCGCCGACUUGAAAGUAAAGUGCGAUGAAAAAGUAGAUUUGUUUGUAUUGAUUGAUGUGUUGUUUUAUAAAUCUCAAAAGAUGGCUAUUUAUAGCCUGUUACAACCAAUUUCCUAACCGACUAGGAUCUAUCUCUAAUUUUAAAUAGAAACGAAUAUUUACAAAAACAACUCAUAUCGGAGUUGGUUAUUGUACUCCCACGGGCCAAUCCUUCUUUAUCUUCUUCCUUUGACCCACUUUAAGCCCAUAUUGGCCCAAUCGCUCCAGCCUUCCAAUCGGCCGAUCUCCACCAACUCCGUUUGCCAAAACAUUAAAGCGCCAAUCAGCUGAUCCCCAACUGUAGCACCAAUCGACCGAUUCCCAAUCGUGACCUUUUAAUCUGCCGCAUCGGCCAGCCCUUUCCUUCCUUGACGCCGAUUCCAUACGUGUCAAAAUCUAGCAUCAACACAUGCCCCCCAAUUUUGGAGUAAAACAUAACUUCUACUUUGAAAUUCCUUUUUAACUUCUCCUCCGAAACAAACGCAUCAAAAAUCUCCUUCCGUUUCGCAGUCUUCUACCUGAUGAUUGCAAUCUUUUCGAAUCGGGCGCCUGAGACAACCACUCCCCCGAAAUUCGUGUAGACAGCGCGGUAAAAAUCCUACCUUUACCCCUUCUCGGACCGUCUUUAAAUACUGGCACGCCCCGCACUUCUUCUUCACAAGCCAGUAACUUUCUUUCUUGGCGCACUAGUUUCCAUCUUCUUCCAACGCCCUCUUAGCUUCCAACCACAUCUUCUAGCGACCCCCUUUUCAUCCGCAUUCCGCUUCAUCUUCCCAAUGGCGGCACCAUCAGCAACUCCACUAGUAAGGGAGACUCCGCCGACAGCUCCAACGGUGGCGGCAGUAGCUCCAUCAGCGACGGAGGCUCCACCGGCAGCUUCAUUAGUGGCGGCAGCUCCACCAGCAGCCCCGUCGAUGAUGAUGACUUUCAUCCCGGAGGUACUCAUCCGGAACUUUCUCUUUUUACUUUUACCGUCCACGCAUUUGUUUUAGAUCCAUUCUUAGUUCUUCCAUUUUACCUUUUUUAGGCGGUCAGACACCAAAUCCCCAUUCGCCUUUCCGAAGCCCCUAGCCUCAACUGUCUAGGUCCUAUGGGGAAUCCAGACCCAACCGAUCUGAUAAAUUUAGAGACUCACAGAAUUCCGUUUAAACAAUCCCCAAUGGAGUCAGACCAGUGGUCAGGCACCUUUAGAUCUUGGCCGAAUGAAACCCCCGGUUGGAAAGAGUGGUACCAAAGGAUAGCCAACUCUAAGAGAGUUCAAUGGGACGAACGAAAAAUCAGCUAGUGCAUCAAUCUUUCUCUGUCUUAGAUGGAGAGAAAUGAGCCCUUGGUAAUGGCAGCCUCCUACUUCUGGUCCGACGCCCUCAAUGCAUUCCUUUUCGGCCAUGGGCCUAUGACCCCCACUCUGGCCGAUGUUGUGAUGUUGACCGGCCUCGACAUUUCUUCCCCCGAUACCCCCAUCCAUUAUCUGGUCAAGCCGACCCAUCGGCUGGAGACAAAAGGAAUCGGCGGGUGGAAGGGGUACAUCAAGAACAACAUGAAGACCGGGACCAUUUCAGAGAGAGAAUACGCAGCCUUCCUAAUGAUGUGGUUGGAGAAACAUCUUUUCUGCGGCAGGGCAGUUGGUCCGUCUUCCAACACACAAGCUUUGGCCGAAGCAUUAUAGAGGAGCCUCCGUCCCCCUCGGGAAGCAUCUACUAGGAUCGGCCUAUCACAUGCUACACCAAAUCGGCGUCAAACUAUCCAAGGGAGAGCCGAUUGGAAACCCAGGUGGCCCCUAGUGGUUUAUCAAUCUCUGGCUUAAUUUGUAUAUGAGCAAGAUCUCAUAGCAUCGGGUGGAGCAUAUGACAUUCCCCAACAUUGAGUCAGAAGAAAACCCCACCAUACGGCGCUGAUGCACUUCUUUCGGCGAAGCAGCAUCACUCUUCCCUGGUUGCCAGCUCACUGCCACCAAAGUAGCCGAAUAUUUCAGAUGUUUCUAUAACGGCUUCAGUGAAGAAACUACCAGGUGGUACCCAUAUCAGAGGACAGAGCCACUUUUUGAGCUCCCCUUCUAUAACGAUUCGACGUCCAACACCUUUGAUAAUGAUAUCAUGGACACCUUGAUCAAACCAGGGAUCUUACCAGCAGACUUUUUCUCGGGGAAGGAUGCCCCUACUUACGAGUUUUACAAUCCAUCAGUUGCAGCACAGCAAUUCAGCCUAGGUCAGCUGCCGAUUCGAGUCUACUUCGCCGGUCGCGUAAAAUUCUGAGACAAGCUCAGCAAGGGUCUUGACUACAGUCGGCUGUGCAACCGAGUGCUCGAUUCCAGCACCAUCGAUUUGAACAACUGGAUAGUAGCUCCUUUCGCUGUCCAACCUUUAAAAUUAUGGUGGGCAGAAUGGAAGCAGCAUCUAUUUUGUGCGUCUCCCACGACAUAUUGCAAUGAUCUAGACCGUGAGAACAUCGACCCGAACGCAGCGGUACUACUUCUCUCUCAGCCGAUUUUGAUGUCAUCUGCCUUCUCAUACCACAAAUUUUAUCGCUAACUCUUACUUUCUUUUAUAGGUGAGAGUCAACUUCCUCCAACACGCAGCCGGAGUGGCAGGCCGAUAGAGAAUCGCUACCCAUACACCGAAUUCCCACUCAUCGGCCAUCAUGCCCCAUCCAUUGAUGACAUCACCACUGGCCGAUUGAAACCGACGCUGAAGAAAACCUUAAAGAAGACAAGCCGCCGAGUGCGCGCUCGCACGGAAUCGGCCGAUCAGUCGGUGGCAGCAUCGGCGGAAUCUUUGGCUGUGCUGAUUCUCCCAGUCAUCGAGGAAGUUGACCCUCAAGCUGCUGCAGAAGCUGGAGCGGCCGCUGCAUCGUUGCUAGCUGAAGCCUUUCAGGUAACCUUGUGUUUACAUCCUCCCGAGUAUUCUCUUGAUACUAACUUCUUUUUUAUAUCAGGCUGCACAAGUCGCUCCGGUGCCUCCGCAGCAAUCGGCCACACCCCAAGCAGAAAUCAGAGUGCCAGUAAUUCCUCCCACCGAGGUAAAGAAUCCCUUAACUCAAAUUUUCAUACUUAAUCAAAAGCUUGACCGAUUCUGAUGCAAGGUACCCUUGGUACGUCAAUUGUACCUUUUCAACAGCCAUCGGCUAGGGAACCCACGGAGGUACGGCAAACACCACGUGUCAUCAGAUCUAACCAUUUGUAUUAUACUCAUAAGAAUUUGCUUCUCGUAUCUUUCUAGGAGGCCGGUCCGAGCAGGGCAUCGAUAAUCGUCGAAUCCUCCUCCUUUGAUGAGCUGGUCAUACCAGUUCCCGAAUCAAGAGUAGCACUCCCGCCAACGCAAGCAGAAGAAAUCCGCUUCAAAGAGGUAAGAGACUUGUCACCUGAAUUGGCCGAUUUCCCUAUUACCGUCGGCUAACCGAUGCUUAUUAUUUUUUACUCUUUCACAGGAACAAGAUACUCCCAAUAAUAGCCUUUUCUCUUUCGCGGUCGCGCUUUCUGAUGACGAGGAGGUUGCUUCACGUCAAGUUACCCUGAGCUCAAUCCCUGAUGACGUCCGCGCCAAGCUCGAGAGCAUACGGACCCUCCUCCAAGAUGACAUCGGUCGAUGGGUGGAGGAUGCCUCGCUGAUUCAACAGCUCCUCAGCGAUAUCAGAGGCUGAGUCCCAAAAAAGGCAGAAGAAGCUCUAGCACCUGCCGCAUACAUUGAUUCAAUGCAGAUUCUGGUGUUCAGAGCUUUGCGACAUAUGGCCAACCGUGCUAAGCUGGCUAAAGCUCGUGAGGAGGAAAAUUCCUACAACCAUCGAGCCCAAGAGGUUCAUCAUCGAAUCAACUUCCUUGAAAGCUCCCGCCCAGGUAUCGUUGGUGCUAUAGACCGCCUCAAGCAUCGAAGGGCAAAGCUUGCCAAGGAGAUGGAGCAGGUAACCAAGGACAUAGCCAUUGAAGAGAAAAAAACUCCAAGAUCUCCCUUCUGUUAUCGCCGAGCUAAAGCAAGAGAGGCAUAACCUGGCCCACGAAGCAAUCAAGCUCCAUCGCCAUAUGCUAGAAGUCCCUAGAUCAGCCGACAACGACCAACAAACUUUAGACUCGGCCGAUUAGGUUAGGCAGCAAGCGAUUGCGGCUAUUAAUGCCCUCCUUGGAUGAACUGUAAAAGUACUAGCCGCUCUGUAAAAACAUUAAUGUCUUUUGACCAUUUGACGUGCGGAUCCAAUCUUGACCCGUCCUUCAUGGCAGCCUUUCAUUUAUUACCCCUUUUAGUCUGAUGGGACGCGUCUUACCAAAUUCUUGCCUCUUUUCUUUCUACAAGUACGAGACCCCGUAUUGUUUCCAAGGGCAUUCGUCUCGUUCGUCCUCUUCUCCUCUAGUAGUUCAUACCACCAGACUAUUCACCAAGAUGUCUUCUUCAUCUUCCUCCUUUUCCUCCUUCUCCGUCAACCAGGUACGAGAUCUUCCUUCGCCCUCCAUUCCCCAGUCUGACAUUUUAACCAGUCUGAUGUCGAGCGGUUAUCUGUUAAUUUUUUCAGCCGAGACGUCCUAGUCCCGAACUGGAACGGGAGAUUGAGAUCAUGCACUCCGAUGAACCAUUGUCGCAGGAGGACAAAGAUUUGAUCAGAGGCCAUAUUGAAGAACUCAGGGAUCAUGUCCCUGCUGAAGUCCAGAGGAUCUGGGAUCACAUCGACGCCAACUGCCCCAGGCAGCCGCCAAUCGAAAGGAGUCAUCCACUCCCCCGCCCAGUCGCCCUUGAAGACGCCACAGCGGGAACGUCUCAACCAUCGCUUGAUCGGAGCCACCCUCUUCCUCGCCAAGUUAAGGCUGAAGCCGCGAUGAAAUAUUUGGAGGAAAAGAGCAUCCGCCUCUUGAUAGAGUUAGGUCGGGUAGAGAGGGAGCUUAAGAAAAAGCGUGGUUAACAGAUGUGUUGGUACUUUUUGUUCUAAGGGUGACUUGUACCGUGUUGUCCAUGUACCCCAUCGUUCGUACCGAAUAAUAAAUCGGCCAACUUGGACGAAUGUUUUGUUCCCAAGGCAAUUUUAUCUUUGCAUCGGCUACAAGAUCUAAUAGGAGCUGGACGCGCCAUCUUGAUACACUCCAUAACUAGUUAUGCAUCGACCCAUAUACUAGGAUAAUAUAUCUGUUGGAGGUAUGCCCUAGAGGCAAUCAUAGAGAUGAUGAUAUUCCAUUUGUAUCCAUGAUUUGUAUACUGUGUUCAUUGAAUAUCCAUUAAAGGCUACUUGAAUUGAUUUGCAAUUAUGUGAAUUGUAUGUGAAACUCUUUACUUGUAUGGUUAUUCUAAAGUUGUCCCUAGUCGGAGUUCAUGUGAGGACACACAUGAAUAUUAGACUAGCACAUGUAUUAGUUGAUGACUAUGUUUCACAAGUCAUGGACAUGGAGAUGUUGAACUAAUAAUGUGGACACAUGUGGAGACAUGUGUUAGGACUGACCCAACACGAGAAGUAGUUCUCUCUUUAAACAACAUAUACGCUUUGUCCUUAGACCUGAGAUUGUCGCAUGUAUUCUAGAUGUGGACCGACCUACUUAGGGGCUAUCAAACGCUACGCCGUAACAGGGUAGUUAUAAAGGUAGCUUUCGGGUUUGUCAAGAAGCAUGCUAUGAGACAUGGUCAAUCAAGAUGGGAUUUGCCCCUCUCUGAUUGAGAGUGAUAUCUCUGGGCCCCUCGAGUGAUCGGAUCCGAAAAUGCAUGGCCAUGCUACGUACGGUUAAGAGUUAACCUACAAAGGGAUUCCGAAUCACAGGAUCGAGAAAGAGCGGUCAGCUUGAAGCUAGACCAAAUAUCGUGAGGCAAAGGGAAUAGCAUGUAUAUUAUGUUGUGAUGGUUCGUCUGAUAUGAUCUUCGUAUGCGUAUAGGAGUUGGCACGUCUUGCUAGAGGCCGCUACCGACUAUUGGGCCGAGUAGGAGUACUCGGGCCAUGUCUAUACGUAUCCGAACCCAUAGGGUCACACAUUUAAGGGGCUGGAAGCCCAAUUCGGAUCUGAUCCGAGUUGGAUUAGGUUUAGGAGUGCUAAUGGGCCUCGGAUCCAGAGGCCCAUCAGGAACCUCUAUAAAUAGAGGGGUGGGGGCGCCCUAGGGUUGACACCUUUUUGGCUGAACACACUUGCCGCGCCUCCCACGCCCUCGCCUGUUGCAACUCGCGGAUCUAGCAAUCCGGCUUGCGACGCUUCCUCCCUGCACGUGUGGAUACCUUGGAGGUGUUGCGCCUGCAGCACUUGGACGAGCCAUCGACGAGCCGCCGACGAGCCACGACGAGCCGACGACGAGCCGCGGCACCGGAGGCGAUCUUGCUGUGCACGUGGACGAGCUGCUGAGGAGCCGCUGGACGUGAUCGACUACGUACGACUACGUUGUUCGACUACGUACGACUACGUGAUCGUCUUCACUGCACCGACGCAUAUCUACAUCUUCCGCGCCAGUAGUGCGUCGAGUGGUAAUCCCGUGAUCCUUAUACGGCAGUUCUUCCUGGUUAUACGCGGUAGAAAUUUUGAUUUGCGCUAGCGUAGCCUACCUCGUAUCCCGACAGUGGUAUCAGAGCCGUAGCUGCUUAGUUUUGGAUUCGGGAUGUGUGCAUAUGGAGAUAUGCGAGUUCUCUGUUUGAUCUAUGUCCUGAUUUCGUGCCCUUCCUGCAAUGGUAGUGUAACGACAUACUCCUACCGGUCGGUUUCCGCCAUCGGAGUUAAGUGAUACACGUAAAUCCAGUUGCAGUGAGGGAAGAUCAAUAUGAUUGGUCAAAUCGAGAUCCAGGGUCAUACGCCAGGCGCAUUAGAUGUGCAAUAGUAGAUGUGAUCUACUGCCGGGGUCGGGAUUUUGCCGUAUGCGCAUGCUUCGGUAAAUCAGCCGUAACUUUUCGGUACGAUCUCGGAUCGGGGCGAUUUCUAUACGAAAAUUGAUCUACAGAAAAAGUUACACGUGAAUUUCAACCGCUUCGCCGUUUUCAGCGAAAUUAGAUUUGCCAAAUUCGGCUUGGAAGAUGGAGUUUCGGGCCUCCCAAGUUUGGAACGUUAGGACGCCUAACUCUCUUUUGCAGGAUGUAUGUAUAUAUCUUGUGAUCAGUAUGGCCCCCUUGUGUAUGUGAUGCAUGUGUGUAACUAAUUCGUGACCUGCGUGUCGCGCGUACGGCAACACGGCAGGAGCCAAAUGUGUUGUCACUUUAUUGUAAUUAAUGGUCUGCGUACCAAUCUGUGAUGAUCCAAGCAACUAUGUAAUCUUCAUUACUAGAUUCUUUACUAGCUAUUAGGCGUAAUAGCAUGCUCUAGUUCUUGGAGGACUCAUCACCAGGAGGAUGGCGCACAUGGAACAUGGAGAUGGAGAUCACCAUGGUGAACAGGUUCUAUGGAGAUGGAGAUCACCAUAAGAAAAACGGGCCAUACUGUGUCACACCUGUGUGAAUGCUAUUCUGUUUUAUGUUUUACUUUCUGCAUGCUGUGAUGUUAGAAGUAGAACGAUCCCUCACAAAGUUUAAGUUAGUAUGCCCUCCCAACUAAAACUUGCGCCGUCCCAUGUCUUGUACAAUUAGUGGUGGGUCUAUGAAAUUAGGGUGCCACUAGUUUUCCUUGACUAGACGGGUUUGUGUCGGACACUUACACGCAUAAGGGUUGGUUUACUUAACAAGGUUAUCUUAACGGUUAAGGACCUUGGGGCAUAAAGGUUGGGCGCCGAGACAUAGAGAUGUCACCCAACAACAGGAGUCAUAUGUGAUAUGAUUAGCAAAAGUUGCUUACCGACCUAACUCGUUUGCUAGCGGUGAUGCUAAAGCUCACUAGUAGACUUGUUAGUUGUGGAUCCUGAAUCACUAAGUUUCAAUAGAGGGAUAUUGAUUUUAGUGGGAGUAGAUUCUGUUAAAAUAGUUUAAUGUAAUUUGCUCUAUCAUGGAUACGUUUGUCUUAGUGUAUUUUGCAUUACUUUUGUUGUAGAUUAAAUGGCACCUAGCAACACCACCACAUCUUUUGCUUUGCGUUCGGUCCUUGAGAAGGACAAGUUGAAUGGAACAAACUACUCGGAUUGGAUCCGCAACCUGAGAAUUGUUCUCAGGGCUGAGAAAAAGGAAGAUGUUCUAGACAACCCACUACCAGAAGAACCUGCUGAGGAUGCACCCGCCGCUGCUAAGAAUGCUUACAAGAAAGCAUGUGAUGCUAACCUCGAAGUAAGCUGCCUUAUGCUUGCUUGCAUGGAACCCGAGCUGCAGAUGCAGUUCGAAACAAACCAUGAGGCGCACGAUAUGAUCGUGGCGCUUAGAGACAUGUUCCAAACACAGGCCAGGACUGAAAGGUUCAAUGUGUCUAAGGCCUUUGUUGAGAGCAAGCUAGCAGAAGGCGCAGCAGUAGGACCACACGUAAUCAAGAUGGUUGGUUACACUCAACGGUUGGAGAAGCUAGGCUUCCCACUGGGCCAAGAGUUGGCCACUGAUUUCAUUCUUUCGUCUCUUCCUCCUAGCUAUGGGAACUUCAUCUCGAACUACCAUAUGCAUGGGACGGAGAAGGGUCUGAAUGAGCUGUGUGGCAUGCUUAAAACAGCAGAGGCUGACAUAAAGAAAAGCGCUAGUACCAGCCAUGUGAUGGCGAUACAGAACAAGCCCAGCUUUAAGAAGAAGGGCAAUUCUUGGAAGAAGAAGGGCAAGGCUGGAACGUCCAAGCCAAACCCACCGCCCAAGGUUAAAGCUGGACCUGGACCUGCUCCAGAUAAAGAGUGCUUUUACUGUCAUGAACUUGGUCACUGGAAGAGAAACUGCAAGCAGUACCUAGCUUCGUUGAAGAACGGCGGAAGUAAGAGUACUUCUACCUCAGGUACGCUUGUUGUUUAUGUUAUAGACAACAUAUUUCUCGCUGAUACAGUUAUUAAUUCUUGGGUAUUUGAUACCGGAUCGGUUGCUCAUAUUUGCAAUUCGAUGCAGGGAAUGAUAAGAAGUAGAAGCGUGGAAAGAGGAGAAGUUGAUUUCCGCGUGGGCAAUAAUGCAAGAGUUGCUGCUUUGACCGUCGGGACGAUGCAACUCCACCUCCCGUCAGGAUUUAUUAUGGAGUUGAAUAAUUGUUAUUUUGUUCCUAGUUUAAGUCGAAACAUUUUAUCUCCUUCAUGUUUGAUGAAGGAUGGUUAUUCAUUUGCGAGUGAAAACAAUGGUUGUGUGAUCUCUAAGAAUAAUAUGUUUAUGGCUUUUGCACCCAUUGUGAAUGGAUUGUUUGUUUUAAAUCUUGAUGGUUCACCUGUCUGUAAUGUAAGUGCUAAAAGGCCUCGGCCUAAUGAUUUGAGUCCUACCUACUUGUGGCAUUGUCGUUUGGGUCACAUAAGUGAUAAGCGCAUGAAGAAGCUCCAUUCUGAUGGACUUCUAACUUCGUUUGAUUUUGAAUCAUACGAGACAUGUGAGGCUUGCUUGCUAGGCAAGAUGACCAAGACGCCUUUCACAGGAUUUCCUGAGAGAGCAGUAGACUUGUUGGAACUCGUACAUAGUGAUGUAUGUGGACCAAUGAGCACGACGGCUAGAGGAGGAUUCCAAUACUUCAUAACUUUCACUGAUGAUUUUAGUAGAUAUGGCUAUGUCUACUUGAUGAGGCACAAGUCUGAAACCUUUGAAAAGUUCAAGGAAUUUCAGAAUGAAGUUGAAAAUCAGCGUGGCAAGAAAAUUAAGGCCUUACGAUCUGAUCGUGGAGGCGAGUAUUUGAGCCACGAGUUUAGCAAUCAUCUAAAGAGUUGCGGAAUUGUUCCACAACUUACGCCGCCUGGAACACCUCAGAGAAACGGUGUGUCCGAGCGACGUAAUCGAACUUUGUUAGACAUGGUUCGAUCAAUGAUGAGCCAGUCGGACCUACCGUUGUCAUUUUGGGGAUAUGCUCUAGAAACAGCAGCUUUCACACUUAAUAGGGUACCAUCUAAAUCCGUAGUUAAGACACCAUAUGAGAUGUGGACUGGAAAGGUUCCGAGUUUGUCUUUUCUAAAGAUUUGGGGAUGUGAAGUGUUUGUCAAGCGACUUCAGUCGGACAAGAUCACACCCAAGUCGGAUAAGUGCAUUUUCGUGGGAUAUCCAAAGGAAACUUUGGGAUAUUAUUUCUACAACCGAUCAGAAGGCAAAGUGUUUGUCGCUCGGAACGGGGUUUUCCUAGAGAAAGAGUUUCUCAAAGGAGAAAAGAGUGGAAAGACAGUGCAUCUUGAAGAAGUUCAAGAUGAGCCAAACGGGCAAGAAUCAAUGAGUGAUGCUAACGUAGCAGAACAAGUUGAGAUACCCAUGGCAAGAGAAGCACCGCCACAACCACGAAGGUCGGCAAGGCUCCGCGAAAUGCGGGAAAUAUUAUUGUUGGACAAUGAUGAGCCUGCGACAUAUGCAGAAGCAAUGAUGGACCCAGACUCCGAAAAAUGGCAGAGUGCCAUGCAAUCCGAAAUAGAGUCCAUGGGAGACAAUCAAGUUUGGAACUUGGUUGACCCGCCUGAUGGUGUUAAAGCCAUAGAGUGCAAGUGGAUCUAUAAGAAGAAAAAGGACAUGGAUGGAAAUGUUCACAUCUAUAAAGCACGACUUGUCGCGAAAGGUUUUCGACAAGUUCAAGGAGUUGACUAUGACGAGACCUUCUCGCCCGUAGUGAUGCUUAAGUCCAUUCGGAUUAUUCUAGCUAUAGCUGCAUAUUUCGAUUAUGAGAUAUGGCAGAUGGAUGUCAAGACAGCUUUCCUGAAUGGAAACCUAGCUGAGGACGUGUAUAUGAUACAGCCCGAGGGUUUUGUCGAUCCGAAAAAUGCUGGAAAGGUAUGCAAGCUUCAGAGAUCCAUUUAUGGAUUGAAGCAAGCAUCUAGGAGUUGGAACAUUCGUUUUGAUGAAGUGGUCAAAGGGUUUGACUUCACCAAGAACGAAGAAGAGUCUUGUGUUUACAAGAAGGUUAGUGGGAGCUCUGUAGUAUUUCUAAUCUUAUAUGUGGAUGACAUAUUACUGAUUGGAAAUAACAUUCCUAUGCUUGAGUCCGUAAAGACUUCACUGAAAAAUAGUUUUUCGAUGAAGGACUUAGGGGAAGCGGCAUAUAUUCUGGGCAUUAAGAUCUAUAGAGAUAGAUCGAGAAGGCUUAUAGGUUUGAGCCAAGAUACUUAUAUUGACAAAGUGUUGAAGCGGUUCAGCAUGGAAGAGGCAAAGAAAGGGUUCUUGCCUAUGUCACAUGGCAUACAUCUCAGCAAGACUCAGUGUCCUUCGACUGCUGAUGAGCGGGAUCGCAUGAGUAGAGUGCCAUAUGCCUCGGCUAUUGGAUCUAUCAUGUAUGCAAUGAUAAGUACUCGCCCAGAUGUUUCAUAUGCGCUAAGUAUGACAAGCAGACACCAAUCUGAUCCAGGUGAGAGUCACUGGACAGCGGUGAAAAACAUUCUUAAGUACUUGAGAAGGACUAAAGAUAUGUUCCUCGUCUAUGGAGGUCAGGAGGAGCUCGUUGUAACAGGUUACACCGAUGCUAGUUUCCAAACCGACAGAGAUGAUUCAAAGUCACAAUCAGGAUUUGUGUUCACGCUAAAUGGUGGUGCUGUUAGUUGGAAGAGUUCCAAGCAGGAGACGGUGGCCGAUUCUACGACAGAAGCCGAGUACAUCGCGGCUUCGGAAGCCGCGAAGGAAGGUGUUUGGAUAAGGAAUUUCCUCAUUGAGCUUGGUGUGUUCCCGAAUGCGUCCAGCCCAUUGAAUCUCUACUGUGAUAAUAAUGGGGCAAUUGCGCAAGCAAAGGAGCCAAGGAACCACCAGAAGAACAAACACGUAAUGCGGCGAUUUCAUCUCAUUCGAGACUUCGUUAACCGGGGUGAGAUCAAGAUAUGCAAAAUACACACGGAUCUGAACAUUUCUGAUCCGUUGACAAAACCACUCCCGCAGGCUAAGCAUGAUGCGCAUGUAAGAGCUAUGGGUAUUAGGUACCUUCUAGAUUGACUCUAGUGCAAGUGGGAGACUGUUGGAGGUAUGCCCUAGAGGCAAUCAUAGAGAUGAUGAUAUUCCAUUUGUAUCCAUGAUUUGUAUACUGUGUUCAUUGAAUAUCCAUUAAAGGCUACUUGAAUUGAUUUGCAAUUAUGUGAAUUGUAUGUGAAACUCUUUACUUGUAUGGUUAUUCUAAAGUUGUCCCUAGUCGGAGUUCAUGUGAGGACACACAUGAAUAUUAGACUAGCACAUGUAUUAGUUGAUGACUAUGUUUCACAAGUCAUGGACAUGGAGAUGUUGAACUAAUAAUGUGGACACAUGUGGAGACAUGUGUUAGGACUGACCCAACACGAGAAGUAGUUCUCUCUUUAAACAACAUAUACGCUUUGUCCUUAGACCUGAGAUUGUCGCAUGUAUUCUAGAUGUGGACCGACCUACUUAGGGGCUAUCAAACGCUACGCCGUAACAGGGUAGUUAUAAAGGUAGCUUUCGGGUUUGUCAAGAAGCAUGCUAUGAGACAUGGUCAAUCAAGAUGGGAUUUGCCCCUCUCUGAUUGAGAGUGAUAUCUCUGGGCCCCUCGAGUGAUCGGAUCAGAAAAUGCAUGGCCAUGCUACGUACGGUUAAGAGUUAAUCUACAAAGGGAUUCCGAAUCACAGGAUCGAGAAAGAGCGGUCAGCUUGAAGCUAGACCAAAUAUCGUGAGGCAAAGGGAAUAGCAUGUAUAUUAUGUUGUGAUGGUUCGUCUGAUAUGAUCUUCGUAUGCGUAUAGGAGUUGGCACGUCUUGCUAGAGGCCGCUACCGACUAUUGGGCCGAGUAGGAGUACUCGGGCCAUGUCUAUACGUAUCCGAACCCAUAGGGUCACACAUUUAAGGGGCUGGAAGCCCAAUUCGGAUCUGAUCCGAGUUGGAUUAGGUUUAGGAGUGCUAAUGGGCCUCGGAUCCAGAGGCCCAUCAGGAACCUCUAUAAAUAGAGGGGUGGGGGCGCCCUAGGGUUGACACCUUUUUGGCUGAACACACUUGCCGCGCCUCCCACGCCCUCGCCUGUUGCAACUCGCGGAUCUAGCAAUCCGGCUUGCGACGCUUCCUCCCUGCACGUGUGGAUACCUUGGAGGUGUUGCGCCUGCAGCACUUGGACGAGCCAUCGACGAGCCGCCGACGAGCCACGACGAGCUGACGACGAGCCGCGGCACCGGAGGCGAUCUUGCUGUGCGCGUGGACGAGCUGCUGAGGAGCCGCUGGACGUGAUCGACUACGUACGACUACGUUGUUCGACUACGUACGACUACGUGAUCGUCUUCACUGCACCGACGCAUAUCUACAUCUUCCGCACCAGUAGUGCGUCGAGUGGUAAUCCCGUGAUCCUUAUACGGCAGUUCUUCCUGGUUAUACGCGGUAGAAAUUUUGAUUUGCGCUAGCGUAGCCUACCUCGUAUCCCAACAAUAUCUUCAGGUACCUCCCGUUCAAGGCCCUUGUGAAUUCCUCUCCUUCAAUCAUCUCCAGUAUGUAUGCAUUUCCCGGAGCGCAUCGGCUGAUUUUAUACGGCCCUUCCCAAGUGGGCGACCAUUUACCAAACUUGGGAUCUUUAGACCCUAUCGGCAGCACCAACUUCCAUACCAAAUCUCCUUGGGAGAAUUGCUUGACUUUGACCUUCUUGUCGUACCACCUGGCCACUCUCUUUUUAUUCUCCUCAAUGUUGAUCAGGGCCCUCAAUUGUUGACUUGCCAAAUCGUCGAGUUCUCCUUUCAUGAGUAAGGAAUAGUCAUUGGCCAUCAACUGAUCUUGAAGCGAUGUGCGUCUUGACCCCAAGGCAACACUGCCUCGUGACCAUACACCAAUUGAUAAGGAGAUAUUUUAGUAGCCCCGUGGCAGGCCAUCCUGUAAGCCCAUAAAGCCUCGGUCAAACAAAAGUGCCACUUUUUAGGUUGUUCCUCAAUCUUCCUUUUGAUCAACUUAAUUAUCCCCUUAUUGGAUGAUUCAGCCUGGCUGUUAGCUUGAGCAUAAUAUGGAGAAGAAUUCAGCAACUUAAUUCCCAUAUCAGCAGUGAACUCUUCGAACUCACCUGAAGUGAACAUCGUCUCUUGGUCAGUUGUGAUGCUUUGAGGGAUACCGAAAUGAUAAACAAUGUGGUCUCUUACGAAAUCGACCAUGGCAGCCAAUGUCACAGCCUUUAAUGGGAUCGCCUCCACCCAUUUGGUAAAGUAAUCAAUGGCUACUAAUAUGAACUUGUGUCCCUUGCUUGAUGGAGGAUAAAUCUGUCCAAUGAGGUCUAUUCCCUAACCCAUGAAUGGCCAUGGCUUGAUUAUCGGAUUCAUAGCCGAUGCUGGCGCACGUUGUACGUUGCCAAACUUCUAACAGUCCUGACACCCUUUAUAAUAUUUGAAGCAGUCUUCAAGUAUCGUCGACCAAUAAUAUCCAUUAUUCCUAAUCAUCCACUUCAUUUUAUGAGCCGAUUGGUGAGCUCCGCACAUGCCUCUUCCGUCCCUAGGCAUUUGAGCAGAACCCCGUCAAUCGUUCGUUAAAACAAGUCAUCUUCGAGUAAUACAUAUUUUAUCACUUGAAAACGCACUCGCCGAUCCACCUUUUUGGACGGAUCCUUUAGGUAGUCGACGAUCUCUUUUCGCCAAUCAUCGGCCGUGAGUUCCAGAGUCAUGGUGCCUUGAAUCGACCGAUACCCAGACGCUUGUUGGGCAAGCCUAUUGGCCUCUUCAUUAUAACUUAUGGGAAUAUGCUCAACAACCGCGGACUUGAAUUCCUUUAAGAGUUGGAGGCAAUCUUCAUAGUAGAUCCUCAGGACAUCGUUUUUACAUUCAGAUCUUCCCGUUAACUGGUCUACGAUGAGCAUGGAAUCCCCGAAAAUCUCCACAGCAUCGGCUUUUAUCUCCCUCAAUAAUUGAAUGCCUUUUAGGACGGCUCGGUAUUCCACCUGAUUAUUGGUCGCAGAUGCUUCUAUCAGAAAAGAGAAAUCAUAACUUGCCCCCCGAGGCGAUAUGAGAACGAUGCUGAUUCCUGAUCAGGCCCCACAUGACAAACCAUCAAAGUAUAGAGUCCAUGGAACCGGCUCAACGACGGCAAUUUCCGGUCCGCAGUGCUGGGCCACGAAAUCGGCCAUGACUUGACCCUUGACGGUUUUGGCCGAUUCGUACCUUAGGUCAAACUCUGACAGAGCCAGGAUCCACUUUCCAAUUUGUCCUUCCAAAAUCGGCAAUGAUAGCAUGUACUUUACCACGUCAUCCUUGCAUACGACUAUGCAUUCUGCCGACAAUAGGUAGUGCCUGAGCUUCGUGCAUGAGAAAUAAAGACAUAGGCAUAACCGUUCUACCGGGGAAUAUCUUGUCUCGGCGUCCAGAAGUCUUGUACUAACAUAAUAUAUUACCCGUUCCUUUCCCUCGAAUUCCUGUACCAGCGCCGAUCCGAUAGCCCGUUCAUCGGCUGAUAAGUAUAGUCUGAACGGCUUGUCAGCUUGUGGUGGGACCAAUACAGGUGGCGAGAUCAGAUAUUGCUUGAUGUCUUCUAGUGCUUUUCUCUGUUCCUCUUCCCACACAAAUUCCUGGUCGGGUUUUAACUUUAAUAACGGCGUGAAGGCUUGGAUACGCCUGGAAAAGUUGGAUAUGAACCUUCUGAUAAAAUUAACUUUGCCAAUUAGGGAUUGCAACUCAGUUUUGUUUUGUGGGGCCACAACCUUAUUGAUGGCCACUAUGAUUUUUUGGUUGACUUCUAUCCCGCGUUCGUGAACCAUGAAUCCCAGAAAUUGCCCGAACGAUACACCAAAUGCACACUUGUUCGGGUUCAUUUUCAACCCAUGCUUCCUUGUGCACUCCAAUACUUCUCGCAGAUCGGCCAGAUGCUCUUGAUGCCCUUUUGAUUUGACUACAACAUCGUCGAUGUAGAUUAUCCACCAGGACGCCAAUGAGCCUGUGGAAGAUGUAAUUCAUAGCCCGUUGAUAUGUAGCGCCGGCGUUUUUUAAUCCAAAGAUCAUUACUACCCACUCGAAUAAACCGAGGUGACCCGGGCACCUGAAAGCCAUUUUCGAAAUAUCUUCUUCGGCCAUUAAUAUUUGGUUGUACCCAGCAUUACCGUCCAUAAAACUGAUGACUUUAUGUCCCGCGAUGGUGUCUAUCAAAACAUCACCUGUCGGCAUGGAUACCCAUCCAUCGGUGUAGCUUGAUUAAGGUUCCUAAAGUUGAUGCACACGCGCAGCUUUCCGUUUUUGUUGUAUACAGGUACAAUAUUGGAGAUCCACUCAGCAUAACGGCACUGCCGAAUAAAUUUCGCUUCAAUCAGUCUCGUAAUUUUGGCCUUUAUAUCAGGUAGAAUUUUAGGAUUGCAUCAUCGUGCGGGCUGCUGAUAUGGCUGAUAUCCUGGUUUUAUGGGCAACCGGUGUUCAACAAUGGACCGGUCUAGGCCAAGCAUCUCAUGGUAUUCCCAAGCAAAACAAUCUUUAAAUUCCUUUAAUAAGUCUGUCAAUUUACACUUGUAUUCGGGAUCCAAGUUAGCACUAAUGUACGUCGGCCUUGGUUUGGUGCCAUCACCUAAAUCUAUCAUCUCUAAUGAAUUGGCUGACGUAAACCUGUGCCCCAGCUUUUCAUCUUCUUGGACAAACUGAUCCAUCUAAUCUGAAUCUUCAGAGCCGACUGCUCAGAUCGGCUGUAGGCAAAAAUCGGACACUUUCAGGAAAUCGGUGUCCCAAGUCCUCCCAGAUAUGCACUUGACGUGUUUGCAGCUCCAUUGUUGCGUAUCGGCCGCAGCAACACUAUAGGUGGAAUCGGCGGUGACUAUCUCGAUGUUGUCGCUGACCCAUUAUACGAGACAUUGGUGCAUUGUAGACGGGACGUAGCAAUUCGGGUGUAUCCAGUCGCGUCCGAGCAACAUGUUGUAGGACCCUUUGCCAUUAAUAAUAAAGAAAGUAGUGGGAAGGGUCUUACUGCCGAUGGUGAGGUCGACGCAGAGCGCCCCGCACGCAGGAGACACGUUGCCCUCGAAGUCCUUGAGCAUCAUGUCCAUCUUGGUUAGAUCCUCGUCGCUUUUACCCAGCUUCCAGAACAUGGCGUACGGCAUGAUGUUGACUGCAGCACCUCCGUCUACUAGUAGCCUGGUGAUAGGUCGACCAUUGAUGUGUCCUUUCAGGAACAGUGCCUUGAGGUGUUGCCAUUUUUCAUCUUCGGAUUUCUCAAAAGUGGCUGUCAAUGGCUCCAAAGCCAAUUGUGCCAUCUGUUCCUCCAUCUCCGUCGUGUCGUACCGAUCGGCGGGAGCCAUGAACUCCAUCGGCAAGAUGAACACCAUGCUGAUGUCAGCUAUCGAUUCCUGGUUGCCAUCUUCUUCAUUGUUGUUUCUUUUGGGGCGCCAGACUCGAGACCUGUCGUCUUUCUUAUCCACCACCUGCCUCUGCUCUUCUUCCUGUUGUUCCUAUUGGCGCAGGCAUUGGAUCCUUCGUUUUUGGGAUUUGGUCAAUCCAUCAGGGCACCACCUGGGGUUCACUGGUUUGGCCGGUGGCCUGGCACGCUCCCAGUCCGGUUCCCAUCCUAGGGGGUUUUCAUCUGACACCCUAGGAUCGGCCAUCUCCUCUAGCCAAUCGUGUGUGCUGACUCUGCCCCCGGUCGGUCGUGCUAUUCCCGUCUGUCCCUUGGCUGAUCAUAUCGGUCAACUCUACCCCCCAGCCGAUCACGCACUGAAAGGCGCCGAUCCUCUUGCUCGCGCCAGUUUCUGCUGAUUGGCUCUGAUCCUCUGUCCCUAGAGCGAGACCUCUUGAACAGGCGAUUGUUGCGAUAUGGACUGCUGCACUCCGGGAAAUUAUCAGCCGAUGGCAACCUGAGGUUAUUUUCCCAGCAAUGGAUGAAGAAAGGACAUCGCCAAUGAUCUUCGUGUCGUCGCAUUAUUUCUUCGCGAUAUCUCGAACUUUCCUAUUGCCGCUGAAACUUGUUGAGCAAGAACUUGGAGGUAAUAGGUCUACGCAGUCUUUCCGAUCCUUCACCCUCAUUGUCAACCCAUCUCUUCCCCUUGACGUCUUCGACCGUAGCUUGAUUCCUGGGGUCCACAGCGCCGCUCUUUUUAGCCAAUUCCGAUGUCAGCAUUUUGGUUUGAAGCGCAUUUCUUACUGUAUCAACCAUGUUAGUGCAGAAAGGAUGCCGAUCAAUCUUCAUUAGCUUUGCUGGCCUUGUCGGGACCUCGAACUUUAUCCUGCCUUGCUCGAUGGCCGAUUUUGCACUCGUUCGUGUCGUGGGACGUGGCACUAUGCCAUUUGCAACACUUCAUCUUUUUUAGCUGCUCGGCCCAUGGGAUCAUAUGAUAGGGUGAGAGUUUGAUCUACGCCUCUUGGAGAAGUAGGUCAAAAUUUUUGUCGGCCUUUGACGUGUCAAAACCGGACGCCUCUGGUUCCUUUUUCCCGAAAGGACACGAUAUCAGCUUUUUUCCUUUAACCCACCCUACUAGGCUGAUUUCCACUUCCUCCUCAGAUUCAGAUCCCUCUAAGUAUGCCACCUUUUUCUAAAAAUUUCUUCGCUGAUCAAACGGGCAUACUUCUUGACCGGACAAUCGGUGGAUGAUCUGACUUAGGCUCUCGAACUCCUGGGAAGCGUAUUUCUCCUUGAUAUGUGGCAGGAGGCCUUGGAAGGCAAUGUCGGCCAGCUGCGCAUCGGUCAGGACCAGGGUGUAGCAUUUGUUUCUGACUUCCCUGAACCUUUGCACAUAAUUGGUCACGGGCUCGUCGCUCCUCUGCCUGAGGCUGGUCAAAUCUGAUAGCUUCAUCUCAUGGACUCCCGCAUAGAAGUAUUUGUGGAACUGUUUUUCCAGGUCGGCCUAGGUGACGAUGGAAUUGGGUGGUAGCGUAGUGAACCACUGGAAAGCCGACCCGGACAGGGAUGAUGAGAACAGAUGCACCCACAGGGCAUCCUGUGUAGCUGCCUCCCCACAUUGGAUGAAUCUGUUUACGUGUUCCACAGUUGAGGUGUCAUCCAGCCCUGAAAACCUAGUGAAGUCGGGGACUUUCUACCGAUGGGGAAAUGGCAGUAGAUCGUAGGCAGGCGGGUAUGGCAUUUUGUACAUGUAAGUUUGUACCUUUGGCUUCAAUCUAAAUUGAUCUUGGAUCACCUCUGCUAUCCUUGCCGUCCAGUCUACUUGCUGCUGAUGAAUUACUGGAUGGGGAAUCGGCACAUGUUGCUAGAUCGGCGGCGGGAUGACCGGGUGCUAAACCAAAGCGUACGGCGGAUUCUGCGGUAACGUGGCCGGCUGAGCGGUUGACAUUUGAUGGUGCAGUGAACCGGCCAUCUCAUCGUACAGUAUCAUCAGCGCCGCACCUUGGAGUGCUUCAGCAGCGUCUGCCCCCCUGCCGAUUUCUGACGUGGCCGGUUGAUACUGUGGAACCGUCGGCCGGGUGGCCGACUAGAAUGGUGCUUGGAUCGGAGAGCCUCCAUAGCCAGCUGAUUGAUCCAGAAUGGCCGCUGUCAACGGUGCCCCCCAAGGCACUGAGUUUGAUGGCGAUGAUUGCACAGAUGAAACUUGAGCAGGCUGCGGCAGUGCUUGUGAUUGAAAGCAUGGCGCACCGUUGUAUCCUGGAUGCAUUGAAGGCAGUGAAGUGUUGUAUCCUCCAUGCUGUGUUGGCAUCGGCUGAGGAGCCGAUUGAGAUGUGCCCGGUAAGCUCCUGACUGGGGCUGCGAUGGGUGGGGCGUAUGCCGGCCCGUGAUAUCCUUGAGAUAUGCCAUUGGCCAGGGAGCUAAUGACGGCAUUGUACACUGUGUUGGCCAUCACCGGGGAUUGAUCAAUGAAGGCCUGGUAGACGGACUGUUGGAUCAUGUCGGACAUCUUGGCCGAAUCCUCAGUGAUGGUGAUCUGGCGGGGAGUUGGAAAAGGAGCUUUCUUGACGGUCUCCCCGCUCCUGGUAUGCCUGAAAGAUUGCAAGCACGUUUUCCUGAAUUGUUCCAUUUGCUUUGCCAACUCUUCUUUCUGGUCAUCCUUGAGAUCUGCUUCCGUCACUUCGAUGACGUUUUUUUCGGAGAUUUCGGCAGCUUUCGACAUGUUGGAGGUUGAAGUGGUCCCACCGGGCAUGCCAAAAGUGUGUUGGCGCUAAAAGUCAGCCGAUUGACCCUCAGUGUCGGACACAUGACCCGGGUGAUUGCCCUGGUGCGGUUCGCGCAGCGUGCCAGCCAAUCUGACCUGUUGAUUGGCACGGAAGAAAAUGUGUCAAAUUCCAGGGGUUCCGAUCGGCUAAAGGUUCCGAUCUCGAAAAGUGUAUCAGCGAAUCGGUUGAUUUGCUAUGUGAGGAUAAUCGGCUAUAAUACAGCCGACAAUCACAUAGCGAUUGCGAAGGAAACUACUAGAGUAAACUGAGCAAGGCUACAAAAGCAACACUUGAAACGGAUCUAAUCGGUUAUAUGAUAAUGAUGAAUGAAAAUAACAAUAACAAAGCCAACAGUUCAAAUCCCAAGCUGGAUAACUGGUGAUAAAACUAGAACAACAGAUAGAACCUAUAAUUCUAGUAAAUAUCGAUAACUUGUGAAUAAAUCUAAACGAAACAAUAGCGAUGCGCCCGAAGUUAAAGCUUAGAUAUUACUCGAUAAAUGGAACUUACAGAAUCGGCUGGAGAUCGUGUCGAUGCAGCCCUGCCAACCCGUACGAACUCGUAAAAGAAGAAAAGUAUUGGCGAAGUCGCCGACUUGAAAGUAAAGUGCGAUGAAAAAGUAGAUUUGUUUGUAUUGAUUGAUGUGUUGUUUUACAAAUCCCCAAAGAUGGCUAUUUAUAGCCUGUUACAGCCAAUUUCCUAACUGACUAGGAUCUAUCUCUAAUUUUAAACAGAAACAGAUAUUUACAAACACAACUCGUAUCGGAGUUGGUUAUUGUACUCCCACAGGCCAAUCCUUCUUUAUCUUCUUCCUCUGACCCACUUUAAGCCCAUAUUGGCCCAAUCGCUCCAGCCUUCCAAUCGGCCGAUCUCCACCAACUCUGUCCGCCAAAACAUUAAAGCGCUAAUCAGCUGAUCCCCAACUGUAGCACUAAUCGGCCGAUUCCCAAUCGUGACCUUUUAAUCUGCCGCAUCGGCCAGCCCUUUCCUUCCUUGACACCGAUUCCAUACAUGUUAAAAUCUAGCAUCAACAGAUCCCACCAUAGGAGGGCAGAACCACGCAGUUGCUGCGCGGCGAAUCGAGCCUUGUUCUCCUCCGGGUAAUGGGCGGUGAGGAGGGAGAACUUGGACUCGAUGGCACGAAUCCAGGCGUCGGCGUCGAGCGGGUCUUGUGUCUUUUGGAACAGAGGGGGCUGCGUUCCCUAGAAGUCCUCAUAGCGAGCAACAUGAGGUUGCUGGUGAGCCCUUCCUCCAUGGGGCUGCUGCUGUUGCCCUUGGGCAAUGUGUCUCAGCAGCUCAGUUUGAGCAGCCAAGAUCGCCUCUAGCGGAGGCGGGGGAGGAUCUUGCCUCUGCUCACUGCCACUGGAAACAGAGCCGGAAUGGGUGCGGUGCGCCAUCUGCAAGAGUCAGUGUUCCAUUAGUCACAUAAUCCCAAAAGCUUUCCCACCAAGAGGGAACUUAUAUGCUGAAUCCUUAAAUGCUACUCUUGCCUAUAGUGCAACACAACAAUCACAUCUUUUAUUACGGAGGUGCACAUCUCUCUUUGCCAUCUUAGUUAGCAACUAGCUAGCUUCUGCACCCAGCUACUGUCGUUUUACUCUUGCUAGCCAAAUGGAAAGGUAUUAUGAUCCACGCUCAGUAGGGCCCACAAGAUCCAUGUGCUCAUUGGCUGGUCCGCACACAUCCUCAGGCGAGUCGAAACUUUAUCCCGUGGGUCCUGCUAUGUCCGACCCUUAGUGCCCCGGGUCGGGCGAGGCGGAGCCCUGCCGCGAGGGGUCGGGCACAUCCGACCUCGUGACCCUGGGUCGGGCCAUGUUUUGGAUAGACCCAAAAGAGCGGAAACUUUGCGUGCGGUCACAGCACAAAUUCUCAGACAUCUUUGACAUUCAAGGCAUGUCCCAAAGGGUCAGAAGUGGAUUCAAGAGCGAGGUGGAAAAUAGGAACUGAUUUCACCAAAAUCAUUUCAUUACUGGUCUCUUAACACAGGAGGAGUACUCAACUCAAGGCUAACCUAUUACAUCACUAUCCAAAAGUAUAGGUUGCCGAGGAGUACAACAGAAGACCAACUCACUAUAGCCUCAACCUAAAAGUCAUCCAGGCUGCGUAUGAAGGAAACACUAUGCAUCGGAGAAGGGGCGCCGCCAUCUUCAAUGUCCAUGCUUGAGACUCCCUCUACCUCCUUGGGGUCUUCCUCCUCCUCCUCCUGAACCAUUGGCUCAUCCAGUUGCAUCUCCAAGGCAUGGAUAGCAUCAAGCUCAGCAUGGUGCUUGGCCAAAUGCGCAUUAGCAACUGUGAGCUCCAUCUCAACCUCCAAUUUCUCUUCAGCAAGCUGCAUUAUAUCUUGCUCCAUGUCAGUCGCCCUUUCCUCUAGCUCGGUAAUCCUGGCCUGCAUAUCGGAGACCUGUAUGCCCCUUUGGAUAAGCUGAUACGACUGUUCCACCAAGUCUCUCUUGGCAGUGUUGAAAUGCUCUUGGGUGUCUACAACUAUCCGUGCCAGGACAGCCAUAGCCCUUCCCUAAAGCUCAACCAGUCGGUACAAGGCGAACAUGCACCGUGUCGCGGUAGAAACGAUGACCAGCGAGUGUGAGGCUGCCAACACCUCCAUGUUAUUUACUCGGUCAAGCCAAGCUGGGUCCAUCCGAUCCCUAGCGGGGAACAAGCCAAUCGGGUCCAAAAGGACCUCAAACGGGUGUAGCCGGCAAAACUGAGUGAGAGCCUGCAAGGCAGCUGAUUCCCAAGUGUCCUCAAGGGUGUGACCAUAGGUCAAACCCUUGAGCUGGGGCCACUCGGGCUGCAGUGGGGCUGGAGGUACCACCACUUGCACGUUGCACCGCUGCACCCCGUGCUCUUGGUGCUCACGUCCCGCAUAAAGAGGCGGCAACUGGUACCCAAACCACCUCAAGAUGUCCCACAAAAUAGUAGGAAAACCCUCAAAGUGUAGGCAUGUGGAGUGGGAGGUGCCAUCAGCGCCACGAAACACAUGCCCAGGAGCAGCCAUUUGGAACCAAGAACCGAAACAAGCGUGAGAUAGAAACCCCCAAGGAGAAACAGAUCGGACAGGGUGAAACACUCGGAUUUCUGACCAGAGCGCAAGCUGAGAAGGUAACUAGAAAUCCUUAAAGCGAAGAAGAGCUUAAAACCAGGGCAAGGUUGUUUUAAGGGUCUGGAUUUACAGAUUUUAGUUCAUGAUGCAUGCACGACCUACCUCGUCCUCUCAACCAAAAAUAACUACCAAAAGCCUUGGUCUUACAUAGUUAGUGCCGGUGGCAACGCAACAAUUUCGUCACUCCCUAUAGUAUCUAGUCGGUUUCUAAUAUCGUUCUCUUAUGCGAACACGGUUAGUGUACCUGCAGAAAAACACAACCACAUGAACCUUUCGUGCCAGCACUCAUGAAAGCAUCCCCCAAUCAUUACCGUUCACUAUAGAAAUGGCACCCAUGCGUUUAAUGCUGCAUGGAUAGCACAACAACUGUGGAAAUAGGUCCCCUUGGAAUAGGUCCAUAUAACCCUUCGCAUACUCGUGAUGCGGAAUCAUGCGCACGUGUCAUAGAUGUGGGCAAUCAACCGUGAUGAUAGGCCCAUUGGAAUCGAACCAUACCAUCCUUCGUAUGAGUUAACAUACAGUACCUGCGCACGUAUAAUAAACGUGGGUGAAAACAACCGUGAUGAUAGGGUCCUUUGAAUAGAACUCCCUAUCAACCCUCGCAUACUCGUGACGCAGAACUCAGCACACGUCUGAUACACAUGGCGAAGUGCUGGAAGUUAGCAAAAGAACAAAUAGAUAGUAGCCACCUGAAAUAACCCCAAAAUUCCCCUAAGGCCUCUCGCACUAAGGUCAUCCUGUACGAUCGUACGAGAUUUUUCAAAUACGUUUCUUGCAAGUUUUACUUUUACAAAAGGUGUUUAGAACCUAUUGUCUUCUCUGUCCUGCUAACCUUCUCUGGUACCAGCUGUGGCGGAACUGCUCGGAUUAGCCUAGCUAAAGAACAAUAAGUCGUCUGACACGCGGCCUUAUGCUUUAACCAAGUUAACUCGGCAGUCCGUCGGAUUCAUCCGAUAGAACCACUUUACAGGACCGGAUUAGCAGAGUUCACACGAAGGUGAGUGGUUUCAGAGAAUACAACAGAUCAUACAACUUAAACAAUUACAUAAAUUUUUCAACUCAGUUUCGAAAUUUCUCAAGGUUUUACAGAGCUCAAACGCAGUGGAAAAGAUAAAACAAUGGGAACUAGCGUCGGGGUCGGAUGUCACUGAUGAGGCCGAUCAGGACAUCACUGGUCCCUCUCCUUGCUGUCCGAGGAGGGAUCCCACUCGACUGUCCACCCAGGAGGAAGCUGGGGAGGCCAAGUGCCAACAGCAGCCGACUCGAGAGCUUCAACAUCACCUGAAAGUUUUGCCACGAGCAAGGCUGAGCUACUAAGCUCAACAAGACUUAACCGACCGAUGAGAAACUACUCCACCAACUUCUAGAUAUGCAAGGCUCUUUGGCUGAGGGGUUUAUUUUGCCAAAAGCGACUAUAGUAGGUCCUUAUUUUCAAUAUUUUAGCUCCGAUUCUAAGUUCAUUAACCAGUCUAUAUUGGCAACUUAUGCUAAACAAACAUAGCUUCCAAACGAUGUAUAGAACAAGCAUCAAUGUUCAUAUCAUCAUCAUAUUCCAUCUUUACUCAGUGUAGCAUAGCGAUCAAGCAGUCUCAAACUGUGAGAGGCAGAUGAAUCGAUUCGAAUUUCUUAAUCAUGCAUGGAGAACCUAAUCUCAUGACAUCCGCGCACCCCAGAGUGUCGCUUCCUGUGUCGGCCGUCCCCAUCAAUUCUCAAGUGCGUGUCAGGUCCAAACUUCCCUUGGCAUGCAAUGUUUCACAGUCCCGACCUCUUGCCAUACUGUGACCACACUUGCACCCACAUGAUGCACCAUGGGAACCUUGUUCCAAGGACAGUAGGGGUAUAAGCCACGCCCUAGUUCAAUCAAGUACUAGGCUUUCCCAUCCCAUACUAGGUAUGAGAUUAGUACUUUCAAACACUUGAUCACGAACACCAACACUUUCCGACCUUAAUCAGAUUCAUGUAGACAGACAGGGCGAUCCACAGACCACAAAAAUAGUUCACAGAGCCCUGCCCCGUCCACCGUCCUUAUAGUUGUAACCCGAAGGAGAGAAGGCAACUCCUAGAACUCGCGAGUGAUAGGGAAUCACUCGACUUUUACUGAAUCCUGUUAAGCACAGCAACUACUCAGAUUUAUCAUACUAGUGUUCAGAUCAAGGGAACUGAGUCAUGCAUCUAUGGUUUCAAACAACUCCUAUAACGUAAAUGCAUAUACAUACAAAUGAAGGCAUGCGCAAGUUUAGAAAGAUUGGGUUAUGCUCCGGGGCUUGCCUUCGAGCGGGGUGGAAGCGAAUUGAUCUUUGGCACUCUCGGGUUCAGCUCCUGUAGGCGGCAGCUCGGCUACAGCUCCGUCUUCUGGCACCGGGUGCAGCUCGUACGUGCCGUCGGCGAGGUUUAGCUCUACACGGAAUGCAAAUGCAGGGGUUAAAACACUUAGACGGUUAUUUCAACAACACUUGCAAGAUGUAGCCCCAAAACUGUAGCAAAACUAUAGGAAAGGUGUGAAAUCCCAUUUUAUUGGAUUCUACUCAGAAAGAGGAUUCUAACCCAAGUGAUUUCACACUUUUCGGAUUUUUCCUCGAUUUAAGAUGAAUUUCUCAAGCUCUGGCUGGUUGAGAACAAGAACACAGAGUCGGAUCAGGAAAAACUUGCAAUCUGACCCUUAGACCUAAAGAAUAACUGUAACGGGGUCCUCAGACUUAACAUAGAGGAGUCCCCAAAAUUUUACACAGAUACCCUUGGUCAAAAGAAAAGUCACAGACGAGCCCUCGGGCGAGGCGGAUAAGGGUCAGGCGAAACAGAUAGGGGUCGGGCGAAACGGACAAGGAUCGGCAGCUUACUUUUGGGCCUACUGGUGAAGUCUUGGGGUCGGUAAGGAGCAAGCUCGGGUGGAACGACUAAAGGCGCUAAGUUUCUGGUGGUGGCGAGGUCCGACGAUGCUUCUUGUGUACAACAAGUAAGCUCUAGCACAGCGCGGAGGAAGGCGAAACGGCUGGCGGGGUGUUGGGCAGAAAGGGGAGCUCCAGAGAAAGCUUAUGCGGUAACGCUUGAGCACGAAAUAGAGGAAGGUGCGGCAAAGCAACGAUGGCGAAGGGAACUUCGGUAGAGGCUCUGGUACCCCUUUUAUAGCUGAGCGGAAGAGGAAGAGUUCGAGCAGCGUGAGGAUAAGAUCAAAGAGGAUGGAGUGCUCUGUCGUGGCGGCGAUUGGUCGAUGUCUCCAUUCACCGGCAAAGCGGAGCUUCGGGGACAGGAUUCUUCGGUCAUUGGGCACUGAAGGCAGAGCUAUGCAGGCACGGUUUUGCCGGACGGAAGGAUUGGUGAGGUCAAAUGCGGGGUUUGGUCGCGUCAAGCGCCGGAUUGGGUGCGGCGACUCGGCCAGUGUGCAGCAGGAAGGAGGGAAGGGCACUACAAGUGAGGUGACAGGGCGAACGGCGACGCUAUCAAGCGCAGAACCAGUGGCUUUGCCGUCGCACGCUACUGGCGAUUCGGGGGAAAUGAGUUGUCACUGUCGUCGCCGUGGUUGGUGAAGGAGGUAUCGUCGCGAUGCGUGCGCGUGGGCAGCACAACUGAGGCACGACGGAAAAGCCAGAAGGCGUUGGGGCGCGGCUGGGGAUCUUGGUGAGGAGAUGCGCGCAGGACGCGAGGCGGACUAGCGCGGCAACGGCCAAUCUUCAGUCGCAGCGGCGGCAGGGCGCCUGGCACGGCUAGCAAGGUUUCGGGUGAGACGAGAUGAGGCGCAGAGACUACAGGGCGCUUCUGUUGGAGGUAUGCCCUAGAGGCAAUCAUAUAGAUGAUGAUAUUCCAUUUGUAUCCAUGAUUUAUAUUGUGUUCCUUCAAUAUCCAUUAGAGGCUACAUGAAUUGAUUUGCAAUUAUGUGAAUUGUAUGUGAAACUCUUUACUUGUAUGGUUAUUCUAAAGUUGUCCCUAGUCGGAGUUCAUGUGAGGACACACAUGAAUAUUAGACUAGCACAUGUAUUGGUUGAUGACUAUGUUUCACGAGUCAUGGACAUGGAGAUGUUGAACUAAUAAUGUGGGCACAUGUGGAGACAUGUGCUAGGACUGACCCAACACGAGAAGUAGUUCUCUCUUUACACAACAUAUACGCUUCAUCCCUAGACUUGAGAUUGUCGCAUGUACUCAAGAUGUGGAUCGACUUACUUAGGGGCUAUCAAACGCUACGCCGUAACAAGGUAGUUAUAAAGGUAGCUUUCGGGUUUGUCAAGAAGCAUGCUAUGAGACAUGGUCAAUCAAGAUGGGAUUUGCCCCUCUCUGAUUGAGAGUGAUAUCUCUGAGCCCCUCGAGUGAUCGGAUCCGAAAAUGCAUGACCAUGCUACGUACGGUUAAGAGUUAACCUACAAAGAGAUUCCGAAUCAUAGGAUCGAGAAAGAGUGGUCGGCUUGAAGCUAGACCAAAUAUCGUGAGGCAAAGGGAAUAGCAUGUAUAUAAUGUUGUGAUGGUUCGUCUAAUAUGAUCUUCGAGUGCAUAUAGGAGUUGGCACAUCUUGCUAGAUGCCGCUACCGACUAUUGGGCCGAGUAGGAGUACUCGGGCCAUGUCUAUACGUAUCCAAACCCAUAGGGUCACACACUUAAGGGGCUGGAAGCCCAAUUUCAAUGUGAUCUGAGUUGGAUUAGGUUUAGAAGUACUAAUGGGCCUCGAACCCAGAGGCCCGUUAGGAACCUCUAUAAAUAGAGGCGUGGGGGCGCCCUAGGGGUUACACCUUUUUGGCGAAACACAUCUGCUGCGCCUCCCAUGCCCUCACCUGUUGCAACUCGCGGACCUAGCAGUCCGGCUUGCAACGCUUUCUCCCUGCACGUGUGGAUACCUUGGAGGAGUUGCGCCUGCAGCACUACGACGAGUCGCCGGCGAGCAACGACGAGCCGCCGACGAGCCACGACAAGCCGACAACGAGCUAUGGCACGAGAGCGAUCUUGCUGCACGUGGACGAGCUGCUGAGGAGCUGGUGGACAUCAACGUGAUCGACUACGUAUGACUACGCUGAUCGACUUCGCUGCAUUGACGCGAAUCUACAUUUUCCGCAUCAGUGCAUCGAGUGGUAAUCCCGUGAUCCUUAUACGGCAGUUUUCCUGGUUUACGUGGUAGAAAAUUUUGAUUUGCGCCAGUGUAGCCUACCUUGUAUCCCUACAGUGGUAUCAGAGCCGUAGCUAUUUAGUUUUGGAUUCGGGAUGUGUGUAUAUGGAGAUAUGUGAGUUUUCAGUUUGAUCUAUGUCCUGGUUUCGUGUUCUUACUGCAAUGGUUGUGUAACGACAUACUCCUACCAGUCGGAUUUCCGCCAUUGAAGUUAAGUGAUACACGUAAUGCCAGUUGCAGUGAGCGAACAUCACUGUGAUUUGUCAAAUCGAAAUCUAGGUUCAUACACAAGGCGCAUGAGAUGUGCAAUAGUAGAUUGGAUCUACUACCAGGUCAGGUUUUUACCGUGUGCGUGUGCUUCGGUAAAUCAGUCGUAACUUUUCGGUAUGACCUCGGAUCGGGGCAAAUUUUAUAUGAAAAUUGAUCUACAGAAAAAGUUACACAUGAAAUUCAAUGGUUUUACCAUUUUUGACGAAAUUAGAUUUCCCAAAUUCGGCUUGAAAGAUGGAGUUUCGAGCCUCCGAAGUUUGGAACGUUAGAACGUCUAACUCUGUUUUGCAGGAUAUAUGUAUCUUGUGAUUAGUAUGGCCCCUUUGUGUAUGUGAUGCAUGUGUGUAACUCAUUCGUGACCUGCGUGUCGCGCGUACGGCAACACGGCUGGAGCCAUAUGUGUUGUCACUUUAAUGUAUUUAAUGGUCUGUGUACCAAUCUGUGAUGAUCCAAGCAACUAUGUAAUCUUUAUUACUAGCUUCUUUACUAGCUAUUAGGCGUAAUAGCACGUUCUAGUUCUUGGAGGACUCAUCACCAGGAGGAUGGCGCACAUGGAAUAUGGAGAUGGAGAUCACCAUGGUGAACAUGUUCUGUGGAGAUGGAGAUCACCAUAAGAAAACGGGCCAUACUGUGUCACAACUAUGUGAAUACUAUUUUGUUUAUGUUUUACUUUCUGCAUGCUGUGAUGUUAGAAGUAGAACGAUCCCUCACAAAGUUUAAGUUAGUAUGCCCUCCCAACUAAAACUUGCACCGUCCCAUGUCUUGUACAAUUAGUGGUGGGUCUAUGAAAUUAGGGUGCCACUAGUUUUCCUUGACUAGACGGGUUUGUGUCGGACACUUACACGCAUAAGGGUUGGUUUGCUUAACAAGGUUAUCUUAACGGUUAAGGACCUUGGGGCAUAAAGGUUGGGCGCCGAGACAUGGAGAUGUCACCCAACAACAGGAGUCAUAUGUGAUAUGAUUAGCAAGAAGUUGCUUACCGAUCUACCUUGUUUGCUAGCGAUGAUGCUAAAGCUCACUAGUAGACUUGUUAGUUGUGGAUCCUGAAUUACUAAGUAUCAAUAGAGGGAUAUUGAUUUUAGUGGGAGUAGAUUCUGUUAAAAUAGUUUAAUGUGAUUUGCUCUAUCAUGGAUACGUUUGUCUUAGUGUAUUUUUGCAUUACUUUUGUUGUAGAUUAAAUGGCACCUAGCAGCACUACACCGCUUGCUUUGCGUUCGGUCCUUGAGAAGGACAAGUUGAAUGGAAAAAACUAAUCGGAUUGGAUCCGUAACCUGAGAAUUGUUCUCAGGGCUGAGAAAAAGGAAGAUGUUCUAGACAACCCACUACUAGAAGAACCUGCUGAUGAUGCACCUGCUGUUGCUAAGAAUGCUUACAAGAAAGCAUGUGAUGCUAACCUCGAAGUAAGCUGCCUUAUGCUUGCUUGCAUGGAACCCGAGCUGCAGAUGCAGUUCGAAACAAACCAUGAGGCGCACGAUAUGAUCAUGGCACUUAGAGACAUGUUCCAAACACAGGCCAGGACUGAAAGGUUCAAUGUUUCUAAGGCCUUUGUGGAGAGCAAGCUAGCAGAAGGCGCAGCAGUAGGACCACACGUAAUCAAGAUGGUUGGUUACACUCAACGGUUGGAGAAGCUGGGCUUCCCACUGGGCCAAGAGUUGGCCACUGAUUUCAUUCUUUCGUCUCUUCCACCUAGCUAUGGGAACUUCAUCUCGAACUACCAUAUGCAUGGGACGGAGAAGGGUCUGAAUGAGCUGUGUGGCAUGCUUAAAACAGCAGAGGCUGAUAUCAAGAAAAGCGCUAGUAGCAGCCAUGUGAUGGCUAUACAGAACAAGCCUAGCUUUAAGAAGAAGGGCAAUUCUUGGAAGAAGAAGGGCAAGGCUGGACCGUCCAAGCCAAACCUAGCGCCCAAGGUUAAAGCUGGACUUGGACCUGCUCCAGACAAAGAGUGCUUUUACUAUCAUGAACUUGGUCACUGGAAGAGAAAUUGCAAACAGUACCUAGCUUCGUUGAAGAAUGGUGGAAGUAAGAGUAGUUCCACCUCGGUACGCUUGUUAUUAAUGUUAUGGAAAACAUAUUUCUCGCUGAUACAAUUAUUAAUUCUUGGGUAUUUGAUACCGGAUCGGUUGCUCAUAUUUGCAAUUCGAUGCAAGGAAUGAUAAAAAGUAGAAGCGUGGAAAGAGGAGAAUGCAAGAGUUGCUGUGUUGACCGUCGGGACGAUGCAACUCCACCUCCCGUUAGGAUUUAUUAUGGAGUUGAAUAGUUGUUAUUUCGUUCCUAGUUUAAGUCGAAACAUUUUGUCUCCUUCAUGCUUGAUGAAGGAUGGUUAUUCAUUUACGAGUGAAAACAAUGGUUGUGUGAUCUCUAAGAAUGAUAUGUUUAUGGCUUUUGCACCCAUUGUGAAUGGAUUGUUUGUUUUAAAUCUUGAUGGUUCACAUGUCUGUAAUGUAAGUGCUAAAAGGCCUCGGCCUAAUGAUUUGAGUCCUACCUACUUGUGGCAUUGUCGUUUGGGUCAUAUAAGUGAAAAAUGCAUGAAGAAGCUCCAUUCUGAUGGACUUCUAACUUCGUUUGAUUUUGAAUCAUACGAGACAUGUGAGGCUUGCUUGCUAGGCAAGAUGACUAAGACGUCUUUCACAGGUUUUCCUGAGAGAGCAGUAGACUUGUUGGAACUCGUACAUAGCGAUAUAUGCGGACCAAUGAGCAUGACGGCUAGAGGAGGAUUCCAAUACUUCAUAACUUUCACUGAUGAUUUUAGUAGAUAUGGCUAUGUCUACUUGAUGAGGCACAAGUCUCAAACCUUUGAAAAGUUAAAGGAAUUUCAGAAUGAAGUUGAAAAUCAGCGUGGCAAGAAAAUUAAGGCCUUACGAUCUGAUCGUGGAGGCGAGUAUUUGAGCCACGAGUUUAGCAAUCAUCUAAAGAGUUGCGGAAUUGUUCCACAACUUAUGCCACCUGGAACACCUCAAAGAAACGGUGUAUUCGAGCGACGUAAUCGAACUUUGUUAGACAUGGUUUGAUCAAUGAUGAGCCAGUCGGACCUACCGUUGUCAUUUUGGGGAUACCCUCUAGAAACAGCAGCUUUCACACUUAAUAGGGUACCAUCUAAAUCCAUAGUUAAGACACCAUAUGAGAUGUGGACUGGAAAAGUUCCCAGUUUAUCUUUUCUAAAGAUUUGGGGAUGUGAAGUGUUUGUUAAGCGACUUCAGUCGGACAAGAUCACACCCAAGUUGGAUAAAUGCAUUUUCGUGGGAUAUCCAAAGGAAACUUUGGGAUAUUGUUGGCGCUAGAAAUCGAUCAACCGAAUCCCAACAGCCGACACACGACCCGGGAGAAUCUGCUUAGCUCCUGUUCGGGUGAAUGCCCUGGUGCGGUUCGCGCGGCGUGCCAGCCAAUCUGACCUGUUGAUUGGCAAGGAAGAACACGUGUCAGGUUCAGAAAUUACGAUCGGCUAAGUUUCCGAUCGAGAGAGUUUAUCGGCGAAUCGGCCGAUUUACUAUGAUAAUGAAAUCGGCUAUAAGACAGCCUGAUCUCUAUAGCCUUGUAGACAGGAAAUUGCUAAAGUAAUCGGUACAAAACUAUGAUAACAACACUAGGAACAGAUCCAAUCAGCAAUAGAUGAAUUUAUCAAUAGAAAACAGAAAGAGCCGACACUACCGAUUCCUAGCUGGAUAACUGGUGAUAAAGACUAGAAAAACAGGUAAAAACCUAUGAAUCUAGCAAAUAUCGAUAACUAGUGAAUAAAUCUAAACGAAACAACAGCGAUACGCCAGAAGUUAAAGCUUAGAUAUUACUCGAUAAACGGAACUUACAGAAUCGGCCGGAGAUCAGGAUGAUGCAGCCCUGCCAACCCGCACGAACUCGUGAGAAGAGAAAAGUAAUGGCGAAGUCGCCUGCUUGAAAGUAAGUACGAAGAAAAAGUAGCUUGUUGUAUUGAUUGGUUGAUGAUUACAGUUUUACAAAGGUAGCUAUUUAUAGCCCCGUACAGAUAAUUCCUUAACCGACUAGAAUCCUAUCUCUAAUUCAAACAGAAAACGAAUAUCUACAAGCACAAUUCGUGCUAGGUUAGUUACUCCACGCUUCGUGGGCUGACCUCCACCUUAUCCUUCCAUCUCUUUCCAAGCCCAUACAGGCCCAAUUAGUCCACCCUCCUAAUCGGCCGAUUCCUUAUCGGCAAAAGACUACCGAUUGGGACUCUGGUGCAUUCGUCUUAAAGCGAGACAAAAGUCACCGACCGAUUCCGCACUAUAGCACCAUUUGGCCGAUUCCCGACUGUGCUUCACCGAAUUUCUCUCUACUUGGCGCCGAUUUUACUAAUGACGAAAUCUGGCGUCAACAGAUAUUAUUUCUACAACCAGUCAGAGGGUAAAGUGUUUGUCGUUCGGAAUGGGGUUUUCCUAGAGAAAGAGUUUCUCAAAGAAGAAAAGAGUGGAAAGACAGUGCAUCUUGAAGAAGUUCAAGAUGCGCCGAUCGGGCAAGAAUCAAUGAGUGAUGCUAACGUAGCAGAACAAGUUGAGAUACCCAUGGCACCGCCACAACCACGAAGGUCGGCAAGGCUCUGCGAAAUGCGGGAAAUAUUAUUGUUUGACAAUAAUGAGCCUACGACAUAUGCAAAAGCAAUGAUAGACCCAGACUCCGAAAAAUGGCAGAGUGCCAUGCAAUCCGAAAUAGAGUCCAUGGGAGACAAUCAAGUUUGGAACUUGGUUGACCCGCCUAAUGGUGUUAAAGCACGACUUGUCGCAAAAGGUUUUCGACAAGUCCAAGGAGUUGACUAUGACGAGACCUUCUCGCUCGUAGUGAUGCUUAAGUCCAUUCGGAUUAUUCUAGCUAUAGCUGCAUAUUUCGAUUAUGAGAUAUGGCAAGUGGAUGUCAAGACAGCUUUCUUGAAUAGAAACCUAGCUGAGGACGUGUAUAUGAUACAGCCCGAGGGUUUUGUCGAUUCGAAAAAUGCUGGAAAGGUAUGCAAGCUUCAGAGAUCGAUUUAUGGAUUGAAGCAAGCAUCUAGGAGUUGGAACAUUCGUUUUGAUGAAGUGGUCAAAGGGUUUGACUUCACCAACAAUGAAGAAGAGUCUUGUGUUUACAAGAAGGUUAGUGGGAGCUCUGUAGUAUUUCUAAUCUUAUAUGUGGAUGACAUAUUGCUGAUUGGAAAUAACAUUCCUAUGCUUGAGUCCGUAAAGACUUCACUGAAAAAUAGUUUUCCGAUGAAGGACUUAGGGGAAGCGGCAUAUAUUCUGGGCAUUAUGAUCUAUAGAGAUAGAUCGAGAAGGCUUAUAGGAUUAAGCCAAGAUACUUACAUUGACAAAGUGUUGAAGCGGUUCAGCAUGGAAGAGGCAAAGAAAGGGUUCUUGCCUAUGUCACAUGGCAUACAUCUCAGCAAGACUCAGUGUCCUUCGACUGCUGAUGAGCGGGAUCGCAUAAGUAGAGUGCCAUAUCCCUCGGCUAUUGGAUCUAUCAUGUAUGCAAUGAUACUUACUCACCCAGAUGUUUCAUAUGCCUAAGUAUGACAAGCAGACACCAGUCUGAUCCAGGUGAGACUCACUAGACAGUGGUGAAAAACAUUCUUAAGUACUUGAGAAGGACUAAAGAUAUGUUCCUCGUCUAUGGAGGUGAGGAGGAGCUCGUUGUAACAGGUUACAUCGAUGCUAGUUUCCAAACCGACAGAGAUGAUUCAAAGUCACAGUCAGGAUUUGUGUUCACAAUAAAUGUUGGUGUUGUUAGUUGGAAGAGUUCCAAGCAGGAGAUAGUGGCCGAUUCUACGAUAGAAGCCGAGUACAUCGCGGCUUCGGAAGCUGUGAAGGAGGGUGUUUGGAUGAGGAAUUUCCUCAUUGAGUUUGGUGUAUUCCCGAAUGCGUCCAGCCCAUUGAGGCAAUCAUAGAGAUGAUGAUAUUCCAUUUGUAUCCAUGAUUUAUAUUGUGUUCCUUGAAUACCCAUUAAAGGCUACAUGAAUUGAUUUGCAAUUAUGUGAAUUGUAUGUGAAACUCUUUACUUGUAUGGUUAUUCUAAAGUUGUCCCUAGUCGGAGUUCUUGUGAGGACACUCAUUAAUAUUAGACUAGCACAUGUAUUAGUUGAUGACUAUGUUUCACGAGUCAUGGACAUGGAGAUGUUGAACUAAUAAUGUGGGCACAUGUGGAGACAAGUGCUAGGACACGAAAAGUAGUUCUCUCUUUACACAACAUAUACGCUUCAUCCUUAGACCUGAGAUUGUCGCAUGUACUCAAGAUGUGGAUUGACUUACUUAGGGGCUAUCAAACGCUACGCCGUAACAAGGUAGUUAUAAAGGUAGCUUUCGGGUUUGUCAAGAAGUAUGCUAUGAGACAUGGUCAAUCAAGAUGGGAUUUGCCCCUCUCUGAUUGAGAGUGAUAUCUCUGGGCCCCUCGAGUGAUCGGAUCCGAAAAUGCAUGGCCAUGCUACGUACAGUUAACAGUUAACCUACAAAGGAAUUCCGAAUCAUAGGAUCGAGAAAGAGCGGUCGGCUUGAAGCUAGACCAAAUAUCGUGAGGCAAAGGGAAAAGCAUGUAUAUAAUAUUGUGAUGGUUCGUCUAAUAUGAUCUUCGUGUGCGUAUAGGAGUUGGCACGUCUUGCUAGAGGCCGCUACCGACUAUUGGGCCGAGUAGGAGUACUCGGGCCAUGUCUAUACGUAUCCGAACCUAUAGGGUCACACACUUAAGGGGCUGGAAGCCCAAUUCGUAUGUGAUCCGAGUUGGAUUAGGUUUAGAAGUACUAAUGGGCCUCGGACCCAAAAGCCCGUUAGGAACCUCUAUAAAUAGAGGGGUGGGGGCGCCCUAGGGUUUACACCUUUUUGGCGAAACACAUCUGUUGCGCCUCCCACGCCCUCGCCUAUUGCAACUCGUGGACCUAGCAGUCCGGCUUGCGAUCCUUCCUCCUUGCAUGUGUGGAUACCUUGGACGUGUUGCGCCUGCAGCACUACGAUGAGCCGCCGACGAGCCACGACGAGCCGCCGACGAGCCGACGACGAGCCGCGACACGAGGGCGAUCUUGCUGCACAUGGACGAGCUGCUGAGGAGCUGCUGGACGUCGACAUGAUCGACUAUGUACGACUACGCUGAUCGACUUUGUUGCAUCGACGCGAAUCUACAUCGUCCGCAUCAGUGCGUCGAGUGGUAAUCCCGUGAUCCUUAUACGGCAGUUUUUCUGGUUUAUGCGGUAGAAAAUUUUGAUUUGUGCUAGUGUAGCCUACCUCGUAUCCCUACAGCUUCUGCGUGCGAUUGGAAAGGAGGCACGCUGAUCCAUCUUGUCGCGACCGAUGACUGCACGAGGCGGCGCUCGCCGGUGAGGCUAUGCCACACAACGGCGGGGCUCUGAGACAGCGCGCACGCUCGCUCUGGCACACUUGGCCUGAGAGAUCCGUGGGAUCCUUUUCUGGGUCCAUCUUCCAGUCUCUUGCCUUCCCAAUUUCCGAACUGCACCACUUCUACUGCCUUAACAAGAGUUGUAGAACUCAGGCCAAGGCCCAACUCUUGAAAUUGGACCGAGUCCAAAAAUGCAGUGGAUUUGGGGGAUCCAAAGCUCCAAAGUUUGGAGGAACACCGUUUUCAGGAUUUAGAGCAAAACGGCGGUUUGCUAGGCUUCAGGGAUCGGGGCUGAUUUGAACUGCAGAUUUGGGAACCUUUGGAGAUAAAUUGGAUUAAGGUCCAACUAACAAAGUUGUAGUAGGGACUUCGUUCUCCAACUUCCAUAAAGGAAUUUCUGGACGUUCAGCUCAACUUGCCAAAGAUGAGUCCGCCCUAAGGCGUGAGAUCAGACUGAUCUUCCAGACUUAGCCAUAAUGGCUAAAGGAGUUUGAGUUGACCAGAGCAGGGAACUUGUCUUAAGAUUAAACUCGGCUGAUUUAAAUCUAAGUCGUUACAGAGGGUAUCUAUGUUAAAUUCCGAGGACUUCUCUGUGUUAAAUCUGAGGAUUUUGAUACAGUUUUUCCUUAAGUCUAAGGGUCAGAUCGUAAGUUUUCCCCUAUCCGACUCUUUUAACUCGUUUUAAAUCGACAAGAACUUGGAAGUUACAUCUUAAAUCGAGAAAAAAUCAGAAAAAUACCAAAUCACUUUUGUUGAAAUCCUUGUUCUGUCUAGUUUCUUACAAAAAUAAGUUUGCUCAUGUUACUAUUGUAAAUAAUAUCUUAUGGUUUUAUUCCUUGUUUAGGCCUUUUAAGUCAUUGUAAAUAGAAGAAAAAUGCUAAAUCGGUAAUCCAACUCUGUGGUGAAUGUUUCUGUGAGUUGAAGCUUAGAGAAAUGUUUAGGACCCUGGGGAAGAACUUAAAGUUACUAUUUUAGCUUUACAUUUGAAAUCUAGAGUUAAAAAUCUUACUUUUUGCAUAAGUAUUAAUCCAGAGCUGAGAAAAAUAAGAAAUUUUGGGGAAGAGGUACGUAAAAACUUUUAGAAUUAAAUAACUCUCCUAAUGCACUUGAACCACCCCAAACACAACCUCUCUCUCUUUGUGCAUACUCUAAGUUGCAAGAAUCUAAAUGUGUACACAAUCACCAUCAAAGUCAACCGCAAGUUUAAACCCGACCUCACCUUCCUUUGCGAAGUUAAGAGAAGUUAAAACCUUAUUUAGGUGAAUGUGGCCUUUAGGCAACUUUCUUUCUACCGUAAUCCAUGUCGUGCAUUGUUCGUGUUCGCGCCUGGUUGAAAUUAAACUCCUGCAUGUGCAUGUCGUGUAGAAGCAAAUCUCGCCGUUGGAACCUACGAACUUCACCCUGCACCACAGGAAGAACCCGCCGCAGAGCUUCAUCACUUGGAAGGAGAGCCCCAGCUAGAUCAAGACCUCGAAGAACCGCUGACCCUUCCUGAAGGUAAAGCCCGUUGCAUGUUUCCCUGUUUUAAAUUAUGCAAUAUGUUGAUGCUUAUGAUUGCGCAUUUACGUUUAUAGGAGUUGAAUGACACCUUAGAUGCAUGAACUUAGUACCCUUCUAAUCUGAACACUAGCAUGAUAAGUCGCGUGGAUGCAAUGCUAGAUAGGUCUCGGUAAAAGUUGAGUUAUAGGAGUUGUUUGUUUACUCUUGUAACAACUAUAAGGACGAUGGAUGGGGCUGGGCUUAUGUUCAGUUCUUGGUGGUUUGCCCCGUCUGUCUACACGAAAAUGGACUAAGGUCAAAACGUGUCGGCAUUCGUGAUCAAGUUUUUGAAAGUACUAAUCUCAUACCUAGUAUGGGAUAGGGAAGCCUAGUACCUGAUUGAAUUGGGGCGUGGCAUACCCUCUAGCUGUCCUUGGAACAUCAUUCCCAUGGUGCAUCAUGUGGGUGCAAGUGCGGUCAUAGUACGGCAGAGGCCAGGAUUAUAGAGAAUUGCAUGCCAGAGGAAGUUGGCUCUGACACGUGCCUAAGGGAUCGACGGGGACGGCUGCAAGUGAAGCAACCCUUCGUGGUGCGCAGAUGUCAUGAGAUUAGGUUCGCCAUGCAUGGUUAAUAAAUUCGAAUCGAUUCGUCUACCUCUCACAGUUUGGGACUGCUUGAUCGCUAUUCUACACUGAGUAAAGAUAGAACAUGAUGAUGAUAUUAAUCUUGAUGCUUGUUCCUUAAUUGUUUGGAAAACUAUGCUUGCUUAGCGUAAGUUGUUAAUCUAGACUGGUUAAUGAACAUAGAACCUGAGCUAAAACAUUGAAAGUAAGGACUGACUAUAGGUGCUUUUGGCAAAACAAACCCAAAGCCAAAAAGGCCUUGCAUGUAGAAGUUGGUGACAGUAUUUAUCACCGGACGGGUCAGUCUUGCUGAGUAUUAGUUGCUCAGCCUUGUUGUGGCUUAACUUUUCAGGUGAUGUCAAUAGUAUGGUUGCUGGCACCACUUGGCCAACCCAGCUCCCUCCAGGCUGGACAGUCGAGUGGGAUCCCUCCUCAGACGGCGAGGGCAGGGAUUAUUGAUGUCAUGAUUGGCUUCAUCAUGAUAUCGUGUAUCGACGUUUAGCUUCCGCUUGUUUACUUCGUCUGGUUGAACCUUGCAAACUUGUUUGAAUUUUGGAAACUCUGAUGUAAUAAAUGUUGAACUAUGUUAAUGUGAUAGGAAUGUUGUAACCUCUGUGCUACUCACCUUCGUGUGAGCAAUGUUUCUCAAUCCUAUGAGUGGUUUAUCAGAGGAAAUCCGAUGGUCGACCAAGUUGACUUGCUUAAAGUGCAUGAUCGCGUGUCAGGCGACUUAAGUGCAUUUUUGUCAAGUUAAUUUGGGCGGUUCCGCCACAGUUCUGAUGGUCGCAAAUCUAUUAGUGUCGGACAAAUUCUGAGGGACAGGCUUGGAAGACAAAGAACAUCCAAUAGCAUCGGAUGAUCCGAUGGUACACGCAAGAGGAGCGUCGGAUAAAGCAUAUUUUCUUUGAUCCCUGAUAGAAGGUUUUUGGCCAGAAUGCCUUCAACACCGGAUGAUCCAACGGCACCAUUGGAGGAAGCGUCGAAGCAGUGACAUCAGAGGAUUCAAUGGCUAUGUGACGUGGCCAGUGGCAACUGGAUGAUCCGAUGGGGGCAUCGGAUAAAGCGUCGGAUGAAUUUCUGAAGAAUUGGGGCGCGGGGAGUCCAAUGGCUAAUUGCACCGGAUGUUCCAAUACAGGCAAAAAUAGACCAUCGGAACAUCCGAUGGUAUACUUUUUAACUAGCCGUUGUAGUAACGGCUCUUUGAGCCUUUGGGGCUAUUUAUACCCCCACUACUCGCCCAUUUGGAGUUGCUGGAGUGUCAAGGGAUGCAUUGAAGACCAAGACUCAUCAAGAACACAUCCAAGCCACCUAAAGUGCUAAUUGAUUCAUCUAAGGCUUAGCACAAGUUUAGGAGAGUGAUUACUGCUAGGAUAGGCCUAGGAAGCAGUGAAUGCAAGGUGUGCUGACCUUGUGAUCUGUACAAGAGGUGUGCCCACACCUUGAAGCCUUGGUGGCUUGCCAGCAAGUCUUCAACCCUUCGACUUGGUGUGGAGCAACGUCGAUGACCUUGUGCGGGGGACGUGGAGACCCCCUUCCUUCGUCAAGAAGCUUCUUAGUGGAAACAGCAUCAAGGUGACCGAUGAACUUGGAGUGUGCCUUUGUGGUCGACCCUUUGUGGCAAAUCAAGGAGUGCCUUGGGAUAGACUUGGUGGCCAGGAAGCAAUACUCUUCUAUGAGUGCUUCAACAACAUGGACUAGUGGUGGCUUAGUGCCUACCGAUACCACGGGAAAAAAUCCUUGUGUCAAGAGUUUGCUUCCUCUCAUCCCCUCCUUACGUUUCCGCAUUUCAUACUUGCAACUUGUGUGCCUUUACUUUCCUAGAGUAGUAUCUUGAGUGAGCUAUUUGCUCGCUAGCCAGUCAUGGCAUGCAUCCAGACAAGGGAGAUCAGUAACCAAGCUGCGAGCCACAAGGAUGAGAUCGUGAUAGUGAUUGUGGCUUCGGCCCUAAAGACGGCGCGCCCGGGUUGAGUGAGCUGGGCCAGUACCAGUUCAUGAAAAGAGUUUGGUUAGGCUCAUACCAGCCAGCCCUACCAGGCUUUUGUUAAAAAAGAACAUUACAAGCCCAUCAAAGUCCAAUAGCAAUACAAAUCCAGCCCAUCUUGGCCUUCCGCAUACCAUCCUCACUCCUCAGUGGCAGACCGCCAAUGCCGCUGCUCUUCCAGUUUCCCGCGGUUUCCCCACGAACGCACCCCAAAUUCCCGCCAUAAACCUAGCCCUGCUCCAGCAGAGAAGAGGCAACGUUCAACGGCAACGCCUCCCACCGCCACCAAGUAGUCAUCUCGCUCCCCACCCGAGCUAGUAGUGAGAGGGACAAGAGGGGAAAAUGUCUUCCUAGUACGACGACGAGUCCACGGCGGCGUUCGCGGCCGAGGUAGCGACCACGGAUGUGGAGCUGCUCAAGCAAGCCAAGCGCAACGAGAAGGCCACACCUGAGAACCUCCGCUUCGACUCCCCACUCGUCUCCUGCGUCCACGAGCAUAUCAAGCUCCUCGUACGCCGUUUGCUUCUUCUUCUCGCCGUCCCUCCUCCCCUCCCUUUGUUACUUUUUUGGGUCUAAUGCGGAUUCACUACCGCGAUGCCACCAGGAGACGCUGGACAAUUUCGCCGACAGCGGUGUCGACGAUUUGGUGGUCUCGCUCUACCAGAUGGACCUCGACCGCAUGCUCUUCCUCCUGAGCUCCUACCUCCGCCUCCGUCUACAGAAGGUCGGUCGCAUCAAAUCCCAAUCUGUUUGCUAAAACUGACCAAUUGUAAUUGUAAUUACCAAAUUGUUGCCAGUCUAAUUACUUGCUGGCUAUAGAUGCAGAAGCACACGAUGCAUAUCUCCAGGUCUGAUGACCUCCUCAGCCGGCUGUCACUGCAGGAGCGCCGGUUCGCUAAGAGGUAUCUUCUAACUGUGCGAUUGGCAUUUGCCCCAGUUAUUUUGCAUUGGCUUGUGAAACUAGAUGGUUCUGAUGGGAACCAAUUUCUUGUGUUUGAUCUGUCACUAAUUGCGCUGAGAUCAUGGAGAAGCAUCUCGAACAGUCAGUGCUGUCGAAGCUGUCGUAUGGCUAUGACUCGGUUACCGGAUAGUCCUUAUCGAGCACUGAGGAUGACAUGGAUAUAUACCCUUCACUUGAUCUGCUAAAUUUUGGAGUUCCUUGUCCUGUUGUCGUAUUGCUUCUGUCGUUUGCAGCUUCAGUCAUUACAUAUUUUGCAUAGGCUGCUGGAUGUGAAUAGUUGGUAAUAUAAGUUUCACCAUUUCUUUUGAGGUGGGCGGCCUGAUAGUUGGUACAAAGUAUCUUUGGGAAAUCUGGUCAUUAGUUGUACUCAAAAGUAGCGUUCCUACAUAACAAAAUUAGUUGUCAAGUUAAUAGGAGCUCAGUUAUAAUAAUGCCUCUUGCCCACAUGUGGUGGUUCUGAUUACCUACCGCAUCUUGGGACUUCCAUCCCCAAAUUAUCAAUAUGCUCCCACCAAGUUGCCAUUCUGAAUUUUAGACUGCCUUGUCCUUAUCAGGUUGAAAUUUGCUGUUGAAAUUUGCUGUUCUGGCAGUGUUCUUAUUAUCCUAAUGACCUCAUCCAUUGAUGCAUAACUAGGGACACGUUUCUAUCAGAUUUAUCACAUUUGGAUGCAUCAUAAUCUUAAUUUCAGUAGUCUAAUGGAAAGAAACGAACUGAAAGUUCGUGAUGCGGUCACAAAAUGAUAAUCUGCAAUUGUAUAAAGUUACACUGCAGAGAGUGAUCAAGGAGAGACUCGACCAGGCACAAAUGUCACGGUGCUUCUUUCUAGCAUAAUAAUUAGGUUCUCAUGUCUUCUCAUAGGUGAUACGUUGGCUUGUGUUUCUAUGGCCGAUAGUUCCACCAUAUGUGUGCAUGAUAAUGUCAAGUGCUUGUCUGGUGUCGAUCUUUCGCAAUCAUCUGAUUGCGAGUACAUUAGUUGCACAAAGGUUGAUUUUGUUGCUACUGUAUUAAAGCCGGUUGAGGAUCGGCUAACUUACCACAUAUGAUGUAAUGGAUGUAAAUCUAGAGUGGUUGCAGCAAAGGCUAGAACACUAUCGGGCGCAGAAGAACGAUAUGUGUGAGGCCAUUGAGGAUCUUGAUGAUAUGAGUAAAUUAGGAUAAGGGUUCAUGUCGGUUGAUCCUUUAGAGGAGGUGGAUAUUGGUGAUGGUACUGUACCAAGGCCGACGUUUGUAAACAAAAAUCUAAAGCCUAUUUUCAAGUCUGAUUUAAUAAAGUUCUCAAAAGAGUAUGUCAACUGUUUUGCAUGGAAUUACACUGAAAUAUCUGGUUUAAGCCGCGAGCUGGUCAAGCAUCGGCUGCCCAUUAAGCCUAGUUUUAGGCCUCAUAAACAACCUACUAGCCAUUUUAACCCUAUUAUUUAUGACCAAGAGAAAGAAGAAAUUGUUGGAGGUAUGCCCUAGAGGCAAUCAUAGAGAUGAUGAUAUUCCAUUUGUAUCCAUGAUUUGUAUGUUGUGUUCAUUGAAUAUCCAUUGAAGGCUACUUGAAUUGAUUUGCAAUUAUGUGAAUUGUAUGUGAAACUCUUUACUUGUAUGGUUAUUCUAAAGUUGUCCCUAGUCGGAGUUCAUGUGAGAACACACAUGAAUAUUAGACUAGCACAUGUAUUAGUUGAUGACUAUGUUUCACAAGUCAUGGACAUGGAGAUGUUGAACUAAUAAUGUGGACACAUGUGGAGACAUGUGCUAGGACUGACCCAACACGAGAAGUAGUUCUCUCUUUAAACAACAUAUACGCUUUGUCCUUAGACCUGAGACUGUCGCAUGUAUUCUAAAUGUGGAUCGACCUACUUAGGGGCUAUCAAACGCUACGCCGUAACAGGGUAGUUAUAAAGGUAGCUUUCGGGUUUGUCAAGAAGCAUGCUAUGAGACAUGGUCAGUCAAGAUGGGAUUUGCCCCUCUCUGAUUGAGAGUGAUAUCUCUGGGCCCCUCGAGUGAUCGGAUCCAAAAAUGCAUGGCCAUGCUACGUACGGUUAAGAGUUAACCUACAAAGGGAUUCAAAUCACAGGAUCGAGAAAGAGCGGUCGGCUUGAAGCUAGACCAAAUAUCGUGAGGCAAAGGGAAUAGCAUGUAUAUUAUGUUGUGAUGGUUCGUCUGAUAUGAUCUUCAUAUGCGUAUAGGAGUUGGCACGUCUUGCUAGAGGCCGCUACCGACUAUUGGGCCGAGUAGGAGUACUCGGGCCAUGUCUAUACGUAUCCGAACCCAUAGGGUCACACACUUAAGGGGCUGGAAGCCCAAUUCGGAUCUGAUCCGAGUUGGAUUAGGUUUAGGAGUACUAAUGGGCCUCGGAUCCAGAGGCCCAUCAGGAACCUCUAUAAAUAGAGGGGUGGGGGUGCCCUAGGGUUUACACCUUUGGCAAAACACACCUGCCGCGCCUUCCCACGCCCUUGCCUGUUGCAACUCGCGGAUCUAGCAGUCUGGCUUGCGACGCUUCCUCCCUGCACGUGUGGAUACCUUGGAGGUGUUGCGCCUGCAGCACUUGGACGAGCCAUCGACGAGCCGCCGACGAGCCACGACGAGUCGACGACGAGCCGCGGCACCGGAGGCGAUCUUGCUGCACGUGGGAGCUGCUGGACGUGACGUGAUCGACUACGUACAACUACGUUGAUCGACUACGUACGACUACGUGAUCGUCUUCACUGCAUCGACGCAUAUCUACAUCUUCCGCACCAGUAGUGCGUCGAGUGGUAAUCCCGUGAUCCUUAUACGGCAGUUCUUCCUGGUUAUACGCGGUAGAAAUUUUUGAUUUGCGCUAGUGUAGCCUACCUCGUAUCCCAACAGAAAUCUAAUCAGUUGCUUGAUGCUAAGUUUAUUAGACCUUGUCGAUAUGCUGAUUGGGUUUCUAAUAUUGUGCCUGCAGAGAAGAAGGGCACGGGUAAGCUCCGAGUAUGCAUUGAUUUUAGAGAUCUUAAUAGAGCUUCACCAAAAGAUGAAUAUCCUAUGCCUAUAGUUGAUGUACUUAUUAAUGUUGCAUCUAGACAUAGAAUGAUUAGCUUUCUUGAUGGUAACGCUGGGUAUAAUCAGAUCUUUAUGGCAGAAGAGGAUAUAUCCAAAAUGGCCUUUGUGUGUCCAGGAUUUGUUGGUUUGUUUUAGUGGAUCGUUAUGACUUUUGGUUUGAAGAAUGCUGGCGCUACUUAUCAAAGGACUAUGAAUUUGAUUUUUCAUGAUUUGCUUGAGUAGUGUUGGAAGUGUAUAUCAAUGACAUUGUGGUAAAAUCGGCCGGGCCAGGAUCCCAUUUGGCUGAUUUGAGGCUUGCAUUUGAGAAGAUAAGUUAGUAUGGUUUGAAGAUGAAUCCGCUCAAAUGUGCUUUUGGUGCAUCAGCUGGGAAGUUCUUGGGCUUUGUAGUGCAUGAGAAAGUUGUUGAGAUUGAUCCUAAAAAGAUUGAAUCUAUUAGAAAACUACAAGCUCCUGCUUGCAAAAGUUUUUGGGCAAGGUGAAUUAUUUAUGAAGAUUUAUUUGCAACAUGUUUGGGAAGGUGAAUGCAUUUACUCUUUUACUUCCGUUGAAGAAUGAAGUUGAUUUUACUUUGGGGGCAAAACAUUAAGAAACAUUUGAGGAAAUCAAGAAUUACUUGUCUUCACUGCCCCUUCUUCAGGCACCAAAGCAUGGUGUUUCUUUUAAAUUAUAUGAGGCAGCCGAAGAGGGUGUUAUUGGGGAUGUUUUGACUCAAGAAACCGAAGGGAAGGAGCAUAUUGUUACUUAUGUGAGUAGAAGAUUGUUGGAUGUUGAAACAAGGUACAUUUUUAUUGAGAAUUUGUGCUUGUCAUUAUAUCAUGCUUGUACCAAGUUGAGGCAUUAUUUAUUAUCAAAUACUUGCAUAGUGGCUUGUCAAACCACAUAAUUAAAUAUAUGUUGCAAAAACCUAUUUUGAGUGGUACAAUCAGCAAAUGGGCGAUGCUCUCAUUGAAUAUGAUCUGGUUUGUGAACCGCAAUGAAAUGUCAAAUUGUAGCCGAUUUUAUCGUUGAGCAUAGAAUUGAUGAGAAACUUGAUUUAAGUACCGGUUAUAUUACUGUUACCCCUUGGAAACUGCACUUUGAUGGAUCGGUAUGCAAAAUUGAUUGCGGUGUUGGUGUGUUCCUUAUUUCACCAAAUGAGCCUAUUUUUGAAUUUCUUAGCCGAUUGGAUCACAAGUGAUGUAGCACUGGCCCGAUCUUCCGAUAGAUAUAGAUAGACUCGAUUUGAUGGAGACCCAACGUUGAUGAUCCGGCUUCAAAUCAAACACAAUUCGAACCCUGCAACCGCUACACCACUGCUCUGUUGGUUAUCAACCAAGCACAACUUGAUUGACCUCACCGAAAAGGUUUUCCCUGCAAGCGAAUCGAAGAACACAAGCAAGCAAAUGGUAAACACGCAAUCUGAAAUUGCAAAUAUGGAUGAAGCAAAGAUCAAUAUGGGGUUCAACCUCUCGAUUCAAAUGGACUAAUCGUCACAGGCGAGGAGAACAAGAACAGGGGCCUUGGAUCACUGUAAACGGAUUUGUCACCACAGUUACAAUGAGUCAAUCUCAAUUUCUCGAUGGAAAACUAGAACUAAAUGAAACCUGAGUUCUAAAGGCCACAGCUACUAAGUUUUAUACCGAAAGGGGCGUCCUAGGGUUGGGGGCGACCAGGCGGGAGGCGCCCACAACAUGGGCUUAAGGCCCAACACAGUACAAGGCCAAGUUAGCCCAAACAGGUGAUGCAACACCUUGUCAUGGUCACACAGAAUGAUCCAAGAACCUUUUGGAGCUAGGACCAGAACCAAAAGAACGGCAUCGUCAUCCCCUUUACAACGCAUCAAAGAACGCCUCAUUUCGAUGUCGUAUAAGGGAGAUAUGAUCAAAACCGUGCAGGGGUGUCAGUUGAAUCCGAACCGAACACGAUGACCGAGUUGGUGAUGACUUGUGACUUGGGGAAGACCAUGACUCGUGUGUGUCAAGCAGGGCGAUGUCCUCAUCAACAAGUGUACUAAUAAUCAAACCGAGUAUGAAGCUUUGUUAUUUGGUUUGGAGAUUUUGAGAUGGGGCUAAAGCAUGUUGAAGCUUAUGGAGAUUCUCUACUGGUGGUACAGCAAGUAUCCAAGGUAUGCCAAUGUUUGGAUGGAUUCUUGAAUGCUUAUCUUGACAAAUGUCUAGACAUCAUAUCUUGCAUGGAUGAGUUUACUAUUUAUCAUGUACCAAGGAAAGGGAAUCCAAGGGCUAAUUCUCUGGCACAACAAGCGUCUGGCUAUAACAUUCAGAAAAGUAACUUUCAUGAAAGAAAGCCGAUGCUUUACAAGGCCGAGUGCUAUGUCCAAGAGGAACCGGUCCAACUGACCUCCGAAACCGGUCUGACCGGUCCAACCGGUCUGACCGCCCGGCCAGUCGGUCUGACCGCCCGGCCAGCCGGUCUGACCAGUCUAUCUGGUGAAGAUCCUACUUCAGUCAUGGAUCAUCCUAAACUUGCUAAGGAUGAAGUGGAUGACUUGAGAACGUCUCUAAUUAAUUAUUUGCAGAAUCUCAAGCACUCAGUUGAUAGAAAAGUCCAACAGUGGGCACUCAAGUUCAUUUUGGUGGAUGGUGAGUUAUAUCGUCGGACGAUUGAUGGAUUGCUUUUAAAAUGCUUGGAUUCUGAUCAAGUGAAAAUAGCUAUGGCAAAGGUGCAUGAAGGAGUUUGUGGUACGCAUCAUUCGACUCGUGUGAUGAAAUGGCUUCUUAAACGAGCUUGCUUUUAUUAGCCUAAUAUGAUAGCUGAUUGUUUUUGUUACUACAAAGGUUGUGAAGAGUGUCAGAAGUUCGGGGAUGUUCAGUUGGUACCUGCUUCAUCGAUGCAUUUAAUUAUAAAGCCAUGCUAGAGGAUAGGGAUUGGAUUUUGUUAGCAAGAUUCAUCCUUCUUCAUCAAAGGGAUAUUAUUUUGUGAUUGUGGCUACUGAUUAUUUCACCAAGUGGACUAAAGCGGUUCCCCUUAAGAAGGUGAUUAGGUUUAUUAAGGAGCACAUCAUACACAGGUUUGGUAUUCCGCAGACUUUGACCACAGAUCAACGAACCCCAUUCAUAUCUAAAGAAGUGCGGGAGUUUGUGGAAUCUUAUGGUAUUAAACUUCUCGAUUCAUCUCCUUAUUAUGCUCAAGCUAAUGGUCAAGUCGAGUUUAGCAACAAGAUUUUAAUUAAGCUCAUCAAGAAAAAGAUAGAGAACAAUCCUAAAAGAUGGCAUGAGGUUUUAUCUGAAGCUUUAUGGGCUCAUCAUAUUUCUAGACGUGGCACCACUAAAGUUACUCCUUUUGAGCUUGUCUAUGGUUAAGAAUAGCACUGGAUGAUCCGACGGUACGCGCAAGAGGAGCAUCGGAUAAAUCAUAUUUUCUUUGAUCACUGACAGAAGUUUUUUUGCCAGAAUGCCUUCAGCACUAGAUGAUCCGAUGGCAACAUCGGAGGAAGCGUCGGAGCAAUGCCGUCAGGGGAUUCAACAGCUAUGUGACGUGGCCAGUGGUACCGGAUGAUCCAAUAGGGGCUCGGAUAAAACGUUGGAUGAAUUUCUGAAGAAUUUGGGUGCGGUGUGUCGGAUGAAUUACCGAAUUGUUGUCAGUCUGAUUACUUGCUGGCUAUAGAUCGAGAAGUACACGAUGCAUAUCUCCAGGUCUGAUGACCUCCUCAGCCAGUUGUCGCUGCAGGAGCGUUGGUUUGCUAAGAGGUAUCUUCUUACUGUGCGACUGGCAUUUGCCCCAAUUAUUUUGCAUUGGCUUGUGAAACUAGAUGAUUCUGAUGGGAACCAAUUUCUUAUGUUUGAUCUGUCACUAGUUGCGCUGAGAUCAUGGAGAAGCAUCUCGAACAGUUGGUGCUGUCGAAGCUGCCGUAUGGCUAUGACCCCGAAUCCCUGAUAUGGGCUGAGGUUCACGACAUGUUUCAUCUGCUUGUCCAAUUUGUUUUCUCUAUAUAUUCCCAUUACCUGACUUUCAUGCAGACAAAAAUAUUUAAGAGAUUCAUUGCUGAUCAAAUACUUACUCAUGUUUUAGCACAGUUUUGCUUUAGUAGACAUAAUAUAAAUUUGAGGCAAAGAAUGAACUGUUUUAAAUUUCUUUGUCAAGAAUUAAGCGGCUUCAUUUCUGAAUGUAACAUCCGUCUGUAAACCUUUGUACUUUUUCAUUACUGUACAGCUUUCAUAUUCAAGUAGGCGGGAGAAGAUUUUGGCUUUCGACGCAUCAUCCGUCUUGACCAUUCAGAAGUGUACGUCUGAAAUCUUCUGUGACAAGGUCUGCAUCGUUUGUCUCUGGGUGUCAAAUAAUCUCGCUAGUUGUCCUUUUUUUCUUAAUCACAGCUACCACCUGUUUCUCGACUUCCAAUACUACCCCCAGCCAUUAGUAUGAUCCCGCUACUUUAGGUUUUUCUGGUGAAAUUAAAGGAAGCACAUUUCUGAUUUCUCCCAAAGAGCAAAAAAAAGGAAGGAUCGAUGUCAGCUGCAGUGACUAGACAAAGCCUUGAGGUUUCCUCAUGUCUCUUAUGUGCAUGGAUUAUAUUUAUGCGCAGGGAUGAAUCUUGCGUGGUAGGUGAGACUGAUUCAGAAUCUCUCUCUCCAUGUCCACCUAGCUCGAUCUCCAAUGGUGAGUGCUCAUGUCUCCCAUGCUUAUUGGUGUGAGUAGGUGAGUGCUUAGUAGGUGCUCCCUGUGACGUGAGACCGCAUCAAGUCACCAUCUUCUUGAGUUCUCUCUUGCUGUGAAAUCAAUCAAUCUUUGGCCUGUUUACAACUUUACACACAGAGCUUUGUAUGAACUACAUGCAUGUUGUUGGUGCCGAUGAAAAGGGCCUGUGGUUAUAGAUGUCCAUUCGGGCUGCCCGAUCCGGUCCGGCACAGGCCGGGCAAGGCCUGUUAAUUUUUGUGUCGGGCCUAGCCCGUCACGAAGGCUUCAUCGUGCCAUACCGUGCCAGCCCACGGGCCUCACCGGCGGCCCAAGCACGGGCCCGCAAGGCCUUUUUUUGCCAGGCUGGCCCGUAAAGCACGGCCGGCUUCGGACCCAGCGAGGCACAGCAGGCUCCCACGCCGCCGCCGCUGCUGGCCUCCCACGCCACCGCCGUUGCUCCCCGCAGUCGGGCCCCUCACCGCCGCCGUUGCCUCUCCCCGCAGCCGGACCCCCACGCCACCGCCGCCGCUGCCUCCGCCUCCCCACGCCACCACCGUGCUGCUCCCCGCGGCCAGCCCCACGCCGGAGUGGAGGAGAAGGGCAUGGCGGCGUGUGGCGAGGGUAGAGGAUGACAAGGCCGUAGGGAGGGGAGGCAGCCGUCGGAGGCUAGAGGGCCAGAAGUCAGAGGGGAGGCAGAGGUCAGAGAUGAAGGGGAGGAGGUGGCAGCGAAGGGAAGGAGGUGGCGGCGGUGGAGGAGGGGAGGUGGAGCAGCGGCGGCGCCGGAGGGGAGGAGUGGCGGAGCGGCACCGACGGCAGAGAGAAGAGGGAGGGGGCGGCGGUGGAGGGGAGGAGAGGCGCGGAGGGUAGGCAACAGGCAGGUGGCGGGGGCAGCCGGGCGUACUGAGAGAGGCAAUAGGGUGGUGUGGGGAGGGAGAGAGGGAAUAGGGAGGUGAGGGGAGGGAGGAGGGGUAGUGGUGGUUAGGGUUUAGAUUUAGUCUUAUAUGGGGUGAAGGGUAACGGGCCAAUACGGGCCAUCACCCUAAAAUCGUGCUGGGCCAGGCUGCCCAUCGUGCUGGGGUGGCGGCCCACGCCUGGCACGAGCCAUCGGGCCAGGCCAGCUCAAGCCCGAAGAGUUUCGGGCUGGGCCGAGCUUGGGACGGGCUAAAAAAUCAGGCUUCGUGCCGGGUUGUCGGGCUGCGGGCUGCAUGGACAUCUAUACCUGUGGUGGGCUUGGUAGGUGAAGACGAAUUGAAGGUGCUGUUGGUCGUCUGGGUAGUAGUACUAACCACUGUUUGGUCUGCCUAAAAUGUCUCUCCUGCUACCUAACAUUCAUGGACCCAUGGUACCCACAUCGACCAGCUUGGCCAUCGCAUGGAGCGCGAGAGAGAUAUAUUCUAGUGUUGAGUUAUUCAUAGAAAUAAAUGCGUGAUGACUCCUAUGCUGUCACCUGCAAAUGUUCCGCGAGGCAGGCGAUCGAAAGAGUCAUCAAAGUGCAGAGACCUGUUAGAUUAACAACCUCAAUCAGUGAGCUCCAUGGGCUGUAAAGCUCAACCAGUAUACGCGCACACAACUUGCAACAAAGUCCAGGCAACAAGUCCGUUGAGACUUUGGCAACUUUCACCAGCAAUUGGCUAGCUUACGCUUGAUUGAUUUUGUCUUUAGGCAUAUUGUUAUCGUGGAAAGCAUGAUGAGCAGUGAGCGAGAACCUGACGGGCGGAAUGGAGCCGUUUGCAGCGCUGACGGAACUCCAAGUCAGCGGUCACUGGUCAGUAGUCUCGAUAGUACAACGGGAUGUUUGGGAACACCGUGCUAAACUUUAGCACUUGUCACAUCGGAUGUUUGCAUACUAGAAGUAUUAAACAUAGUCUAAUUACAAAACUAAUUGCACAGAUGGAGUCUAAUUCACAAGACGAAUUUAUUAAGUCUAAUUAGUCCAUGAUUUGACAAUCUGGUGCUACAAUAACCAUUUGCUAAUGAUGAAUUAAUUAGGCUUAAUAGAUUCGUCUCACGAAUUAGACUCCAUCUAUGCAAUUAGUUUUGUAAUUAGCUAAUGUUUAGUCCUUCUAAUUAGCAUCCGAAUAUCCGAUAUGACCCUGCUAAAGUUUAGCACCUCGUAUCCAAACAUCCCGAAAGUUACAGAUAGCGAUGAAGACAAAUCUGCAAAUGAUCAAAGUCGUGAAGUGAGCUGAGCCACAAAAUCAUGUAGUCACUUUCGUGCUCUAUAUAUUCAACGUCAAGGUGGAUAGAUAUAGACUGACGCAAAUGGAACUCAAGCAGCUGAACAACGACUAUUAUAUUGUUGUCAACUCCACCGUCCCAAAUUAUUAUUCGUUUUAGUUUUUCUAGGUGCAUAAUUUUUGCUACGUAUCUAAACAUGGCAUAUAUUUAGAUGCAUAGCACAGUCUAUAUACCUAGAAAAGUCAAAACGAGUAGCUUUUCUAGGUGCGUGGGAUUGAAACCCGCAACCUCUUGCCUCACGCGUAGCUUCUUUACCGUCUCAGCUACACAAUAUAUCCAACUGAGUAGGGAACGCUAUCCUUUUGUAUUCACUCGUGGGGACCCUUUAGUCUCGGUUACCAACCAGGACUAAAGAGUCCCCCACAUAAUACGAAAUUUAAACUCGGGACUAGCUUUAGUAUCAGAUCCAAAAAUAACCGAGACUUUUGUUUGAGGAUGAACUCGCUCUCUCUUUUCUAUCUGUUCCACCACUAUAUGUCCAUCACUCUUUUUACCCUCUCACUAUCUCGUAGCGUGACCUGACAUAUAGAUCCGAGAUGGUAACAUGGCGUCGUGGUGCUAACAAGUGGCAGUUCUAGAAAAACAAGUUUUGGUUGCGGAUGGAGUUGAACAAGAAGAAGAAGAAAAAAAAUUUGAGAAGAAGAAGAGGAAGACAGGGGUGGAGCCCUGUAUCUGGCAGCUCUCCGCCACAGUCGCUAACAUGUGGAUCAUAUAUGUGAUAGGUUUUGUCGACCUAAAAGUCUGCCGGCUCAGUCUUCAACUGUUUCUCAUAGGAAGUAGGGUGCGAUAUAUGGUGAGCAUGCGUACGUGUAAUUAAGCGAGGAUCGUGUUUGUACCGUAUUUCGUAUGGAAAAAACAUCAUAAAAAGGUACAUUAAACAAUUUGGGUAGGUCAGGAGCAGGAGGUAGAAUACCUGAUUUGCUCGGCGAUGGAGUACGUAGACGAACCACAACAGUCCGAGGUUGAAGAUGACCCAAAGAUUGAAUCGUGUUUGACGACCUGACCAGCAAGCAGCUUUUAGCCUGUCACUGCGCCAGCAAAUUGAAGUUAGCCGCGUUUCAACAAAAACACUGAUAACAUAAGCCUAGCUAGGCCAGCCUUGACGCUCGAUCGAUCAUCUUUCACGAGUCAACGGCACCCAUCGUCAUGAGUAAAAAGAAGCAAGGAAAAAAAAGAAAAAAAAUCCGAGAGCAGUCAGAUUUUUAUUUUCUUUCCUUUUUUUUUGAAUGAGUAGUAGAGACAGAUUGACCAUGACUAUAGCUGGCCAGACGGGCCACCUGGCAUGGCACUAGUACGGGUACUAUCUGGCAUGACACUACGUGGCACGGCACUAUGCGGCAUGAUAGGUUAGCCGUGCCGUGCUGUGUAGUGCCACCGUGCCUAAGUGCCGGCACAGGCACGGCACUAACAGCCCGUUAGCGUGCCGUGCCAUAGGGCACACCAGCACUGCAGUGCUCAUGCCGGUCCUGGCACUAUAAGUGUGCCUACCCCUCUUUUUACUCAGAAUUAUAAGCACAAUUAAAAAAUAAUGAGAUUCAUAGGCAAAUCAGAAUUUUAUCUUGAUAUAUUCAUUGAAUUCAGAUCAUAAAGUAACACAAAGUCACAAAUACAGGCAGAGAUAACAAAAUAACAUUUUAUUAGGAGCUUUAGUGCAAUGGCUGCCUCAUUAAAAACCUAUCUAGGUAAAACUCAGCCUUGUGAGAAACCCUAGACAGGAAAAAAGAGUGCAGCCUAGCUCCAAUUAUAAAGUUCAUCAAAGUCCAAUGCAUAAUAUUACAGUCCCAUUAUAUAAAUGAGAACUAAUCAAGAUAAAGUUCUUCAAAAGCUUCUUCAAGCUCCUUGUCCUCCACCAUGUGUUGCAGCCUCGCUUCUACAGCCUCCCAGUCUUUAAUGCCGGUGAGCAUCUCCACCAUUUCAGGCUUUAGCUCCUCCGCCGCUCGUCAAUGAUCCUGCCAGUCAUACUAAAAGUGGAUUUUGAAGAUAUGGUUGAAACAGGAACAGUUAAAAUAUCUUUGGCCAUGGUUGACAGCACUGGAUAUGUGAGUUUGUGCUGAUGCCACCAGUUCAAAAUGUUAAAAUCAUCUUCUAAAUGGUUCACAGUGUCACAGUCCAAGUAACAAACAAGUUUAAAAACAUUACCACAUGAAGAACUUGCAGCCUGCAGUAGGGCAGUUGGUAUUUCUAGCCAUGCUUAGAGUAGCAGCUAGAGUAUGCAUACCAUCAGCAGAACCACCAACAUCAUCAUUAUCAUAAAUUUUAUCCCAAGCAGACCUUUUCUUACCAGAUAGGUUAGGAGGUACUGUAACAACCUUGGUUAAUCAGCCGAGUUAAUCUUAACCCGAGUCCCUAAUUCCGCUGACUCAGCCUUUCCUGAGCAUGAGCGCUCAAGGUCUGGUUUUUGGCCCCGAUCCCUGAAAACCCAACCAAAACCGCUAGUUCUUUAUAAGUCCCAAGGGUAGUGUUCCUUCCAAUAUUGGAGCUGUGGAGAACCAGAGACUGAUUGGUGGACCCGCAAUCUUUUCCCUUGUUCUCUCGAGACCAACGCGCCUGAGCAGCAUGCGCCCGCUUCAGAGCUCCCCCGCCGCGUGGCUUGAUCUCUCCGACGCCCGCCGCGUCGCCCAGUCGCCGGCCGUGACAGGAUGGAUCAGCGCGCCCUCCUCCCCAAUCGCAGCGGAAGCCCCUGCAACCCUUUCUGCCUCGCCUCGUCUCGCUCGGGCCCUCGCCGGCUGCGCCAAGGUGCCCCAUCGCCGCCGUGGCAGAGUUUUUGCUGCUACUGCUUCAGACCGCCUCGCGACCCGCACCCAUCAUCUCGCCCGGAUCCCUGGCUGCGAGCUCCGAUGCCUUCCGGUUUUUCCGGCACUCCAUAGUUGCGCCGCCCACGAGCUCGCUCCACGACGAUUCCACCCUCGCCAACCCCGACUCCGGCAGAGACAACUCCUUUUUCCGCCUCGCCAGUAAUGUGCCCCGGCAAGCCGCUGUUUGCGCUCGCUCGCGCCGCCGCUCGCCCUGUUACCUCGCCUGCUGCACCCUCGCUGGCAGCGCCUUCCUCCCUGUCACACGCCAGUCACAUCCGCCGCCCACACUCCAUCGCUUGACGCGACCAGACCACGCUCGUCUCCGCCAAAUCUAAAUCCCGGCAAAGCCGCGCCUGCGCCGGCCUUGUCUCCAGUGCCCAAUAGCUGAAGACCCUGUCUCCAAGGAUCUGUUCCGUCACCCAUCGCCGCUCAAUUGCCGCCAGGGCAGCGCAGUCCAUCCUUUUCUUCUCGGUCUUCGUGCUGCUCCAACUCUCUCUCUCUUUCGCGUAGUUAUAAAAAGGAGUACCAGAGCCCCACCGGAGUUUCCUUCGCCAUCGCUGUUUCGCCGCACCUUCUCUGAGCGUACUUGAGCACUACCGCUGAGCUCUUGAGAAGUUCCCCUCUCCGCUCAAACCCGCUUCUCCCCAAUCCACCAAGCCGCCUGUUCCUCCGCGCUGUGCUAGAGCCUUCUUGUUGCCCACAAGAAGCUCCGCCGCCGCCGGAGCACAGUCAAACCUCGCCGCCACCCAAGCCUUAGUGCUUUAGUCUUUCCGCCCAAGUCUGCUCCUUCCCGACCCCAAGCUUUACCUAUAAACCUGAAGGUAAGCUGCCGACCCUUCCUAGUUCGCCCGACCCCUUUUUCCGCCUUGCCCUACCCUGUCUGUUUCGCCGACCCUUAUCCGCCUCGCCCGAGGACUCGGCUGUAUCCUUUUUCCUUGACCCGAGGGUAUCUGUGCAAAAUAUUGGGGACUCCCCGGUGUUAAGUCUGAGGACCCCGGCACAGUUAUUCCCUAACCUUAAGGGUCAGAUCCUAAGUUUAUCCCUAUCCGACCCUUUUAUCCUGUUCUUCCCCAACUAAAGUGAAGUCCCCCACCUUUUCUGUAGCUUUGCUACGAGUGUCUGAGCUUAAACUUGCAAGUGUUGUUGAAAUAACCGUCUAAACACUAACUCCUGCAUUUGCAUUCAUGUAGAGUUACAUCUCGCUGACGGCGUCUACGAGCUACACCCGGCGCCCGAAGACGGAGCUGUAGCUGAGCUGCCAAUCCCAGAAGCCGAAGCAGCACCAGCUGAGGACUAGUUCACCUCCUCUUCGCUUGAAGGCAAGCCCCGGAGCAUGAACCCAUCUUUCCAAACUUGCGCAUGCCUUCCUGCUCAUGAUUGUGCAUUUACGUAUAGGAGUUGUUUGCAACCAUAGAUGCAUGCCAUAGUUCCUUUGAAAUGUACACUAGUCUGUUGGGUCGAGUAAUUGCAAUGCUUAAAUAGGAAUCGGUAAAAGCCGAGUGAUUGCCUGUCACUCGUGAGUUAUAGGGUUUGGUUGUUUUCUUCUGUCACAAACUAUAAGGACAAUGGACGGGGUAGGGUUAUGGUUAACUCUUUUUGUGGUCGGCUGAUCGCCCCGUCUGUUUAUUAAAUCUGUUAAGGCCCGAUAGUGGUGGUAUUCGUGAUCAAGUGUUUGAAAGUACUAAUCUCAUACCCAAUAUGGGAUGGGGAAGCCUAGUACCUGAUUGAACCUAAAUGUGAGCGGUCGCUCCACUGUCCUUGGAACGAAGUUCCCCUGCGACCGCACGUGGUGGCAAGUAUGGUCACAGAACAGCAGAGGCCAGGUCUGUGGAACCUUGCACCAAAGGAAGUGGACCCAACACGGGUUAGGGAAUUGAUGGGGAAGGCCGACACAGGAAGCAACCCUCAGUGGUGCGCGGAUGUCGUGAGGUUAGGUUCACCAUGCAUGGUUAAAGAACUCGAAUCGAUUCGUCUGCCUCUCACAGUUUGAGACUGCUUGAUCGCAAUACUACACUGAGUAAUGAAGGAGUCUGAUGAUGACAUGGUUUUGAUGAUGAGCUUAUAAACAUAAAGUUGGAUCUAUGCUUGCUUAGUGUAAGUUGCCAACAUAGACUGGUUAAUGAACUUAGAAUCUAAGCUAAAACUUGAAAAUAAGGACCUAACAUAGUGCUUUUGGCAAAACAAACCCCUCAGCCAAAGAGCCGUGCAUGUCUAGAAGUGGUGGAAUAGCUUUUUCCCACCGGUCGGUUAAGUCUUGUUGAGCUUAGCAGCUCAGCCUUGUUUGUGGCUUCUCUUUUCAGGUGAAGUUGCAACUUCUGAGCUUGCUGCUGGCACUUGGCCGUCCCAGCUCCCUCCGGGUUGGACGGUCGAGUGGGAUCCUUCCUCGGAUGGCGGGUAAUAGGAUCAUUGAUGUCCUGGCUGGUCUCACAAGGGACAUCCGACCCCGACGAGUAGCUUCCGCUUUGUGUUUACCUUCUGUUGUUUUCUUCAGAAUUUGUAAAACUCUGAUUUUAACUAGUGUGUAACAACUUGUUAAUCAAAUUGUGGACCUGUUGUAUUCUCUGGAACCACUCACCUUCGUGUGACCUAUGCUAACUUGAUCCUGUUAAGUGGUUAAAUCGGAUGAAAUCCGACGGCACAUCGAGUUAACUUGAUUAAGGCAUGGGUGUCACAUGUCAACCGACUUAACCGAGCUUUAGUCAAGAUAAUCCGAGGUGUUCCGCCAUAGCUGGUAGCAGAGCUGGUUUAGCAGGACAGAGAACACGAUGGGUCCUAAAACACGAUCUUUUUGAAUAAAAAUUUGCAAGAAAAAUGUUGAAAAAAAAAUCUCGUAUGAUCGUUAAGUAUGACUUUAGCACGAGAGGCCCUAGGGGCUUUGGGGUUAUUUUAGGUGGCUAUUACUUAUUGGUUAUCUUGCUAACCCCCAGCACUUCACCACGUGUAUCAUCAAGUGACGAGUUCUGCAUCACGAGUAUGCGAGGGUUGAUAGGGAGUUCUAUUCAAAGGACCCUAUCAUCGCGGUUGUUUCGCCCACGUCUAUCAUACGUGCGUAGGUUCCGUGUGUUGAUUCAUAUGAGGGGUGGUAUGAUUCGAUUCCAACGAGCCUAUAAUCACGGUUGUUCGCCCACGUCUAUUAUACGUGCGCAGAUUCCGCAUCUGAGUAUGCGAAGGGUUGUACGGUUCCAUUCAAAGGGGACCUAUUUCCACGGUUGUUGUACUGUCCAUGCAGCCUUAAACGCAUGGGUGCCGUUUCUAUAGUGAACAGUAAUGCUUGGGGACGCUUUCGUGGGUGCUGGCACGAAAGGUUCAGGUGGCUGUAUUUUCUGUAGGUACACUAAUCGUGUUUGCUUAGGAGACGCUACUAGAACCCGACUAGCUACUAUAGGGAGAGGCGUACUGGUUGCCUUCCCACCGGUACAGACUACGUAAGACCAAAGUUUUGGCAGUUGUUUUGGUUAAGAGGAUGAAGUAGAUCGUGCAUGCGUCAUAAACUAAAAUCUGUGAAACCACCUCCCUAGAACAACCUUGCCUUGGUCAAAGCUCUUCUUCGGUUUAAGGAUUUCUAGCUUCCUUUCCAGCUUACGCUUUGUUUUGAAUUCCGAGUGUUUUUCUUGCCCGAUCUGUUCUUCUUCUUAGAGUCUCUAUCUCAUGUUGUUUCGGUUCUUGGUUCUAGAUGGCUGCCCCCGGGCACGUGUUUUACGGCGCUGACGGCGUUUCCCACUCUACGUGCCUACACUUUGAGGGUUUUCCUGCUAUUCUGUGGGAUACCUUAAGGUGGUUUAGGUACCAGUCCCCGCCUCUGUACGUGGGACGGGAGUACCAAGAGCACGGAGUGCAGAGAUGCAAUGUGCAGGUGAUUGUACCUCCACCUCCUGUGCAGCCCGAGUGGCCCCCGCUCGAGGUCUUGACCUAUGGUCAUGCCUUGGAGGACACCUGGGAGUCGGCUGCCCUGCAGACCGUCACCCAGUUCUACCGGCUACACCCGCUUGAGGUCACCUUGGACCCAAUCAGCUUGUUUCCCACCAGGGAUCGGCUGGACCCAACCUAGCUUGACCGCGUCAACAACAUGGAGGUGUUGGCAACCUCCCAUUCGCUGGUCACCAUCUCUACCACCACCCGGUGCAUGUCAGCACUAUACCGGCUGAUUGAGCUUCAAGGCCGAGCUAUGGCUGUCUUGGCUCGGAUAGCCGCAGACACUCAAGGGUUUUUCAACGCCGCCAAGAGAGGCUUGGUGGAAUGGUCAUAUCAACUCAUCCAGAGAGGCAAACAGAUCCAUGACAUGCAAGCUAGGAUCUCCGAGCUCGAGGAAGAAGUGACAGACAUGGAGGAUGGCAUGAUCCAGCUUGCCGAAGAGAAGAUGGAAGUUGACAUGGAGCUCGCAGUUGCUAAUGCUCAUUUGGACGAGCACCACACCGAGCUCGAUGCUAUCCAUGCCCUGAAGAUGCAGUUGGACGAACAAGAGGAUCCUGAGGAGGUCGUAGGAGCAUCCAGUAUGGACAUUGAAGAUGGCGACGCCCCUUCUCUGACUCAUAGUGUUCCCUCAUAGGUUGAGAACUGUAAGAAGCUGAUCUUUUGUUGUACUCCUUGGUGACCUAAUUUUUGGAUCGUCAUGUAAUAGGUUAGCCUUGAGUUGAGUGUUCCUCCUAUGUUUGGAAGAACCGCAAUGAAAUGAUCUUAGUGGAAGCAGUUCUUGUUCUUGACCCUUUGCGACACGCCUUGGAUGCCACGUUGUGCGAGUUUUGUGUUGUAACCGCACGGGAAAGUUCUAUGGGUCUGUCCCAAAGUUGGCUGACCCCGAGUCGCAAGGUCGGAUGCGGUCGACCCCUCGAAACAGGUUUCCGCAUCGCCCGACCCCUUGGCCUAAGGUCGGAUGUAUGAAACCCAUGGGAUACGGUUUUGGUUCGCCCGAGGUUGUGUGCAGAACUAAGAUAGUUGCUAACUGAGAUGGCAAGAAGAAGUGUGUAUCCCCUUAAUGAGAAAUGCUGUUGUGUUGCACUAUCAGCAAGAGUCGUAAUUUGGGGAUUUAAAGUAUAUGUUCCUGCCUGAUUGGUAUACUUCUGAGGUUAUGGAAUUAAUGGAGCGUUGGCUCUUGCAAAUGGCGCACCGCACCCGAUCUGGCUCUGUGCCCAGCGGCAGCGAGCAGAGGCAGGAUCUUCCUCCACCUUCGCCCCCACCUUCGCUGGAAGCCAUCCUAGCGUCUCAAACUGAGCUGCUAAGGCACAUUGUACAAGGGCAGCAACAGCAGCCCCAUGGAGGGAGAGAUCAUCAACAACCUCAAGUUGCUCGUUAUGAGGACUUCUUGAGCACGCAGCCCCCAACCUUCCACAAGACUGAAGAGCCGCUCGAUGCAGAUGCAUGGGUUCGUACGAUCGAAUCCAAGUUCGAACUCCUCACCGCCCCAUGCCCUAACCAGAACAAAGCCCGGUUCGCGGCUCAACAGCUGCGUGGUUCCGCCCGGCUUUGGUGGGAUCACUACCAUGCCAUGCUGCUGGCUGACCAUGCUGUCAGCUGGAACGAAUUCAAGACCGCUUUCCGAGGGCAUCACAUUCUAGAAGGUCUCCUGGAAUGCAAACUCAAUGAGUUCUUGGCCCUUACCCAAGGAAGCCAUGACAUCCUACACUAUGCACAAGCCUUCAACGACCUGUGCCGCUACGCCGGCUAUCACGCCGAUACCAACGAGAAGAAAAGGGAUAGCUUCCGCAGAGGCUUAAGCCUGGAGCUAAAAGAAAGGUUGAAUCCCAUCAAGGUGGAUACCUAUAACGAGUUGGUGAAUCUAGCCAUCUCUCAGGAAGAUUGCAUGCAGGCUCUCAAGGCCAACCAGAAGCGGAAGGCCUUAGUGGCGUUACCGAGCCCGCCCGCUCGGAGAUUCAGGAUGGUUCCCCCUCGGUGCCCCACCGGCCACCACAGUCGGGAUGAUGGAUUGCUCGCCCUCCACCUCCCACGGCACUUCGUUUCCCCAGUUUCCAACCGCAGGCGCCCUGGCCGACCUUACUGCCGCCGCGCCCUGUGAAUAGCAACCGCUGUUUCACCUGCCGAAAUGAAGGGCAUUUUGCCAAGGACUGCCCCAGGAACAAGCAUCAGCAGACUGGCCAAAACACCACGGCCAACAGAGGAAGAAGGCCCAAGGUGCAAGUUCGCCAAGGACGGCUCAACUACACCAGCCUGACCGAGCUCCCCGAAUGUGCGCUAGUAAUGACGGGUACCUUCCUUGUCCAUAAUCAAACUGUUGUUGUUUUGUUUGAUUCAGGAGCCUCCCAUAGCUUCAUCGGGAGUAAGACUAGUGAGAGAUGUGAGCUGAGUAUUGGUCACACUAAAGGAUCAUAUGUGAUCUCCACUCCGGGAAGGAAGAUAGCCUCAGACAAGAUAGUUACCCUUGUACCUAUCCAGCUAGGCCAAACUCUUUUUAGGGAGAAUCUCAUCAUCCUUGACCUGGAAGGAAUAGAUAUCAUCCUUGGGAUGGAUUGGAUGACCCGACACCAAGUGGUCCUAGAUGCAGCUGCCCGAGCUCUCCACAUCAACUCACCCUUUCAUGGCAACUCUACCCUAUCCAUGACCCGCCCUGAGUACACAACUCCUUGUGCGUACCGUGUAUCAGAAGCCCGGAUAGAAAACCUUCCUAUUGUCCGCGAGUACCCGGAUGUGUUUCCAGAUGACUUGCCCGGCAUGCCGCCAAACAGAGAUAUCGAGUUCGCCAUCGAACUGCAGCUUGGCACCGCUCCGAUAUCUAAGAGACAUUAUCGGAUGCCACCCGCCGAGCUGGCCGAGUUAAAAACCCAACUGCAUGAUCCGUUGGAGAAAGGCUUUAUCCGACCCAGUACUUCACCCUGGGGUUGCCCAGCCUUGUUUGUGAAGAAGAAGGAUGAAAGUCUACGUAUGUGUGUGGACUACCGACCUUUCAAUGCGAUGACUAUCAAGAACAAGUAUCCACUUCCCCGCAUCGAUGUCUUGUUCGAUCAAUUGGCUGGAGCCAGAGUGUUCUCCAAGAUUGAUCUUCAUUCCGGUUAUCACUAAAUCAAGAUCAGACCCUAUGACAUUCCCAAAACUGCCUUCUCCACAAGAUAUGGACUCUACGAGUACCUGGUUAUGUCUUUUGGACUUACCAAUGCACCCGCCUAUUUCAUGUAUCUCAUGAAUUCGGUGUUCAUGCCCGAACUGGACAAGUUCAUGGUGGUGUUCAUUGAUGAUAUUCUGGUGUACUCUAAGAGUGAAGCAGAACAUGCCGAACAUCUUCGUGUGGUUCUCCAACGGUUGAGAGAUCAUCAGCUCUAUGCCAAAUUCUCCAAGUGUGAAUUCUGGUUAGAGAGUGUCAAGUUCUUGGGACACACCAUCUCUCGAGAGGGCAUAGCAAUUGACCCCAGCAAAGUAUAGGAGGUCACGGACUGGAAGCUGCCUACUUCAGUUCACCAGAUCCGAAGUUUUCUUGGACUAGCAGGCUACUAUCGGCGCUUCAUUCCGGCUUUCUCCAAGAUAGCUAAGCCGAUGACUGAACUGCUGAAGAAGGAGGUCAAAUUUGUGUGGGGCAACAAGUGUGAAGAAGCUUUCCACACCUUGAAACACUUGCUGACCUCAGCCCCAGUUUUAGCUCAACCUGACCCCUCCAGGCCGUUCGACGUAUACCGCGACCCCUCUGGCACUGGACUUGGGUGUGUUCUUAUGCAAGACCACCGAGUCAAUGCCUAUGCCUCGCGGGCGUUGCGACCUCAUGAGCUGAGCUAUUCGACCCAUGAUCUUGAGUUGGCAGUAGUGAUUCAUGCCUUAAAGAUAUGGAGACACUAUCUGAUGGGCACCCACUGCAACAUCUACACCGAUCACACGAGCCUGAAGUACAUCUUUACUCAAGCCGACCUUACUAUGCGCCAGAGAAGAUGGUUGGAGUUGAUAAAGGAUUAUGAUUUGGAAGUGCAUUAUCACCCCGGCAAGGACAACGUGGUGGCCGAUGCUCUUAGCCACAAGAUUCAUUGCAAUUGCCUGAUGGCAACCGACUUCACAGAUACCCUGUGCCAGGAGAUGGGAAAACUCAGUUUGGAAAUUGUUUCCCAUGGAACCCUCGGUCAUAUAUCCCUUGAGUCUGUUCUAGAGGACCAAAUUGGGUCAGCACAAUUAGAGGAUGAGGAAGUAAGGCGAAUCAAAAGGAAGAUUUCAUGGAAGGAUGAAGGGUACAAGCAAUUCCGAUAGGAUGAGAAUGGGAAAGUGUAUUAUGGAAAUUGACUUGUUGUACCAUCCGACCCCAAUCUAAGAAAGCAAAUCUUAGAUGAAGCUCAUCUCUCCAAGUUCUCGAUCCAUCCUGGCAGCAAUAAGAUGUAUCAUGAUCUCCGUCAAACUUUCUGGUGGAAUGGAAUGAAGCCAGAGAUUGCACGCUAUGUUUCGGAAUGUGACACUUGCCAACGUGUCAAAGCCAGCCAUUUAAAGGUAGCAGGUACCCUGCAGCUACUACCUGUUCCCUCUUGGAAAUGGGAAGACAUCAGCAUGGACUUCAUUGUUGGACUGCCCCUUACAUCGCAGCGACAUGACUCCAUCUGGGUUAUUGUGGAUCGUCUUACCAAAUCUGCCCACUUUCUUCCUGUUCACACCACCUACCUGACCAAGAAAUAUGCGGAGUUGUACCUUGACCGCAUUGUCUCCCUGCACGGUGUGCCUAGGACUAUCAUAUCUGAUCGAGGAGCUCAGUUUGUAGCACAUUUUUGGGAACAGCUACAAGCAUCACUUGGCACCAAGCUCAUUCGUAGCUCUACUUAUCACCCUCAAACCGAUGGUCAGACCAAAAGAGUAAAUCCGAUCCUUGAAGAUAUGUUGAGAGCUUGUGUCAUCCAUUAUGGCAAGAAUUGGGAUCAGUGCUUACCCUUAGCAGAGUUUUCCUAUAACAACAGCUACCAGACUAGCUUGAAGAUGGCACCGUUUGAAGCCCUAUAUGGUCGGAAAUGUCGGACGCCGUUGAAUUGGUCACAAGUUGGUGAAAGACAGACCUAUGGCCCUGAUUUAGUAGUGGAAGCAGAAGAGCAAGUGAAGGUAAUCCAAGCAAACCUCAAGGCCACUCAAUCUCGACAGAAGAGUUACUCCGACAGGAGAAGAAGACCCCUGCAGUUUGACAUUGGUGAUCACAUAUACCUUCGAGUCUCCCCGACCAAAGGAGUGCAACGGUUCGGAAUAAAGGGAAAAUUGGCUCCUCGUUACAUUGGUCCUUAUGAGAUUGUGGAAAUCUGUGGACCCGUUGCUUACCGGAUCCAACUCCCAGAACAGCUUUCGGCCAUACAUAAUGUUUUCCAUGUAUCCCAACUAAAGAAAUGUGUCCAAGUUCCAACUGAGGUCUUGGAACAGGAGCAACUUCAAAUCGAGUCCGACCUGACUUACACCGAAUAUCUGGCCAAGGUCCUCGACCGAAAAGAGAGACAUACCCUACGACAGACUGUGAAAAUGUACAAGAUACUAUGGAACAACCACACAGAAAAAGAAGCAACCUAGGAAACAAAGGAGUAUCUGAACAAACACUUCCGAGGUUUUCUUUCCAACCAAGAAGGUAAGAACUGCACACCCCCACUGGAUACCCUUACACCCGAAUCUCGUGACGAGAUUCUUUUAAGGGGGGUAGGCUGUAACGACCAUUGUUAAAUCAGCCGAGUUAAUCUUAAUCUGAGUCCCUAAUCCCUCUGUCUCAGCUCCCUUGAGCUUAAGCGCUCCAAAACCGGUUCUUAGUCCCAACCCCGGAGAGCCCAACCAAAACUGCCGGUUCUUUCUAAGUCCAGAGGCAGUGUUCCUUUCAAUCUUGAAGCUAUGGAACAACCGAGACUGACUGGUGGACCCACAAUCUUUCUCACCGGAUCUCCCGAGGCAGACGCGUCGAGCAGCAUGCGCCCGCUUUAGAGCUUCCCCGCCGCGUGGCUUGAUCUCUCCGACGCCCGCCGCUUUGCCCAGUCACCGGCCGUGACAGGAUGGAUCCACGCGCCCUCCUCCCCAAUCACAGCGGAAGCCCCUCUGCAAGCCUUUCUGCCUCGCCUCGUCUCGCUCGCGCCCUCGCCGGCCGCGCCAAGGUGCCCCGUCGCCGCCGUGGCAGAGUUUUGCCGCUGCUGCGUCAGACCACCUCGCGACUCACGCCCAUCAUCUCGCUGGAUCCCCGGCUGCAAGGCCCGAAUCCUUUCGGUUUUUCCGCCGCCUCUCCACAGUCGCGCCGCCCACGAGCUCACUCCACGACGAUACCACCCUCGCCAACCCCGACUCCGGCCGUGAUAGCUCGUUUUCUUGCCCCACCAGUGACGUGCUCCGGCAAUGCUGCUGUUUCGCGCUCACCUGCGCCGCCGGUCGCCCUAUCACUUCGCCUGUAGCAACCUCGCUUGUAGCGCCUUUCUCCCUGUCACACCAGUCAAAUCCACCGCUUGACGCAACCAGGCUACGCUUGCCUCCGCCAAAUCUAAACCCCGGCAAAACCAUGCCUGCGCCGCCUUGUCUCCAGUACCCAAUGGCCGAAGACUCUAUCUCCAAGAUCCUGUUCCGCCGCCCAUCGCCGCUCAAUCAAUGCCAUGGCAGCGCACUCCAUCCUUUUUCUUCCCGGUCUUCGUGCUGCUCGAAAUCUCUCUCUUCCGCGCCGCUAUAAAAGGGAAUGCCAAAGUCCCACUGGAGUUCCUUCGCCAUUGCUAUUUCACCGCCCCUACUCUGAGCGCACUUGAGCAAUCCCGCUGAAACUCCUAAGAAGUUCCCCUCUCCGCUCAAGUCCGCUUCUCCCUAAUCCACCCAGCCGUCUGCUCCUCCGUGCUGUGCUAGAGCUUCCUUGUUGCCCACAAAAAGCUCCGCCGCCACAGGAGCACCCUCCAACCUCGCCGCCGCCCAAGCCUUAGUGCUUAAGUCCUUCCGCCCAAGUGUGCUCCUUCCCGACCCUAAGUUUCACCUAUAAACCUGAAGGUAAGCUGUCGACCCCUUUCCGGUUCGCCCGACCCCUUUUUCCGCCUCGCCCGACCCUACAUGUUUCGCCGACCCUUAUCCGCCUCGCCCGAGGACUCGGCUGUAUCCUUUUUCCUUGACUCGAGGGUAUCUGUGCAAAAUAUCAGGGACUCCCCGGUGUUAAGUCUGAGGAUCCUGGCAAGUUAUUCCCUAACAUUAAGGGUCAGAUCCUAAGUUUAUCCCCAUUCGACCCUUUUAUCCUGUUCUUCCCCAACUAAAGUGAAGUCCCCCACCUUUUUUGUAGCUUUGCUACGAGUGUCUGAGCUUAAACUUGCAAGUGUUGUUGAAAUAACCGUCUAAACACUAACUCCUGCAUUUGCAUUCGUGUAGAGUUACAUCUCGCUGACAGUGUCUACAAGCUACACCCGACGCCCGAAGAUGGAGCUGUAGCUGAGCUGCCAAUCCCAGAAGCCGAAGCAGCACCAGCUGAGGACCAGUUCACCUCCUCUCCGCUUGAAGGCAAGCCCCAGAGCAUGAAUCCAUCUUUCCAAAGUUGUGCAUGCCUUCCUGCUCAUGAUUGUGCAUUUACGUAUAGGAGUUGUUUGCAACCAUAGAUGCAUGCCAUAGUUCCUUUGAAAUGUACACUAGUCUGUUGGGUCGAGUAGUUGCAAUGCUUAAAUAGGAAUCGGUAAAAGCCGAGUGAUUGCCUGUCACUCGCGAGUUAUAGGAGUUGGUUGUUUUCUUCUGUCACAAACUAUAAGGACAAUGGAUGGGUAAGGUUAUGGUUAACUCUUUUGAUGGUCAGCUGAUCGCCCCGUCUGUUUAUUAAAUCUGUUAAGGCCCGACAGUGGUGCUAUUCGUGAUCAAGUGUUUGAAAGUACUAAUCUCAUACCCAGUAUGGGAUGGGGAAGCCUAGUACCUGAUUGAACCUAAAUGUGAGCGGUCGCUCCACUGUCCUUGGAACGAAGUUCCCCUGCGGCCGCACGUGGUGGCAAGUAUGGUCACAGAACAGCAGAGGCCAGGUCUGUGGAACCUUGCACCAAAGGAAGUGGACCCAACACGGGUUAGGGAAUUGAUGGGGAAGGCCGACACAGGAAGCGACCCUCGGUGGUGCACGGAUAUCGUGAGGUUAUGUUCACCAUGCAUGGUUAAAGAACUCGAAUUGAUUCGUCUGCCUCUCAUAGUUUGAGACUGCUUGAUCCGAAUACUACACUGAGUAAUGAAGGAGUCUGAUGAUGACAUGGUUUUGAUGAUGAGCUUAUAAGCAUAAAGUUGGAUCUAUGCUUGCUUAGUGUAAGUUGCCAACAUAGACUGGUUAAUGAACUUAGAAUCUAAGCUAAAACUUGAAAAUAAGGACCUAACAUAGUGCUUUUGGCAAAACAAACCAUCAGGUAAAGAGCCGUGCAUGUCUAGAAGUGGUGGAAUAGCUUUUUCCCACCGGUCGGUUAAGUCUUGUUGAGCUUAGCAGCUCUGCCUUGUUUGUGGCUUCUCUUUUCAGGUGAAGUUGCAACUUCUGAGCUUGCUGCUGGCACUUGGCCGUCCCAGCUCCCUCCGGGCUGGACGGUCGAGUGGGAUCCUUCCUCAGACGGUGGGGAAUGGGAUCAUUGAUGUCCUGGCUGGCCUCACCAGGGACAUCCGACCCCGACGAGUAGCUUCCGCUUUGUGUUUACCUUAUGUUGUUUUCUUCAGAACUUGUAAAACUCUGAUUUUAACCAAUGUGUAACAACUUGUUAAUCAAAUUUUGGACCUGUUGUAUUCUCUAGAACCACUCAUCUUCGUGUGACCUAUGCUAACUCGGUCCUGUUAAGUGGUUAAAUCGGAUGAAAUUCGACGGCACAUCGAGUUAACUUGAUUAAGGCGUGGGUGUCGCAUGUCAAGCGACUUAACCGGGCUUUAGUCAAGAUAAUCCGAGGUGUUCCGCCACACAAGUGUGGUCACAGAAUGGCAGAGGCCGGGUCUGUGGAACCUUGCACCAAGGAAAGUGGGCCCGACAUGGGUUAGGGAAUUGAUGGGGACGGCCGACACAGGAAGCGACUCUCGGUGGUGCGCGGAUGUCGUGAGGUUAGGUUCACCAUGCAUGGUUAAUGAACUCGAAUCGAUUCGUCUGCCUCUCACAGUUUGAGACUGCUUGAUCGCUAUGCUACACUGAGUAAAGAAGGAGUCUGAUGAUGACAUGGUCUUGAUGUUGAGGUUAUAUACAUAAUGUUGGAUCUAUGAUUGCUUAGUAUGAGUUGCCAAUGUAGACUGGUUAAUGAACUUAGAAUCUGAGCUAAAACAUUGAAAGUAAGGACUUAACGUAGUUGCUUUUGGCAAACCAAACCCCUCAGCCAAAGAGCCUUGCAUGUCUAGAAGUGGUGAAGUAGUUUUUCACCGGUCGGUUAAGUCUUGUUGAGCUUAGAAGCUCAGCCUUGUUUGUGGCAUCUCUUUUCAGGUGAAAUUGAAACUUUCGAGCUUGCCGCUGGCAUUUGGCCACCCCAGCUUCCUCCUGGGUGGACGGUCGAGUGGGAUCCUUCCUCGGACAGCGAGGAAUGGGAUCAUUGAUGUCAUGGCUGGCCUCACCAGGGACAUCCGACCCCGACGAUUAGCUUUCGCUAUAUUUUUGUCUUCUAUUGUUUCUUUCAAACCUUGUAAAACUCUAAUUUCAACCAGUGGGUGAUGAAUUGUAAACCAAUUGUGGAUUUGUUGUAUUCUCCGGAACCACUCACCUUCGUGUGAGCUAUGCUAACUCGGUCCUGUCAAGUGGUUAAAUCAGAUGAAAUCCGACGGCAAAUCGAGUUAACUUGAUUAAGGCAUGAGGAUCGCGUGUUAAGCGACUUAACUGUGCUUUAGUUGAGUUAAUCCGAGGUGUUCCGCCACAGGUACAGUCCUCCUCAACCUAACACUUCCAUAUUUCUCCUCAUACUUAUUAUAGACAUCAGUAAGUCGAGCUCUAGUGCAAACCGUUGGCACUGUAAUCUGUACUGUACCAGUAAGGGUACUGUCGUUGUUAAGAUUAGCGGGUCAAGACUUAGACUAGUAAAUUUCUUUUAUGCGUGUAAGGCUUCAGAUGGUGGUGUGAGAGACACGGGUUUUAGACUGGUUCGGGCAAAAGGAACGCCCUACGUCCAGUAUCCAGCGCUGCUCGUGUUGCCCACGCGGGGUUCUGUAGUAGGGGUUACAGGAGUGCGAGAGAGGGAACCGGUCCCAGGUCUCUUGGAUGUGCACUGAUGCUCUAGAAGGGUGUGUGCGUGUGUUCUGUUGGCUUGGAAGUGUUGUGGUGCUUUUAGUUGUCCUUCGAGCCUCUUAUUGUCUCCGGCCCCCGAUUCCUCUUUUAUAGCAUGAGGAGGCCACCGGGGUUACAGGUGAGACCAAGUGUGGAGAGCAGUAACAAGAUAAACAUGGCUAGUAAAAAGAAUAACGAGAGGGGGGGUACAAGUCCCCAGGUCGCCGGCGGCCUCGCCGGCCUUCGGCUUCUACCGGCGUGUUAGCCGGAAGGGGGUGGCGGCCGCUGCAUCCUAUCGGCGGCCUCCUCGGCGACUGUAGCCGUCGGACGCGAUGAUGGCAUUUUGUCGUGACCCCGUGUCCGCUGGGGGAGGCGGCGGAUCUUGCCGUCCUGCUGAUGGCCUGUGGAGAGCGGACGUCGCAUCCCUGCCGCCAGGCGCGCGGGGCACGAGAGCAGGCGAGGCUUCUUCCUGCCCUGGGCGGUGCAGCUCAUGAGUGCCUUGUGGCCAAUCGGAGAAGGUCGCAGCCACUAUAGCAGAUACUGUGCGGCCGCGUAUGGGUACUUGCGAUGGGUUGCGUGGAGGCGCGGAGAUCCUUUCUUCUGACAGCUUUGCGGCGCAUUUAUGGUGGAAUCGACAGGGGGACCCAAGAGAUCCGCGCCCGAGGCGGAUACUUGUCUGGUGGGCCCGGUCCAGCCCGACCCUUUAUGCUUGGGGUCGGGCGAAGCGGAGGUCUGCGGCGGGGGGUCGGAUGCCCCCGACCCCGGUCCUAUGGUCGGGCGAGGCGGAGCUUGAUUUCGCGGGGGUCGGGGAUGCCUGACCCUAGGACGCCGGGUCGGGCGAGGCGGAGCGUGAUCCUUGCUCCCCGUGUUGGGCCGACGCUGGCCUUGUUACCUCAGGUGGGCCUGGGCCUUUACGUUUUGUCGUCUCCAUGGGCUUGGGAGGAGUCGUUAAUAUUUUCCCCCAACAGUAGCCCCCGAGCCUGUGGUGGAGCAGGGACGCUCCUCCAGAGGCUGUUGUCAUUGCCAACGGGGGGUCUUCGUUUUUGAUCCAGGACGGGAGGUGUUGCUUGGGUGGCUCGACCGAGGGGGUUAAUUAGGUGAUGCACCCUGUGAGCGACUCGGUGCGGGAGGACUUCUUGUUGUCCCCUUUCGCCCGCGAGCCUUAAGUCGAGACCACCCGCGUGGCUUUAGGUUGCGAGGCCAGCCCCCGAGCCCCUACGCGUUGCAGGGGACCGGUCGGGAGACUAGGUCGACUUUUGUGCGUUUACCCCUCAAGCGUCCGUUCGUUGGGACGGAGGGGACGAGCCGUGCCAUGCUAUCCUCGUCGGACGAACCGUGGUGCUCAUUGAGCUGCUAGCGGGCAAAUUCGAGUGGGGCCCCGGUCCCCGUUCGGGGAGGGGUCCGGCUUGGGCCAAGCUGGUGGCGUACCCCAGGUUCUGAUCGGCCAGUUCAUAUAGUUCCCGAAUCCGUUCGGUUGGAUCCGAGGGCUCGUUGCCUUUCUUCGGGGAAAAACCAUGAACUGUAAUACCGGUUCGGACUCGAAUGUGAGAUUGAGAUGCCCUGGGCUAUCGCGCACUCAGAUGAUGGUCACUUGCGGAGCCGUCUCUCCUCACCCCUCGCUCGGGGGCGUCCUGGAGCGGUUGUCGAACCCGUGGCGGGCCAACCUUCGAACUCCUGGACCAUAAUGGGCCGUAGGGGUGUUUUCAGCCCCGUAUCCCUUUCUUACCUUUUGGUGGGCCUUGGGUCGGAUGUGGAUGGAGGCCGCGCCUUGGGCCGGAUGCGGAGGAAGCAGCGCCUUGGGCCGGUCGUGGGGGACGUCGUGCGCGCAUCCCCGGGAGGUGAAGCGGUGGAGGGCAUCGACCCGCGAAUCGAGGGAGGAGGGGAUGUUUCUGCUGCCGGCCGUGCGCACGGUUUCCGAAAAAGAGGCGGGCGUGGUGGAGCGUACCUGGCGCCGUAUUUAUGGUGACAAGGGCGUCUGUUCCGCUCCCCCCGCGCUUUUCCUAUAAAACGGAAGCCAUACCUCGCUGGUUCCGCCCGCCGUCUGCCUUCAAGCUUUUCCACCGCCCUUAACUCUCCCGCACCCGCUUCGUCUUCCUCCGCCCCAGCGCCGCGCCCUUUCUCCUCAUCCCCCGUCGAGCCCCUUUCUCUCCGGCGAUGGGAUCUUGGGCAUUUUCCCACUUCGGCCCCUCGCGCGCCGAGGACCUAGUGAGGAGGGGUCUCCUCUGCGAGAGGACGGAGGUGGGCGAAUGGGAGCUCCCGGGAUGGAGCAGGCGUCGACGCCACCCACCCGCUAUGUCGUCUCCUUCGCCCACUUCCACGAGAGAGGCUUCGCGACUCCGCCGAGCCUCUUCUUCCGCGGGCUUCUUCAUUACUACGGGCUUGAGCUGCAGCACCUCAACCCCAACGGGAUUCAGCAUAUCGCGGUGUUCAUCGCGUUGUGCGAGGGGUUCCUGGGCAUCAAGCACAACUUCUCGCUGUGGAAAUACUUCUUCACCGUCACCCUGUACCAGAAGGUGGAGAAGAAGGGAAGCCAGCAGCGGUCGCCCCCGGUGCCAAUAGGGUGUGCCGGAAUCCACCUCCACCAUACUCGUGCCAAGGAGUACAUGGCGAUGAAGACUGCGGCGUCCCACAAGGGGUGGCACCAGCAGUGGUUCUACGUGAAGAACUACUCCGACUCCCCCUUGCCGGCGUUCACCGGCCGCAUUAUUAAGGCGGCGCCAGAGGUGUGGGCGUAUGGCCCAGUUGACAAGGAGAAGAAAUAGAUCCAUGGCCCACUGCCGGCCAUUGAGCACCUGAAGGGGCGGGGGUUGACUAGAGCCGGAGUUAUCGGGGCGUACCACGCCCGGCGGGGGGUGCCGCUGAUGCUUCGGUUCCGCUCGCUGGCCGAGAUGGCCCCCGAUGCGCCGAUCGAGGGCACCGCCCUCGCGACAGGUGCGCUCGCCGCCUCCGAGAUCCGGCGACGGAUUCGGGAGGCGCUGGAGGACAAGGGCGCCGACUACCCGGUGCCCAGGCACCCUCCGAUGCGCCCGGACGAGAACUUCGUCGACCUGGUAAGGAAUUUGUGCGCAAACCUUCUUUUUUCGUGUUUCUUGGUUCGCCGCUCUAACGCGGGGCCUUUUUGCAUCUGCAGGGCAGCUUGACCCGGGUCGUGGACUCACGCCCGCCGGUGCCGGAGGACGCCGAGCGGCGGCUACAGAAUCGUCUCCUUGCUGAGAAACAGAAGCGCCGCAAGGACAAGGAGACGGCGAAGAAGAAGAAGAAGGCCGCCAAGGAGUUCCAACGGCGGCGGCGAGGGCAGGUCGUGUCGGACGACGACGACGACGACGACGUUGAGGAGGAAGAGGAGGAGGAGGAGGAGGAGUUUGUCCUGUCCCCCCGGUCGGGAGCGCUUGUCAUUCGGGAGACGCGCUCCCCAAUGACUGCGAGGGACGAAGCGGGCGGAUCGUCCGCCCGAGGCCUGGUCCCGCAAGGCUCUGGGGCCGUGCCCCAGGGGUCGGCGCCGAGCGCCCCCCAGGGGUCGGCACGGAGUGCUCCCCAGGGGACGGCGCGGAACGCCCCCCAGGGGUCGACACGGGGCGCUCCUUAGGGGUCGUCGGAACCCGCUCCCCGGGGGUCGACGGAGCCCGCUCCCCAGUGGUCGACGGUGCCCGCCCCCACCCCUGUGCCUGCGGCCCAGGAGCAAAGGAGCGGCGACAAGCGGCCGCUGCCGGACGCCCCGGGGUCGACGUCCGGCUCGGAGGCGAGGCGCGCACGCCGUCCUUGCGCCGGGGGAACGUAAGUUGAAUUUCCUCGUGAACCUCGUUCCCUUCCAUGCAUUGUGUUUGUUUCCGCUGAUGUCUAUUAACUGUUUUGCAGCGCCACCCCCCGAGGCCUCGUCCCGCAGCUGGCGCCCAAGAAGGCGCUGCGGGUGUUGUCCGCCCCUGCGGAGCGCACCGCGGCCCUGCAUGCGGUGAGCGGCGGGGUCCCUGGUGAGGUCGCAGGUUCCACCGCAGAGGUGGCCCCCGUGGCGGCGACCGGUGGAGUGGUACCGCCACCGGGCACGGGAGAGGGCGCAGACCCCGCUCCACCUUCGGCUCCUUCUGCUGGCCCCGCGCCGCGGGGUAUCGCCCCCAGGGCCCCCCCGGCCGGGGAGGUGAUCGACCUCGACGCCGACGAGGCAGAGGGAACAGCGACGGCGGAGACGGGGACAGAUGUCCCUGCGGCCGCAAUAGGGAUGGCGGCGGCGAUGGAGGAAGGAGAGUCUGCCCCCGCGGCCACGGCGGGGACAGCGGCAGCGGGGGAGACCGGGACGUCUGCCCUGGCAGCUGCGACAGAGGAGGCGGUGGCGACGGAGGCGGGGACUUCCGCUCGGGGGGCCAUGGCGGAGGUGGCACCUGUGGCGGAGGCGGAGCUAGCACCUGCGGCGGAGACGGAGGUGCCUACUCCGGAGGCCCCGACAGGGGCGGAGACGCCUGCCUCGGCGGUCGCGGCGGAGGGAGAGUCGGUCACGGGGACGCCCGCUCCAGUGUCCGCGUCGGAGGCGGCGGUGCCGACUGGCGGGCCCGCGGUGGCCUCGACGGGGGCAGGGGCACGUGUCCCGGGACAGUCGGUGAGCUCGGCGGCUUCCGGGGCGAUGGAGCCUGUUUUGACGGCGGCGUCGAGGUCAGCUUCCGCCUCUGCCUCGGCCACUCCCGUUCCCCGGGCGUGGAGGGGGUCCGUCCUGCGUUGGUCGUCCCGUCAUGACCCGCAGAGGCCCCUCUUCACGUUGGAUGAUGCCGCGGAAUGGGGCAAGUGGCAGGCGAUGCAGAGCGGCCUCGCCAACGCCUGCACGGCUCUGUCCUCGGCGCUAGGGCAGUUGGACGGCGUCAUCCUCCCUGGUAGCCAGGUAUGGUACCUUCUCCGUUGGUGGCUGUGUCCUCCCCGUUGUUCUACCCCUGAUGUCAUAUUGUUUUGCAGGGUCUCCAGGAAUGCAGUCGGGGGAAAUCUGAUUUUCUUCGGUUGGAGCAGGGGCUCUGGGAGCGCUUCAACUUGGAGAGACAGCGGACCGGGGAGCUGUCGAUGCAAGUUGCCGCCGCCCAGCAGGUCAUGGACAAUCUGCGGAGGCGCGAGCAGACGGCGUAGGAGGAUGCGCAGCGGGCGGAGGCCAAGCUCCAAGUCGUCGCCGAGAGGGCCCGCUGCGACCAUGAGGAGUUCCAAGCCGCUGUUGAAAAGGCCCGCCAUGACGCUGAGGAGCUCGCACGGCUGAAGGGGGUGCAUGAAGCCCUUCAGAAGACCAUCGAGCGCAUCCAGCGCGAGUGGCAGAAGGCCUGGCAGGACCAGGACGCCGAGAAGGUCCGGAAGAAGGAGGCCGAGAAGGUAGUAGCCAACCUUGGGGCGGAGGUCAGUCAGCUCCAAGUGCAAGCGCGGGAGCUUCAGGCCUGUGUGGCCGAGGGGCUCGACCGGGAGCGCUAGCUGAAGGCCCAAUCCGCGGGUAAGACUCCUUUCGUUUCUUUCUCUUUGUGGUGUUUGCGGUGGUUUCUGAUUUGGAGGGUCUUUCUGGGUGAUCCUUGCAGGCGAGCUCGCCCGGCUGAGGGAGGUGCUUGACGUGGAGCGCACUGAGCACGGCACCCUACGGGAUGCGGUCCGCGUCCUCUGCGACGACCUCAGCAUGGUCCAUGGGGAGGGGACAAGCUCGUUGGCGACUCGUGUCCUUGGGACGCACCGCCGGGCCCGCGAGAUCGCCCUGGAGGCGCUCCACACCGGCGUGAGGCGAGCCUUUGGGGUCUUCGGCUCCCAUUACUCCGGCAUCAAUUUCGCCGGGAUGAGCAGGGGGUACGCCGCCGGCUACUCCGAGGCCGAGCUGGACGAGAUCGACGCGUCGGUGCUUGACCCGGCGGAGGCCUUGGCGAAGCUCCUCGAGGAUGAAGCCGUCCCGCCCGAAGAUCCCUGGACGAGUUAACUGUAUCGGGCUGGCGCCCCAGAUGUAAAUACAUUAGUUUCAGACUUGUUUUGUGAUUGCCAUAGAGGCCUUUUCUAUAAAUUGUCGUGAAAAAGUUUUCAAUCCCCUUUCUUAUUUUUUUGGAGUUGUAAAGUUUAGAGCGCUUUGUCGGGUGUGUCAAUAAGCAUUGAUGAGCGAAGGCACCGUAGCCGCUGGGGCGUAGGUUUUUUCGCAGUCCGAUCAAUCUUGCCUGAACACCGGUCGUGCACUCUCUCCUUUUCAUGCCCGAAAGUUCAGAAAGAGGGUCGGCCGGAAAGAGAAAGCAUUUUGAGAGGAUGUCAAGUGGCUUGGGCCAGAGCCCCUGAUAGCCCCCGAGGGAUGUGCGACCCUGAGGCAGAGCCAGGGUCGGAUAUCCCUGAGUUCGAAGCGAAACUUGAAUGGAUCCAACUUAAAAUUCUUUUUUCCGUAAAAUUUUUAAUUUACAGAAGUGUCUAUCUACAAAACUUGGAAACGAAAGCUAAGGGUAGAAGCGUCUUAGCUGUUCUAUGUUCCAGGCGGAGCCGCCCCUAUGGGGGAGGCCCGCCGGCGCGCGCCCGGCCGCUCGCCGCUAUCCUGGCGGUGGAGCCGGGGAUGGGGGGACGAGCGGGCCAGACGAGGAGAGGGAUCAGCUCGAUCCCCUCCCCGGUGGCGAGGAAGUCCAGACUCCCGAAGCGGAUCAGGGAGAAGGAGCGAAGCUGGCGUCGUGGUUGGCCAUCUGAAGCUGGAGAUGUACGCGCAAAGGUCCCCUACCUGGCGCGCCAACUGUCGUUGUCAAGAUUAGCGGGUCAAGACUUAGACUAGUAAAUUUAUUUUAUGCACGUAAGGCUUCAGAUGGUGGCGUGAGAGACACAGGUUUUAGACUGGUUCGGGCAAAAGGAACACCCUACGUCCAGUAUCCAGGGCUGCUCGUGUUGCCCACGCGGGGUUCUGUAGUAGGGGUUACAGGAGUGUGAGAGAGGGAACCGGUCCCAGGUCUCUUGGAUGUGCACUGAUGCUCUAGAAGGGUGUGUGCGUGUGUUCUGUUGGCUUGGAAGCAUUGUGGUGCUUUUAGUUGUCCUUCGAGCCUCUUCUUGUCUCCGGCCCCCGAUUCCUCUUUUAUAGCAUGAGGAGGCCACCGGGGUUACAGGUGAGACCAAGUGUGGAGAGCAGUAAAAAGAUAAACAUGGCUAGUAAAAAGAAUAACGAGAGGGGAGGUACAAGUCCCCAGGUCGCUAGUGUCCACGCCGGCCUUCGGCUUCUACCGGUGCGUUAGCCGGAAGGGGGUGGCGGCCGCUGCAUCCUAUCGGCGGCCUCCUCGGCAACUGUAGCCGCCGGACACGAUGAUGGCAUUUUGUCGUGACCCUCGUGUCCGCUGGGGGAGGCGGCGGAUCUUGCCGUCCUGCUGAUGGCCUGUGCAGAGCGGACGUCGCAUCCCUACCACCGGGCGCGCGGGGCACGAGAGCAGGCGAGGCUUCUUCCUCCCUAGGAGGUGCAGCUCAUGAGUGCCUUGUGGCCAAUCGGAGAAGGUCGCAGCCACUAUAGCAGAUACUGUGCGGCCGCGCAUGGGUACUUGCGAUGGGUUGCGUGGAGGCGCGGAGAUCCUUUCUUCUGACAGCUUUGUGGAGCAUUUAUGGUGGAAUCGACAGGGGGACCCAUGAGAUCCGCGCCCGAGGCGGAUACUUGUCUGGUGGGCCCGGACCAGCUCGACCCUUUAUGCUUAGGGUCGGGCGAAGCGGAGGUUUGCGGUGGGGGAUCGGAUGCCCCCGACCCCGGUCCUGCUGUCGGGCGAGGCGGAGCUUGGUUUCGUGGGGGUCGGGGACGCCUGACCCUAGGACGCCGGGUCGGGCGAGGCGGAGUGUGAUCCUUGCUCCCCGUGUUGGGCCGGCGCUAGCCUUGUUACCUCAGGUGGGCCUGGGCCUUUACGUUUUGUCGUCUCCAUGGGCUUGGGAGGAGUCGUUAAUAUUUCCCCCCCAACAGGUACCCAACCUCCUAAGUACUCUAUUGGAACCUUUCAUUUUAGCUCUAGGGUUCAGGAUGAAUGCAAAAGAAUAAAGCAAAGGUAUGUCCCUCCAGUAUUUAUUAUAUUUGUCUAUCAUAGGUUGAACCACAUGUCUCAUGUGAGUAUCAUUAGCAUAAUUCUUUAAGUGCAUAGCAAUCUUAACAAGAUAAUGAAUCAUAAGUGGAGAUGUAGGAUAGUACACACCAGCAUCAUAAAACAGUUCAAAAAAUCUAAGCACUUUUUCUGCCAUAGCCCAAUUAUCAACAGUCAAAAGCAAUUGAUCACCUUCAGCCCUAGGAUAUUGAGCAAUGAUGAAAGUAGUGAAUGGGGACUUAUGAGGAAACAAAUGCUUAAGCAUUAGAUAUGUAGAAUUACACCUAACUUCCAUGUCCAGCUAAAACUUUCUAGGCCUAAUACCAGUGACAAUGCAAUAUAUGCAGCAAUUCUCUGGUUAGAUGAGUUUAAGAAAGAUAUUGCAAUUCUAAAUUUCUCAAUCAAUGGCUUAAGAGCAGUUAGAGCCUCCUUAACAAUCAGAUUGAUAAUAUGGCAUGCACAACACUGAUGCAAGAACAAAGAAUUAACUGCAUUGUCUAAUUCAUCCCUAUCAUCAACCACAACUUCAAUACCAAGAUAUUUAGAAAGAACAAAUCUAAGUUUUUGCAUGGCUGAAAUAUUAGAUGAUGCAUUAUCCAACGUAAUAGCAAACACUUUUUCUGUCAAACCAUAAUCAUCAAGCAUAGAUGCAACAUGAUCAGCAAUGUUUUGACCAUUGUGUGAACAAUCAAUCAACCUAAGACCAAGCACUCUCUUCUCUAGUUGUCAAUCAGAGUUUUAUGUAGUGAGCAACAACACUAAGGUAGUCCUCUUUGGCAUUACCAGACCAAAUAUCAGAGGUUAGACACACACAAUUAACACCAGCAAAAUUUACAAUCUCAACAAGCUUAGCCUUGCAAUCAGUGAAGUAUUUGAGCAUGUCUCUAAUGGUGGUUUGCCUAGAUACUGAAAACAUAUUUAGGAUUAUGAGCAGCUCUAAUGUAUUCUUCAAAUGCAUCAGAUUCACCCAAAGAGAUAGGAACAUCAAGCCUAGCAAGCAAUCUAAUCAGUUGAGUGCCAGCAACAAUAGGACAGUACUCCCAAUUACGAAUACUACCAUAAGGAUUAAAAGAGAUUUGUGACUAAGACAUGCGACUUUUUUCACGCCUUCUAGGGCAUUUAUCCCUAUGGCAGGUGAGGUGACCAGUGCCACCACUAGAGCGCUCAGAGUAUUCCUUAGAGCAAUGGAUGCAUUUAGCUCCAUACCUCACCUUCUUACCAUCCACUAUUUUGAAGAGCUUCUUGAAAUCGAGUCACACGGCCGAGGUAGAGGGGCGUGAGCGCUUACCGUUGUUCUCUUCCCCGUCCACUUCUUGGUCAUCGAUGGGAGCUUGAGCCACACGGCCGAAAAGCUCUGCGGUGUCCUCGCGCAGGUCGUCCUCAUCAUCAUCUCUGGCCAACCCGCACAACCGCCUCUCUUGGUUCGACCUGCCCUCAACCGUCUCGUCGUCGUCGGAUCCAGCCAUCGUCGCACGCCGACACCCCGAUUCCUUAACGGCUGCACACAAACAAGAGUUAGUUAGUACAGAUCACGGUUCGGGUUAGGGAUUGACUGAUUGAGUUAGAGUUACGGUUAGGGUUAUGGUUAGGGUUAGGUUCUCCUACCUUGACAGCCGGAGCACCGGGGUCACCGGCGAUGUCGACGAAGCACGGAUCCAGCGAGAUCGACUACGGAUCUGGCGAGUUUGACCACGAAUCCGGCGAGGACGACGCAGGACUUGGCGAGGCCGACAUGGAGAUGACGAGUAGGACGACGCGAAGCGAUAUCAAGAAUAGGGGAUAGGGUAUACAUGGUCGUGCAGCGGUGCCCCAAGAGGUCAAGAGGCCACCGGAGGGGGAGAAGAAGAGAGAAGGUCGGGGGAUGGAGAGGAAAGUCGCACGUCGGAGUCGUAGAGGAGAGGGAGAGAGCUAGAGUCCAGAGAGGAGAGCGAGCGAAGAGAGAGAGUGGCUGCGCAAAUGAGCUAGGGUUAGGGAUGGGGGAUGGGCACUGCGGCCGCGGCUUAUAUCCGCUCCCCCUCCAACGGUCAGAUUUAACGGUCGGAUGGAGCAGGGGAGGGGGAUCCAACGUCUCUCAACGUCUGAGUCGUGCCUUAUGCGGGCCGGCCUAUUAAGCGUGCCGUGCCUGUGCCAGCACUGCGGGCCGAAAUGGCGGUCCAGACACGGCACUAAGGCCCGAGCACCACGGGCCGGCCCUACCACGAGCACAGCAUCCAAUCCGACGGCGGGCAACCCCGCCGGCCGGCGCGGGGGAGCUAUAAAUGGGCCGGCGCGCGGCCCAGCUCGGCGUGCGCUGCGGCCGGGUCGGAUCUGAGACGAGCACCCCCAACUUAUUACCAUUUCAUCCUCAUCCACCCCGCCUCCUCCCGUCUCCCCCUCCGCCGGAUCUGAUCGGAUCCGCCCGACCACCCCGCGCCGCCGCCGCAGGUGAGCAUCCCCUCCGUCCCCGCCGCUCUCGCCGUCGGUCCGCCGUUCUGCUCUGAGUUCGGUGGGGUUUGCCCGCCGUAGGGUUUUCCUUUUGUUUUGUACUAGUAUCUUGUUUUCUCGGGGAGCCAGGGUGGUUCUUGAUCCGCCGCGCUGGCAAUGGUUUGCCUGGUUGCUUCGUGCCUCGGAUGGUAGUCUUGCGCGCGCGCGUCUUGCGCAUUUCUAGCCAUCAGCGUACAAGAUUGGUGCUCCCAUAACAGGUUUUGCGUUUUUUUUUUGUUAUAUGUACCGCGAAAUGUUUCCUUUUUCUUUUGCUAUAAUUCGAUAGUUAGAGAUGGGGGUUUCUUUCGUACCCGCCUGUUUGGAACGGGUAGUGAAUGGUUCUUGUCACUCGUAGAAUUCCUUGUGCCUUUCAUCCACUAGCCACACAUAUGGACCAUACUCUUGUGCCGGCGGAUCAGAAAUGCCAAACUUUUUAUUGGAGGAAUUUAGUUUACUUUGCAUGACGAAUCUCUCAGCCUGGAGUGUGUGGUCUUGUUAUGUGCCAACAAAACAGAAGGUUUUCAUGGCCAUAAGAUACAAAGAUGCCCUUUUUGUUGCUUGUUUAUUAGACUAAUGUUUCCUUUUUAUAUUUCCUUUUACUACAUGAGACAAUAGGACAAAUUUCGGUAAAGUAUUCUGGCCUACUGUGUUUGCUAAGAAUCCAGAUUGUCCUGUCAGUGUGAUGUAUAAACAUUUCAACAAAUAGAUUAGUUAUUGGUCUUAUGUAUAUGAGCAUAUCAAUCUCUGCUUUGUUGAUCACGAAUUUGUUUGGUUGCAGUAAUUUUUACUUUGCCUGAGCGAUUUUUUCUACCAUAUUGUCUGUAACUAAACAUUUGUAUUGCCUGCUGCAGAUCAGAAAAGAUGGCCGCAGUUGACACCUUCCUCUUCACCUCGGAGUCCGUGAACGAGGGACACCCUGACAAAUCCGCGGUGGCGUCCGCGGCCGAGGCGGCGACCACGGACGUGGAGCUGCUCAAGCGAGCCUGGCGCAACGAGAAGGCGGUGCCAGAGAUCCUCCGCUUCGACUCCCCACUCGUCUCCCGCGUCCGCGAGCAGAUCCAGCUCCUCGUACGCCCUUUGCUUCUUCUUCUUCUCGCCGUCCCUCCUCCUCUCCCUCUAUUACUUGUCUGGGUCUGAUGCGGAUUCGCUACUGCGAUGCCACCAGGAGGAGACGCUGGAUGAUUUCGCCGACAGCGGUGUCGACGAUCUGGUGGUCUCGCUCUACCAGAUGGACCUCGACCGCACGCUCUUCCUCCUGCGCUCCUACCUCCGCCUCCGUCUGCAGAAGGUCAGUCGCAUCAAAUCCCAAUCUGUUCGCUAAAACUGACCAAUUGUAAUUGUAAUUACCGAAUUGUUGCCAGUUUGAUUACUUGCUGGCUAUAGAUCGAGAAGUACACGAUGCAUAUCUCCAGGUCUGACGACCUCCUCAGCCGGCUGUCGCUGCAGGAGUGCCGGUUCGCUAAGAGGUAUCUUCUGACUGUGCGACUGGCAUUUGCCCCAAUUAUUUUGCAUUGGCUUGUGAAACUAGAUGAUUCUGAUGGGAAUCAAUUUCUUGUGUUUGAUCUGUCACUAGUUGCUCUGAGAUCAUGGAGAAGCAUCUCGAACAGUCGGUGCUGUCGAAGCUGCCGUAUGGCUAUGACUCGGUUACCAGACAGUCCUUAUCGAGCACUGAGGAUGACAUGGGUAUGUACCCUUCACUUGAUCUGCCAAAUUUUGGAGUUCCUUGUCCUGUUGCCGUACUGCUUCUGUCGUUUGCAGCUUCAGUCAUUACAUAUUUUGCAUAGGCUGCUGGAUGUGAAUAGUUGGUAAUAUAAGUUUCACCAUUUUUUUUGAGUUGGGCGGCCUGAUAGUUGGUACAAAGUAUCUUUGGGAAAUCUGGUCAUUAGUUGUACUCAAAAGUAGCGUUCCUACAUAACAAAAUUUAGCUUUCAAGUUAAUAGCAGCUCGGGUAUAAGAAUGCCUCUUGCCCUCAUGUGAUGGUUCUGAUUACCUACCGCAUCUUGGGACUUCCAUCCCCAAAUUAUCAAUAUGUUCCCACCAGGUUGCCAUGAAGCAUGACAAUUUUAUUUGAUUCUGAAUUUUAGACUGCCUUGUCCUUAUCAGGUUGAAAUUUGCUGUUCUGACAGUAUUCUUAUUAUCCUAAUGACCUCAUCCAUUGAUGCGUAACUAAUGCUUGAAUCUGUAAACUAAUGCAUAGGGACACGUUUCUAUUUGAUUUAUCACAUUUGGAUGCAUCAUAAUCUUAAUUUCAGUAGCCUAAUGGAAAGAAACGAACUGAGAGUUCGUGAUACGGUCACAAAAUGAUAAUCUGCAAUUGUAUAAAGUUACACUCCAGAGAGUGAUCAAGGAGAGACCCGACCAGGCACAAAUGUCAGUGUAUCUUUCUAGCAUAAUAACUAGGUUCUCAUGUCUCCCCAAUGCCCAAGGAUCCAUGUUCAGAAUCUUUAAAUCUGUAAAGCUGUCGGCCUGUUGCAUGAUGAAAAUUACCAAUCCUCUAAUGAACUGUUGUGCAUUUGGUUAAGAAACACUUUUGAAGAAAGCAUUCAGUUAAUAAUUAACUUUCUUCACGAAAGAGUUAACUAACAUGUCUGCAGUCACAAACAUCUAACACAGCUUUUGGAGAUGAUCACUAUAGGGCGUAGGCAUAGCUAGAACAGAAACCUAGCUUCACGUUUUCUAGAACAAGCCUUUUUUUGCUUCACUUUGAGGCAAAGUUCAAGAGUAAAUAAACAAUUCUUCCGUAUUUCUGAAAAAGUGAAUGCUUUUGAAUUUUUAUUUCUUAAGUUGUGGAAUUUAGGAAUAUCCAUGUAAUAGACCAACUUCUAAUUUGAUUUCGAUUUGAAAUGCCUUGUUUAGUGCCAGAGCCUCAGCUUGACACCUUUGUCUUCUGCAAGACUAAGAGCGACGUUGGAGCCUUCCAGCUAGAUGACAUGUAAGUGCCCAGGCACACUUCAAUUCUUGAUUUGCACUGUUGCAUGCUUUGCUUACCUGUGAUGCUUCGAUGCAGUGGAGAGGAGGUUGUGGACUUGGUUGCCAACGACUUGUAUGUUCUUCGGUACAAGUCCAUCAAGGGCCUGGUCGAGGGUGGCCAAAUCGAUCUUAUCUGAUGUCAAUCACAAAUCAGUACCUGUAAAAGAGCUUUUGGUCCAAGAUUCUUCUGAAUUCUUGGAACGGAUGGAAUCAAGGGGGGAAUGAUAUUUGCUCUGUAUCGCCACAAAGAUAACCUGAAUUGGUAAAUACCGUCUAAGUGCAGCAUGUGGCUUAGGCUCCAUAUGUAAGACUCACAUUGGAUUGUAUUUUGUAAGUUGUACAUGAAUGUGAUGGUACCAAACUUAGUUUAUCUAUUUUCGUGGGUUUUCUCUCCAUUGUUAAU
Molecule: long non-coding RNA, 120563 nt
Filed under: Setaria italica (foxtail millet)
Lineage: Eukaryota; Viridiplantae; Streptophyta; Magnoliopsida; Poales; Poaceae
Description: long non-coding RNA (SITA_LNC003033)
Source: RNAcentral